AUAUUUUUUUUUGUGAUUACUAAAAGAGUGUGCCAAAAAUAAAAAAUAAUGUGCAUAAAUCGUUUUCAAAUUAAUUUAUUUAUUAUUGAGAAGGUGGGCAUCAAUAUUGUUCGUCAGAAGGACCAAAAAGUCCAUGUACUUAUGAGGAACCGGAACACCCUCCGUCAGCUUCUCAUACUCGACGGUCCAUUUCACGGAUGAGCUGCUGCAUCCCCCACUAACCUUUGGUGUGACUUGAACCGUAGCCUUGAAACUCUUGUAGUAUUUCGCCAACUCUCCUCCUACUGUUCGGAAAGUCACUGAUUUGUUUUUCUCAUCUAUGGCUUCAACUGUCUCUCUUGAAACCUCAGAAACAUUGUCUAUCAUGCAGGUAUAUAAUUAAUUAAGAAAAUAUCAAAUCAUUGGGUCCAGGUUAGGUUAUAUAGUCGAUCGAGUCUAGUAUAUGUAUAAAAUAUUUUAAGUUGGCAUGCAUAAAUUUUUUUCCAUGAAUUGUUAUUGUUACCUGCAGCAAAGUAAGUCCAUUGCUUGACUGAGCCCACAGAGCCCCAAUCACCUUGGAUGACCUGAAGGUCCUUUAUGACGUUAGGGCACAUCUUGGGCAACAGGUACCCUUUGCUACGAAAGAUUUCGUAGAACUUGUCGGCACUGGCUUUAAUCUCAGCCUGGACCUCCAUCUUUGCUAUUUGAGCCAUAGCGUUCGAUCUUUUUGCCUUUGUAAUUUGUAUGAAAUUAGCUAGCUAGAGUCUGGUGAAAAAAUGACUCCCCCUUGUUCUUUAUAUAGAAGAAAUAAAAUAGCUAGAUAAAGUAUAAUAUGCCUUCACUUCGAGCCAAUUGCAAUUGCGGAUCGGAAUUGGGGUGGUUUUUCUGACAAAUUUAAUUUAGGUUUGGAGUUCUGUUUGGUCCCUCGCUAGCUAGGGCAACUGGGCAAGUAGAUUUCUGUUUUAGCACUGUCUUGUUAAUUUGAUGCUCAUGGCCACUAUGUUAUGGUGGAUCAGAUGCGGAUUCUAUUCCAUCUUUUUCAUAAAGAGAUUAUAUACUUUCCUAAAUUAUACUGUUCUUUUCCUUUUUGUUGUUCCUGUGUUUCCAUCAAAAAAGGAAAAUACCGAUAAGACACUUAUUAGUACUAUAGUUAAGUAAUAUUUCUCUUAAGUAUCAAUUUAUUAUUUUUAUCCCUUAGUGUAAAAUGUGUAAAUAUAUCGUUGUAUCAACAAAACAAAAAAAUUUAUUUGAAAAGGGCAAAAGCCGAAAGCAUUUUGCCUUUGUUUUUUCUCCCACUAGCCUUUAAUGCCGAAAAUUUGAGUUUGUUUCUAAUUUUAUAUAAAUCAAACUCUUACAGUGAGCUGUAGACUUUGUGUUCUUUGAGAGUGGAUCCAAUUCUUGAGAGUUUAAUAUAUGAAACUCAUGAGUUAGAAAAUUACAACAAAAAUUCUCCACCACAUCUGUCAUUUUUCAUGAAUGAACGGUUGAGAUGAUAUUUAGUUAAAUAUCAACCGUUCGCUUUUGACCUUUCAUGAGCAUUAGAUCAAAGUUUGUAUACAAUAGGUGACCACUCAUUUGGGAGUGAAAAAAGGGAAUAACCCACCAUAAAGUAGGAAAAAUAAAAAAUAGGUGAGUCCUUACAGCAGUAAACAGAUAGAACUCAAGAUAAACUCUGAAACUCACACAGUUGUAGUAAUGGUAUUCUAGGAAUCAAACUGAAGAUGUUUCUUAUAUAAGAAAUUAAACAGAUACAAAUACAAAUGUUGUUGCAUACCAAAUACAUAUUUGCACACGCUCUGUUAAUGUACAAGAUAAUGAUUAAGACGAAAUCAUCCCUUAUACAUGGAAGACACCCAACUGACUCAAGCUUUGUGUCUUUUUUUUUUUAUGUACGUAUAAAUACAACGUUACUCAAAUCCCACAAUUAAAAAAAAAAAAAAGGCCUUAGUUAUAAUUCGAACCAUUUAUUACUAAUAAUAGCUGUGUCUCAUUCAGUGAGAAGAUGAGCUUCAAGGUCUUUGGUGACCUUCACUGCAAAGUCCUGAUAUGAUUCUGGAUCUGGGAUUUCCUCCUUCACCUUCUCAUAGUCAAUUAUCCAUUUCACCAAACUGCCCCCUCCAGUAGUCUUUUCUGUUACUUUUAGUGUCACCCUAAAGCUCUUAUAAUGCUUCAAGAUUUCUCCAUCCAGAACGUUGAACUUCACUGUUUUGUUUUCCUCAUCUAUCGCUUCAACCGUCUCCUUUACACUUAACGAACUCCCAUCUGUACAUAUCCAUCGUCACUUUCACAUUAUAAAAGAGUAAUUAUAUAUGAGCAAUAAUUUCUUCACACUUAGAUCCAGUUUUCUUUUUGCAUACCCUUGUUAAUUUUUCUUCUUCAUAUUCUUUUAAUAUAUUUAACCUAAAGAUCAUAAAUAAACAUAGAUGCGGACAAAAAGUUGUAUGCAUAAAUCACUUCCUGAUUAUAUAUAUGUGCACAUAAAUAAAUUAUAAAUAAGGGAAUCACCCUAGCUAAUUAAUAGUUAGGGCUUCAACUAAGUCAGUUCUAUUGCCUCCGGUGUGACUUACCCAACGUAUAAUCCCAAUGCUUGACAGAACCCGCAGUCUCCCAAUCACCUUCGUGCAGCUCAACCCCUUGUAUUUUGUCAGAGCAGAUGUUAGGAAGCAGGUGCAUUUGGCCCGAGAAAAUUUUGUAGAACUUAUCAGCAGCUGUACUUAUCUCUACCUCCGUCUCAAGCUUACCAACUAAAGCCAUAUCUUAAUUAAUUAGAAGAUCGAUCGGUUAAGGAUAUAAACCAAGGAUAAUUUAUGAUCAACAAUUGAUGAACUAAUAACAAAACAGGUUAGAGGUAGAAUUGGGAGAUAACACUUAAUCCUAGGAUUGACUUAAAUAGGAGAAAUUAUCAUUCAUGAAAAGCUACAACUUGCCUAUAAUAAAUAUUAAAAGGGAACUUAUUGGUGGUCCUGAACGUUUAAAAUUGACACCAAAAUUUACUUCCAUCACCUUUGCUACUUUAAUCGUUUUUACCUAUAUUUUGUUCAAUUUUUUUUUACACCUAUAUAUACAUAUGGGAUGGAUCCGUGAUAUCACUUUUUUUUAUACAAUUUUUUACACAAGUUUUGUGGGACCCACUCAGUAAUGUAUUUCAACAAUCCAACUGUUUAUUUUUUAGAACAUCAUUAAUAAAUCAUCCUUACAAAAAAUUAGACAAAUUCAAAACCAUGACAUUCAUUUAUAGCGAAGAAAGUGGACAAAUAUGUUUCUAUAAAGAAACCCUACAUGAUUUAUGAUGAAAUAUCUAAAAAUAGAUUGUUUGGAUCGUUAAAAUACAUUACUUACAAGUUACAAGUGAGCCUACAAAAAUUUGUGUAAAAGGAGUAUAUAAGUACACCGAUGGUGAAUAUAUAAUAAUUUUUGUGUUUGGUAGAUUUGGAGUGGUUAAAGGAAUUGGAAAUAAUAGGCACAUUUCUUUCAGGUGGGACACGACUAGAUAGUCAUUCCUAAUUAGGAUUUACCAAAUCUUAGUGACGUUCUUGUUUAUUGUAAACAAAAGAUAAAAGAAUUCAAAUGAAUCAGACAGUUAUGUCAAUUGUUAAUCACCAGUCACCACAUCACAUUAACAUUAUUUCGAAUUCUAUAUCUAUAAUUGACGAGUUUACGACUUGGAGCGUCAAAAAAAUAUGGCAAAGCAUUCAAGAUACUUGGGAAAUAAAUUAGAAGUUUCAGUAGUCCACAUAACUGUAACAAACACACAAACAAAUGAUAGAUUCACUUUAUUUUUCAUUUUCCCCAAAAUUACAUCCAAUGAUUAUCCUAUAUACGAUUGCGUAAAGAAAUUAUUGGUCUUUUUGACAAGAGCUGCAAACUAAAGCUGAAGGUGUUAGUCUGGAUCACCGCCACAUAGCUUUUCCUUUUCCUGUUAAAGGACCGCAUCACCACGCUGCCCUCAUCAUAAUCUCAUAAUUUUGAAGAAACUUGAAGAAUAAUCUUGUAGCAUCUGCAGCGAUCUAGAGGGUUCCUUCAAGCACCCUUAAAGUACGGACUGAUUUUCAUCAUCUAUGGUUUCAGUUAACUCCUUACGAAAUGUAGGUUUCUCAUAUGUUCAACAUUCCACAAGCAAAAAUUAUAUCAUGUUCCGAUGUAUAAGAUACUCUGAGCAUGUUAACUGUUGAAUCUUGAUUUUUGUAUAUUUGACCAAAUUUAAAAAAAAAGUAUAAAAUAUCCGAUACUUGGGAGCACCAUAGAACUCUUCACUAGCUUACUUCAUCCAACAUACAUAUCAACAUUCAUGGUAAAAAGACACUUGGAGCCGAACUUACGUUCAAGAUUAUUCAACCCAAUUUACCACCUUCUACUAAUUUAUAACUCUGAACUUUGUUGGGGGCGAUGUUGUUAACUUUGUUGGGGGCGAUGUUGAUAUCUCGUACGGUAUUGUUCGUGUGACUGUUAGCAAGGAGGGGAAAUUUGUUUGAUUUCAGCGCUCGUCCUCGCCUUAUUGUUACAAUGAUCUCAAAUCACCAUAUUGGCUUCUGUCCACCACAUGCAUUAAGCGUCUAUGACUAGAUCUAGUCUUCCACAACAAGAAACCCUUUCAGCGACGAAUUCUUCCUCUGAAAGUAGGAAAGUUGUCCCAGAAACAGUUGGCGACUAUAAUGUUUUCCUUUUUAGAUCAUCCCAGUACGUAGGGCCUUUAGUGAACUUAUAUGGCGAGAAAUAUGCUUGAUCGUUGUUGAUAAAUUAGAAUCAUCAAAAUAUUUCCUCGCUGAAAGUUCGUCAUUUUGUCGGUAAAAGUUGUUCCUCGCUGUUAGACAGGGGAAAAUAGAAAAAAUUCUGAAAACAUUGCGAGAAAAUUAGGAUCUAUUUAUUGAUUUGCAAAAACUCCCUCCAAACUUGUAUAAAGCUAGCAAUUUUUUUCUUUAAAUUUAAUAUUAACCGAUUAACUCUCUGAAUUAUUAUAAAGGGUAAAAGACUGUUUACUACCCUCAUGUUUCAUGGUUUUCAACAUUUAGUAUAUCAAGUUUUUUUCGUCCCAGAGUCAUACCUAAAGUGUUAAUUUUGGGACAGUCUCAUACAUCCGUUAGUCAAACUGUUAAGUAUGCCGUUAACUGAUGAUGUGAUGCCUAUGUGGACAAUGACUGGGUGCCACGUGUCAUUAAGGGAUCCACGUGGAAAUUAAAAAUUAAUUAUUAAAAAAAUUCAAAAAAAAAAAAAAAAAAACAAAAAAACAAACAAAAUAAAACCCAGAAGCCCUUCGUCUUCCUCACCCCCACCCGACAUCCCUCAAUUCCCAGAACCCCAUUGUCUUCCCCACCCGACACCCUUUAUCCAUGCUUCCUCAAUUUCCUUGUUAUGGCUGUCGUCUGCAAAUCACCAUCUACAUCUUCCUCCAGCAGCUGAAGACCUCGCCUCCUUGUCGUUGCUCGAAGAGCAGGUGAAGCAGGAUGAGCUUGACCGUGACAUGGCACUGAAUGACGACGCAUCUUUAAUAGAAGGGACGCAUAAGGAGAGGAACGAGGCCAUUUUCGAUUACUACUUUGAUUUGCAGGAAUGCUACUCUGAGGUGGAAGAAUCUGAAACAAUGAAGCGGAGAAAAUCGAGAAGCGCCGCCUGUGUGGCGAUGUCGGCGGUAGCUGAUGGAGUCGAAAUAGGUAAGCCGGGAGUCGAAUCGGGUCACCAUCGGCGGCUAUGGGUCAAGGACAGGUCGAAAGCAUGGUGGGACGAGUGCAACCAGUCGGAUUUUUUGAAAUCAGAAUUCAAACCGUCUUACCAGAUCUAGUCGAUGACGCAUCCUGUCUGUCCGUCCCUCACUCCAUCAUUUCUUUUCCCUCCCUUCUCUCCUCUGCACGAACCAAACCGUCCUACCAGAUCCGGUCGAUGACGCAGUCUGUCUUGGGCUGCUGCUACGAGCUAUCUCGUCCUCUACGUCCAUAUCCUGGACCCACCGCCUAUUCUCUGCCUUUCCGUCUUUUCUUUUUCCCUUAUUCUUCCUUUUUCCUUUUGAUUUUCCUUUUCUAUUUCCGUUUUAUUUUCAUCUCGAAAGAGACCCCAAUUUUUCUGGGUUCACAAAAGAAACCCAAUAUUAGUUGAUCUGAAUAUUUUUUUUCUUUUAACUUUAUAGUUUUCUGGAAAAUUGGGAGGAUUUGAGUCUCCUCCACCCGUUUUGAUUUUGCAUUUUCUGGUCCAAUUCGAAAUGGCCUAGAGGAGGAAGAAUUUGAUUUAAUGGUUUAUGCCCCAGAUCUCGUCAAGAUUAUUGAAACUUCAAUCCACACUUUUCAGCUUUUCCUGAAGAUGGAAGUCACUUGUUUCUUAAUUUGCUUUAAUUAAACUUCUUGUUUCGUUAUUUAAGAAUUGUGAUAGAUGUAGAGAAAUUGAGUAGCGAGAGAGAGGUGGGUAAGACGGAUUGAAGAACGAUUCUAAUUUAACUUCUUCUCUUUUCGUGGAAUAGGGGUCACGAGAGAGGCUUUUUCUGGCUUUUUCUUCUGGGUUCACAAAGAGAAGAUCCAUACUUGAAAAUACCAAAUUCUUGUUGAAAUAGAAUUUCUUUGGGAGGGAUUUUGUUGGGUUGGGUGUGCGGAGAUGAUGGGUACGGGUUGUAGAGGAGAGAAGGGAGGGUGGUGCAGGUGCAGAAAAGAGAAUGGAGGGAAGGGGUACGGGUUGCAGAAGAGAGAAGGGAGGGAGAGGGUGCGAGGGAUGAGGGAGGAGACAAAUGUUUGUUCUUUUUUUUUUUUUUUGUAUUUUUAAUUUUUUAAUUUUUUUAAUAUUGAAGUGGGCCUAAAUUGACAUGUGGUGCCCAGUAAUUGUCCACGUGGGCGCCACGUCAUCAGUUAACAGAAGUUCUAACAGAAAACUUAACGGAUGUAUGAGACUCUCUCAAAAUUAAUACUUUAGGUAUGACUCUGGGAUGAAAAAAAAUUGAUGUACUAAAUGUUGAAAACCAUGAAACUUGAGGGUAGUAAACAGCCUUUUACCCUAUUAUAAAUAACCAAUUUCUCCACUGCGUUUAGAUUUUGAAUUUUUUUCAUUCAAGUUUUCAUCAUCGUGGUCAUGCGGACAUACAAGGCAAAUGUAUAAGGGCAAAAAAGUGAUUUUCGUUUUGGUAAAUUGGGCACAAAGCCACUAUUUUACAGCUGCUAAUUGGACUUUCAGGACUAAUUCAAACAAAAGUACGAAGUCAACUACACUACUACAAAUUUUUACAUACAUAAUGCAGUUUAUGGGUCAUGUUAAAAGUUUAAUGACGCAAGGGUUUAGCGUCAUCUUUGUGGUGUCAUUAAAUAUAUUUUUUAUGACGUUGAAAAAGUGUCAUGUAUUACUUUUAAAGACGCCUAACAAGUGUCAUUGAAUUAAGAACUUGUGUUAUCUACUACCAUUUAAGACGCGGAAUAAGUGUCAUAAACAGAGGAAUGAGUUUCAUGGUAUACUAAUUAUGACAUACGCACAGUGUCAUGUAUAGCUUUUAGAGACACUUAACAAGUGUCAUUGAAAUAAAAAAGCGUGUCAUCUAUUUCAGUUCGAGACGCGGAAUAUGUGUCAUAAACAGAGGAAUGAGCGUCAUGAUAUACUAAACAUGACAUCUGUAUAGCGUCAUGUCUAUAGCACUACAACGUCAUUGAAUAUUAGCAACGACACACAAAGCUUGUCAUAAACCAUUCAAUGCAUGUCCUGAAAUAUGUUUGAUGACAUAUGUAAUGUAUUUUUAAUUUGAAAACAAGACUUACAUAAUUCAUCCAAGAAGUAAGAUAUUUACCUCAAAUAAAAUAAUAUUGUUUCAUAAAUUUGUAAUUCACCCACCACCAAAGUAUUACAAAAGACAAUAUAAUGUGUAGAGCUUUCCUUCUAAAAUAAAACUAUACGUUCACUUAAUUUAAAAUUUCACAAACUAGCUAAUCUAGAGUUUCAUCUAUUGGGCUGUAUUCAUCAACAUACUCAGCCCACUUUAUUCUUAAUGCAUCAAUUUCCUGUUGAGUGUAUGUAGCUUUUAUCCUUCAAACUGCUCCUGCAAAAAAUAAAUAAAUUGAAUGAGAGGAUCCUUACCAUAAGACAACAGAAAAACAAAUAGGAAAACUCUUUGUUGAUCACCGUGGAUCUUCCCGUCUCCCUUGUCCUCGUUCUUCUUUAUUUGUGCACAACUAAAUAGCAACCGUAAAUUAGUGGUUCAAUUUGCAGUUUAAAUUAGAGGUUAAAUAAAAAUAGAAUAAACACAUAUUUAUCCAAGACUUGAAAGCAAAGCCUAAACCUGAUGCAAUUUUUAUGAGGUCUGGGUGGAGGGCAAGUCUGUAGCAUACUAGCUGAGAUCGAACUUGUGGUGCUACAACUUAUCAUCUCAAUAAUUGAACUAAAAAAAAAUAAACAUAAAAUUUAUAAGAUUAUAUACUGAAUGAGCAGGAUACGAAAUUAUUCCUAUGACCAAAAUGAAGAUGAGUGAUAGAAAAAAGCAACACGCAUGCAGAGAAAGGGAGGGAGAGUGUACCUUUGGAGUGAUGUUUGUCAUCAUCACUGAACAAAAUUUUGAUUCUGAAAGACCUGUCAUGAUUCAUAUAAAAAAAAUCCAAGAACAAUUUUCAAAAGCAUAUAAAAAUCCUUUAGACAAACCAACUCUCUUAAAUACCAAUCCAUAAGAUUGCCUCUGCUUGCUUUACGAAUCUUGCAAAUAUCAGUCUAUUAAAUAUGAAUGAUGAAGACAAACCUACUCUCUUAAGCAUAAACCAGAUGCGUCACCACCGCCUGUCCAGAACCCAAUUCUAGGAGCGGACACUCGAGAAUGAAGACAUCAGACCAUAAUUGAAACAACUACAAACUAAACUGACCAAACCACUUAAAACCACACAACUAAGAUAAGAGUUUGUAUCAUAAAAGCAUAAGUUUGAGUGAGUGAAAAUUUGAGUACUGACAAUGGUUCACUUUUUCUUAGCAGCAGACUUGGUGACCUUGGCAUCGAUGGGAUCCUUCUUCUCAACACUCUUGAUAACACCAAAAGCAACAAUCUGGCGCAUGCCACAAACAACAAAGCAACCUAAUGGAUGGUACUCAGAAAAUGUCACCACAACCAUGGGCUUGGUAGGAAGCAUCUUCACCAUAACUGCAUCUCCGUUCUUCAAGAACUUUGUCUCCAUCUCAAUCUCCUUGCCAGACCUCCUGUCAAUCUUGGUAAGGAUCUCACCGAACUUCCCAACCUUGCGCAGUUGAUAAACAACGUGCUUUUCAAGCGUAGUGGCGUUAAAAAGAAAUAAUCUAUAACUGCUUGAGAGAUUUAAGGGAUAAAUCUUCCACUUUUCCUUUUAAAAUCUUCCGCAUAUUUUAUUGAACAACACAUUUUUUUUAGUUGCAUCAUAAUAUUACUUUAAUAACAUUUUUAAUAAAAGAAUGUCAUUAAAAAUUUUACCAAGUGUCAUGAAAGCCCUAUUUUGUAGUAGUGCUAGCAAAAAAGAAGACGAGAAAAAACAAUCCGUUGUACACAUUAGGAAUAAAAAAAGGAGAGGUUUGGGUGGGUGGUUGGGUCUGUGAAUCUCUUUCUCACUAAUUUAUGGCUUGUUACAAGCGUUUAGAUGGUGGUUGGACCCAUUGAUAAAAUGUGGUUAGAAUAAGUCUGGAUGGCAAGGGCGGAGGCUUGAAACAUGCUCUCCAACCCAAAAACCCUCCUCCAGCAGGCUAAGAAGAAGAGGGCAGCCUGAGCAACUUAUGCUCAGCCCUUACGCUAGCGGGCAAGGCUUUUUUGUUUUUUUUUGUGUCUGGCGAUUGCAAUGAACGCAUGAACUCAGCAAGUGAGCUAACAACUUCCAACUUCGAUUGUCGUGGGGCCCACUGCAUAAUCUAACAGCCACCAUCAACAUCUCUAUGACGUGACAAUUUGUGAGUCGUUAAAUUUUCAAUGGCCUAAUGUUCUGGACUAUCGGAUUUCCAAUUCCAACAGUAAAAAAUUGAAAAACUUAUCAUUUUGACAUGUGUCACAUUCUAAUGCAUAUGAUUUUAGAUAUGUUUGGAAAUGAAUGGCCAUGAUUAAUCCAACAGUUAAAAAUUAUAAAAAAGGGGAUUUUUUAUUAUUUAUUAUUCUAUAAAUAUUGAAUCAUCUUCUGCAUUUCUCUCAACACAAUAUUUAUUUUUACUACAAUCUUCUAAAUUUGUUUUCAACUUUUCAAAUCCUUUUAUUACUAAAAAAAAUGAAUGAGAAGGUACUUUGGUCGGUCGAGGAAGAUGUUGCUUUGCUUUGUUUUUCACUUUCCAAAUCCUUCUAUCACAAAGAAUAAUAUUGUUUAAAUAUCGUAGUUGGUUAUCUUAGGCCUCAUUUGGCUGCUCGGACUGUACUGACUAUUUCAGUCGGAUAGGAUAAUCUGUCAUCGGACUGUACUGACUAAAUUAGUCAGGCGUCUGGUGCAGUAUCGUAUUAAUAACCGUAUUAUUUAUAAUGUGUUUGGUACUGUACUGGAUAAGAGAUCGGAUUAUAUUAUUUUUACUAAAAAAAUUUGAUGACUAAUGAAAAAAAAAAUCACAACAACCAAAUGCAUCAAAAUAAAAAAUAAAAUAAAAAUAAUAUUGUUUGUGAUUUUGAACUUUGAUAUUGUAUUUUCUAUUUGUCCUUUAUUUAAACCAAAUUAUAAAAAAUAAAAAUAAAAAAUCCUUUCUUCCCCAGAUCUUCUCCAUCGCAUAGCCCCCAGACACCCUCACUCCCUUCUCCAGUUUUCCUUACCAGUUCAAGAAAAUCUUCCCCCUCUAUACAGAAGAAGCGGAUUGUCGGUGUUGGCAUCAAUGGCUAGUGAGAACGGCAGUUACCCAUAUCAAACUGCAGAUUAUCAACAUUUCCCAAAUUUAACGUACUGGAGAUUCCCAGUGAGAACGACAUUUACUUGAAGUAAUGAUAUGAACUGGAGAUUCCCAGUGACUAUAUGAUACCUGAUUUCCUAAAUUUAAUCCAUAAUUUUAUUUUCAAUUUAUCGAGAGGUUGCAUUGGAUUGUCGAUAUCGUUGAACGGUGUUGCAGCGAUGUUGGGCAGUAGGUGAAUGCAGGCAAUUCUAGUGCUCCGACGACGUGGGUUUCGGUCAGAUCUAGUUCAAAUCCAGGGUCGAUGGCACGUGAACCCGUGCGGGUCCCGCAUAAGGAACUAAAGAGGAGAGAGAGAGGCAAAAAAGAAGAAAAGAGAAAGGGAAGAAGAAAGGAGGAGGAAGAAGAACCUGAGAUUGACGAUUGAGCGAUUUGGUGAAUGGGUUUGAGGAGAGAGAGAAGAAGAAAGGAGAAGGAGGAAGAAGAACGAUGGUAACAGAAGUGAGAAGAGAACGAUGCGCCACACCGAUGAAGCGAGGACACGAACCCAACUAAAUAAUACAGAGAUUUCUGGAAGGAUAAAUAAGCGGGCAGACACCGGAUAAAAGAUGUGGGCCCAGUUUAAGUAAUACGGGUACUAUUUAGUACGUAGUUGCACCAAACACCCGGAUCCAUAUUACUUAUCCUAUCCGAUUCCUUAUAUGGACUACCAAACGAGGCCUUAGUAUUGUAAUACCCUGAAAAUUUUAAAUAUAUGAAUAUGUGGAGAAAAUCGAAAAUAAAUCGAUUUAUGAUUAUGAAGAAUUAAAUCGAGCAUAUUACUGAGCUUUUAUAUGAUUUUUCAAGAAUUUAUAAUAAUUUGUGUAAGUUUAGUUUUAAAUUAAACUAGUUAUGAGAUUUAAAGUUUGGACCUUAAUUAUUUAAAAUACGUAGACCUUUCGAGGUCAAAAAUCAUAUUUUUGAAUAGAGCUCGACCUCAUGAAUGCGUAGGCGCAAACUGUUCGUGAAACAGAGUUAGAACGAAGAAUUUAUUAACGUUUAAAGUUAGGGGCAUUUUAGUAAAAUAGUUAAGUUCAAGAUAAUUCCAGAUUUUUGAGAAAAAUCUGGAAGGCCACGUGUGUGGCCGAGAUUUAAAGACAGAAAAUGGGCGGUGUAGAUGGAAAAUAAAGGAGAGAAAGGAGGGAGAGAGGAGCCAAUCAGAAAAAGAGGGAUGAAAGGUGACCAAUGAGAGAAGAGAGAAAUGGGGAGAAAGGAGAGAAGAGAGACACGGGGGAUCGGGACCCGGGUCUUGGUGACCCGACCCGAUCGGCAUCAUACACUUUUCCGGUGGAUUUUCACCCCUUUUUUCCGGUGAAAUGCAUCAAACCACCCCUUGGAAACCCCCUCCACGAUCUUCCCUCUUCCUAUUGCAUCCCAAAAAUCAUAAAAUUUGGUCUUGAAAUUUGGAGAAAGAACACUCGGUGCCGCGACUUUCCUUGCUUGAAAUCCAUCAAAAUCUGAAAUGUUUUGGUUCAAUUACAACCACCAUUAGACUCCCCUUAAGAGCUGGAAUAAAGCCCAUUCAUUGGUUGGGGUGUCGGAGUUGCUAUGGAGUCGAAUUGAGGACACCCAAAUCUUAGGGUUCCGACGGAUUUUGAUGAAAUUGGAGCCUUUUCCAGGCCAAAUUGGCCUUGGUUGCAGGUGUGAAAGUUUCUCUACUCAUUGAGAUCUUCAUUUCUGUAAUUUUUGAGAAUUUUUAAAAAUAAUUGAAUUUUUAAGCGAACCGGGACGGCCGACCGCCACCCGCGGUGGCGGGUGCAGUAGCGCACGGCCAGGGAGCCUACAAGUGUGUUUUAUGCGAAUUUCGUUAUUUUAAUUAUGUUUUUGAGAUUUAAUUGAUGUGGUUUGAAUAUUACUACGUUUUUGGUAUAUGUUGGAUUAAAAGAAUAUUUUCAGGUUUGGUUUAAAUUUUGAAGUUUUGAACUACGAAAGGCUUGAUCCCUGUUGAGGGUACGUAGGCAGUCUAACGAGACGUUAGAUGCAGCCAUAAAAUAAAUGUGUUUAAAUAUUCAAGAAUUAGUAUAUAGAUGGAAAUUGAUCCAAGAGAGAAAAUAAAUUAGCUAUGUUUUUAGGUUGGGCCUAACAUAAUUAUUUUCCCGAAAUAUACAAAUAUUUCGGGGCAGUGGCAUUACAAAUAUGCUAUACUUUUGCCUUGUAUUUGAAAUUAGAUAAUCGUUUUAUUUUAAAAAAACAAACUUACUAAGUUCACACUUAAACAUAUUUAAACAAACUUACAAAGGUCAACACACUUGCAGAUAACACAAUUAAAAUUAAACAUACCAACAAACAUGGAUCACACUUACAAGGCCAAACAAAGCAUAUAUAUAUAUAUAUAUGUAUGUAUGUAUGUAUGUAUAUGUAUAUUAUAUUGAUGAACAGUAUUGCCCUUGCUCUUGUCUUUGCCCAACUGGUAGUAGAGUUGCACAGAGACAAAGUAUUGUUCAUAGUAAAAAGUACGGGCAAGCCAACUGCCUUGUUCUUACACUUGCAUUCUCCAAACGGGUGAAACUGCUAUUAUGAUCGGUCUGAAGUAGACGCGCUUAUUCUUGGGUGAGGAAAUUGUCAGUCUCCUUAACAAGAACAACAGCUAACUGGAGCUGAAGUUGGGGAUCCGGAACCCCAUCAUGUAGCUUUUCAUAUUGUAAGACCAAAUUCACCACGCUGCCCUCAUCAUGAACGCCUAAUUUUGGAGUAACUUGUAAAGUGAUCUUAAAGCUCUUGUAUCGAUCUAGAGGGUUUCCUUCAAGCACUGUGAAAGUCACCGAAUGAUUUACAUCGUCUAUGGCUUCAGUUAACUCCUUGGAAAAAGUUGGUUUCCCAUCUGCUAACAUUUCAUCACAAAAUCAAUUACUUGCUUCAUCCACAAAAAAACAUGUAGACAUAUACAGUAAGAGAACAAUCUUUGAGCCACACUUACCUUCAAUAUAAUCCCACAAGAAGACACAACCCACUUUACCCCAUUCACCUUCAAGUAAUUUAUGACUCGGAACUUUGUCGGGGCUGAUGUUGCAUAUUUCGUAUGGUGUUCGUGCGAAGAAUUCAUGGAACCUGUUUGCUUCAGACUUGAUUUCAACACUCGUCUCCACCUUGCUAGAAUUUGACAUUUUCCACUAGUACCAGAGUUGAAGGAAAAACGACUUUGGCCCUUACACUUAUAUAGAAGAAAAGAGGGAAACAAAAACUUUACAAGAACCUAAUUUGCCCAUCAGACAUGGAUGUAUUUAUUCACUAAAAAAAAUGCGUUAGUUGUAUUAUUUUACUAGAACCGAACAAUUUGCCCAGUAGAGAUGGAUGGUGGAAUGUCUUGAUCAAUAUUAUUCCUCGUUUGCUCUCGUCGUUUCUAAGAAAACAAUGUUUUGUGGUUUUAUUAAAUAGCUGGAGACAAAAUGUUUCGAUCUUGUUCGUUUCUCUGUUUGUAUGCUUUUAUACAUGUUAUUUCUAAACAAUUUGUUUGUUUUAUGGUGGGCAUCUUUAAAAGUAAGAUACCCAUUUGUUUUUAGAGAAAUGUUAUUGUCACCUAAAAAUUUAAGUGUGUAUUUAUAAUUAUUUAUAUUUAAAAAGAAAAAUAUUCUUACAAUAAAUGUACAAUUAGAUUUUUGUAGUGUAAAUUUUCUGUCUUCAAUUUCGACUACUCGAAAUAUAUGAUCCGAUUGACCCCCAACCAUUGAGGUUUAAAUAUUUAUGGCUGGGGAAGACGAAUUCACCCAAACCUCGAACUCCUUUUCUUAGGAAAUAAAUUGAAAGUUAUAAUCUAAGGCCAAAUUCAAACCGAAACAACAACAUUCUAUUCUAUAAUUUCUCCUAGUCCUGAUCGGUUAGGGAUUCUAGUUAGUUCGUUUACAAACUACGUUGGCUAAUAUAUUUCAGUUACAGCUUCAUAUAUAAAUGCAUUCUUCGUCGAAUUAACAAAUAAUCAGUUUGUAUAAUUAAUUAAGAACAAGAGGACUCGAAACAGAAGCAGCAAAACAUGACCAUGACCAACAACGACAACGUUUUGGAGCCGCCCAUCAAUUUCUCGAUGGUGGAUGAGGGCGUAUUCCGAUCAGGCUUCCCGCAGCUGUCAAACUUCCCAUUCCUCCAAUCCCUUCAACUCCGUUCCAUUAUCUAUCUCUGCCCUGAGCCCUGUUAGGGCUUAAAAAGACUUUACUACUUUGGAGAUGUUUAUCUCACAAAGAAGAAUGUAAUGCAGCGGAAUUGAUAGGCAAGAGAAAGAAAGAACACUCAAAGUUUUUACACAAGAUUUUUUAUUCACUCACAAACUAGUACAAGAGGAAACACUUAAACACUCUUAGAAGCUUUGUUGCCUCUUACUUCUCACUACUUGCUCUCUUGGUUGUUUCAAAUGGUGUGGAUGCCUUCUCCUUUUAUAGGCAUGGAUGGAACCUUGGAGAAACAUGGAAACAUCAUGCUAGAUAUAUGACAAUUCCACUACCUUCCUAUGCUAGAAUUAUCUACACUAAUCUUGUAUGUUGGUGGAAUCCUCACCAUUCUUCUAGACUCUUCCACCAACUUGAACUUUGCUAGAAUUCUCUAGCAUGUGCAUGGAUCUUUCUUUGUGCAUGGGCUAGAUCCAUUAUCUUUGCGCCAAGACAAGAUUACAAUUCAACAUCCCCCCUUAAUCUUGUCUUGUGACGCCGAUUGUGUUCCUUAAUCUGACAAAGUCUUUUUGCCUGAGUGGUUUGGUGAAUAUGUCGGCGACUUGGUCUUGUGACUUCACGUAUUCCACUUGCACAUCCUUUCUUGCAAUACACUCUCUUAUGUAAUGAUAGCGGGUAUCUAUGUGUUUGCUCAUGUCAUGGAAUAUUGGAUUCUUUGCUAGAGCUAUUGCAGACUUGUUGUCGACAUAGAUCUCUAUUGGCUAUUCUUGUGGCAUGUUUAAUUCUUUUAGCAAGUUUCUCAGCCAGAUUGCAUGAUAGACACAUGAGGUAGCAGCUAUGUAUUCAGCUUCGCAGGUAGAGAGAGUGACAAUCGAUUGCUUCUUCGACAUCCAUGUGAAUGCAGUGUUUCCCAUAAAGAACACAAAUCCAGUAGUGCUUUUUCUAUCGUCGGAAUCUCCUGCCCAAUCACUGUCGCUAUAUCCAACAAGUUUGUAGUUAUCAGAACUUGAAUAGAACAAGCCAAAGUUAAUAGUACCUUUAAGGUAUUGAAGAAUUCUUUUGGCGGUCUUCAAGUGUGUAGUUGUGAGAUUCUCCAUGUAGCGACUGACUAAUCCGACGGCAUAGAGAAUGUCUGGUCUUGUGCAUGUCAAGUAGCGCAAGCUUCCAACUAAACUCUUGAAAAAUGUUGGAUUUACACUUUCUCAUUCGUCAUGCUUGGUUAGUUUGACUCCGCACCCCACUGUCGUGCUUAUGGGCUUGCAGUCUUUCAUUUUGAACUUUUUCAGUAUCUCAUAUGUGUAGCUUUCUUGGGAGAUGAAAAUGCUUUCUUCGUUCUGCUUGACUUCAAUGCCUAGGUAGUAUGCCAUCAGCCCGAUGUCGGUCAUCUCAAAUUCUUUGGUCAUCACUCUUUUGAACUCUUCAUACAUGCUUGGAUUACUUCCGGUGAAGAUUAUAUCAUCCACAUAUAAGCACACAAUCAGAAUAUCUUCAUCUUUGACUUUAACGUAGAGAGCAUGUUCAUGAUGGCACUUGAUGAAGUUGUUUUCUUGGAAGUACUUGUCGAUGCAACUAUUCCAUGCUUGUGGCGCUUGUUUUAACCCAUAAAGGGCUUUCUUCAGCUUCAGAACUUUGUCUUCAUGCCCUUUGAUUUCAUAGCCAAACGGUUGCUGAAUGUAGACUUCUUUUUCAAGGACUCCAUUUAAGAAAGCAGACUUCACAUCCAUUUGUUGAAUCUUCCAUUUGUUUUGAGCUGCCAAAGAAAUUAGUAAUCGUAUAGUUUCCAACCGAGCAACGGGUGCAAAUACCUCAUCAUAGUCGAUUCCGGCUCUUUGACUAUAGCCCUUUGCCAUUAAUCUCGCCUUGUAUCUUUCGACCUCUCCGUUGGCAUUCUUCUUUGUCUUAUACACCCAUUUGACUCCGAUGGCUUUGUGUCAUUUCGGAGAAUAGUGAGUUCCCAUGUAUUGUUCUUAUGGAUUGCUUCAAUUUCUUCAUCCAUUGCUUUCCUCCACUUAGUAUCUUGCAUUGCUUCUUGGAAGUCAACUGGUUCACAAUCAGCAAAGAGACAGAAAAGUGUAGGAUUAUCAAGUCUUUCAGCUACCUCAUAGAGAUCUCGUAGACUUCUUAUGUGUGGUACUUCUCUUUCAUUUAGACUCCCACUUGAUGAUGCUGAUGCUGGUGAAUUGCCAUGAUUGGUUGAUGUUUGUGAAGCAGGUGGAAUAGUGGAUUCUUGUUGAACCCCUCUUGCUUGCUCCAUCAUCCCUUGUUCAUUCUCUUCUUCAAACUAAGGAAAAAAGUGAAGAUCACCUGCAUGAGAGCCAAAAUCCCAUUCUCAUUCUUCAUCGAACGUCACAUCUCGACUGAUUACCAUCUUCCCAUUGUUUGGAUUAUACAGCUUAUAGCCUUUUGAAUUUGAGUUAUAGCCGAUGAAGAUGAACUUCUCACUUUUGUCGUCGAGUUUGGUUCUCCUCUCGUCUGGUACAUGUACAUGGGCUAUGCUUCCAAAAAUUCUUAGAUGGGAGAUACCUGGUUUUCUUCCACUCCACGCUUCUUGCGGAGUCUUUCCCCACACACUUCUUGUUGGAGACCGAUUGGAUUGGUAGACAACACAUGAUACAGCUUCUGCCUACAACUCCUUAGGCAAUCUCUUACUUUUGAGCAUGCUUCGAGCCAUGUCGAGGAUGGUUCGAUUUUUCUUUCCGCCACACCAUUUUGUUGAGGGGAUCUUGGAACUGUCAAAUGUCGACGAAUUCCAUUGGCUUCACAGAAUUCUUGAAAUUCCUUCGAAGUGAAUUCUGCUCUUCGAUCAGAUCUCAUGGCUUUAAUCUUGCAACCACUUUCUUUUUCUAUAGCAGCUUUGAACUUCUUGAAUGCUCCAAAUACCUAUGAUUUCUACUUUAAGAAAUACACUCAGGUUUUCCUUGAAAAAUCAUCAAUGAAGAGAAGGAAAUAAUUUAUUUUUACCCAAAGAGCUUGGUUUUAUUGGACCGCACACAUCGGUGUGAAUGAGUUCGAGUGGCUUCUGGGCUCUUGUGGUUGACUCUUUUGGAAAGCUUUUCCUGAACUGUUUCCCAAGUAAACAUCCUUCGCAAGCUUGAUCAGGACGACUGAUGCACGGUAAGCCUCUCACCAUCUCCUUCUUGGAUAAUAACUCCAGUCCCCCAAAGUUAAGAUGCCUAAAACGAAGAUGCCAAAGCCAUGAUGUGUCUUUGUAACAUAUCUUGAGACACUUUGCAACAUUGUUUUGAAUGUUCAUGGGAAACAUCCUAUUCUUUGACAUUUUCACCUUGGCAAUUAAUCUUCCUUUGUCAUCUAUAAGAAAAAGGCUAUAAUUUUUCAUGUGAAUAUCAUAACCUUUUUCUAAGAGUUGACCCAAGCUCAAAAUGUUGCUUUUCAUAUUAGGCACGUAGUAGACAUUUGAAAUUAAUUGGUGACCACCAUUUUUUAAGGGAAUAAGGAUGUUACCUUUUCCUUUGAUGGGUAUUUUGGAUUUGUUUCCAAAAGAAACGUUGCCACUCUCCGAUUCAUUGAGCUCUACGAACAUGCUUUUUCUUCCGCACAUGUGGUUGCUAGCGCCGGUGUCAAGAUACCAUGUAUAGUCUUGGUCUCCAUCAUUGUUCUUGCAUGCUAGUAGCACAAUGCCAUUAUCUUCUUUCUUUUCUUUCACAUAAUUGACCUUCUCAUCAGGCCUGUUGCUUGGAGCUUUACAUUCCCAAGCAUAAUGCCCAAACUUUUGACAAUUGUAGCAUUGAACUUGAGAUUUUUCAUACCUCAAGUUUGAGUGUCCUCUUCCAUGACCAUUUGUUGAGCUUCCUCCUUUUUCGUAGUUGUUAUGAUUGUUGAAGUUCCAACCACGUCCACGUCCAUGUCCGCGACCUCGACCGCGACUUCUUUCGUACUGGCUUCUCUCAUUAUCCAAUCUUUCUUCUUUCUUCUUUGGCUGGACAUGCGUCUUGAGGAGCUGCUCAUCAUUCCCUUGCCUCUUCUUAUGUUUCUCUUCAUAUGCUUGUAGUGAACCCAUUAAUUGCUCUAUACUAAUUUCUUCCAAGUUUUUUGUUUCUUCAAUCGUCACGACAAUGUGCUCGAACUUGGGGUCCAACGAGCGUAGUAUCUUCUCCAUAAUUCUAACAUUUUCUAACUUUUCUCCGUUUCUUUUUAAUUGAUUGGAAACGGCUAAGACUCUUGAAAAAUAAUCAGAGAUUGAUUCAGACCCUUUCAUUUGUAGAGAUUCGAACUCACCUCUUAGUACUUGAAGACGAACCUUUUUCACUUGUUUGACUCCUUUGUAAGAGGUUUGAAGCUUCUCCCAUGCUUGCUUGGCAGAGGUUGCACUCGAGACUUUCUCAAAGCCAUUGUCAUCUAAUGCUUGGUAGAUGAGGUAGAGCCUUCUUGUCUCUCUUUCUUGAAUCUUUCAAACUCUCAUUCUGGGGUUGGGACAGAGUAGCUUCAUCUUCUGGCUCAGUGUAGCCUUUCUCCACGACUUCCCAUACAUCAUGUGCUCCCAAAAGGGCCUUCAUUUUGAUACUCCAAUUAUUGAAGUUGUUGUUGUCGAGCACUGGAACUUGGAAGGCUGUCAUAGCGUUGCUAGCCAUAGCUCUGGUACCACUUUGUUAGGGCUUAAAAAGACUUCACUACUUUGGAGAUGUUUAUCUCACAAAGAAGAAUGUAAUGCAGCGGAAUUGAUAGGCAAGAGAAAGAAAGAACACUCAAAGUUUUUACACAAGAUUUUUUAUUCACUCACAAACUAGUACAAGAGGAAACACUCAAACACUCUUAGAAGCUUUGUUGCUUCUUCUCACUUCGCACUACUUGCUCUCUUGGUUGUUUCAAAUGGUGUGGAUGCCUUCUCCUUUUAUAGGCAUGGAUGGAACCUUGGAGAAACAUGGAAACAUCAUGCUAGAUAUAUCUAGACAAUUCCACUACCUUCCUAUGCUAGAAUUAUCUACACUAAUCUUGUAUGUUGGUGGAAUCCUCACCAUUCUUCUAGACUCUUCCACCAAUUUGAACUUUGCUAGAAUUUUCUAGCAUGUGCAUGGAUCUUUCUUUGUGCAUGGGCUAGAUCCAUUAUCUUUGGGCCAAGACAAGAUUACAAUUCAACAAGCCCUACCCGGAGGAGAGUUUGGAGUUUCUUCCGUCGCAAGGCAUUCGGCUCUUCCAGUUCGGAAUCGAGGGCAAGAAGGAGCGGUCUACGUCUCCGCUGAUUCCAGCAGAGACUAUCUCCGAGGCACUGAAAGUUUUGGUUGAAAUUGAGAAUCAUCCGGUGUUGAUCCACUGCAAAUGCGGCAAGCAUCGGACUGGUUGUCUGGUGGGUUGCCUGAGGAAAUUUCAGAAUUGGUGUUUGUCUUCGGCGUUAGAGGAGUACCAGCGGUUUGCCGGCGAAAAAUCUAGGGGGACGGAUUUGAGAUUUAUCGAGACGUUUGACGUAUUGGGCCCCAGGGGGGAUGCCUUCACGGCAUUGUCCGCCAUUAUUAUUAAGCUUAUGCUUCCGGAAAGAGGCGGUUGUUGUACAAACAAGAGUUGCAAACCCAUAAACCCUAGGUGAUGUUUUAGUUUUUACGUGUUGAAAUUUUAUGCCCUUUUAGUUGUACCAUAAUGAAAAUUCCUUCAUUCGCUUAGUGACGGGUCCCACGUAUGGGAGUGAUUUUUUUGUUGUUGUUGAUUUAGCAUAAUCACGAAAUUUAGACAUGCUUAUAAAUUUAGUCCUCAAUUUAGGAGUAGGAAAUUUUUAUGAAUAUAUGACGUGCAUGUUUACUUAAAAAAUUAGAAUGAAAAAUUAUGAAUCCAGAAAGUCAAAAAUACAAUGAAAGAAAUUUAGGAGUAGGAAAUCUUUUGACAUAUUUUUUUCUAUUUUUAUUUUAUUUUUUAGUUGUUGAAUUAUCAAUGUAAAGUAGAACUCAAAUACUUUUUGACUCCACAUAACCACAUAAAAAUCAAGAAUUGAAACAGAGUAAUUCUAAUACUAGUUCGUACUCUAACCUAGUGCAAAAAGUUAGAAUUGUAAAAAUUUAGAGCUGAUCUUGGUGAAAUAUAGAACGUCAUAGGACCAUGAUUCUGGAACUCCUUUCCCUCCUUCAACUGUGGUCGGCCUGGGUCAGAUUUCUCGUUCAGGGAUUUACCUCUUCUGAAUAGUCCGCCCUUGAUGGGUCAACUCUAGUUAGUUAAUCCAAGCAUAGGAAGAUGAGACAAAAUACACACAAAGUUGUUAGGAUAUCUUUUCUUUUUAUAUUUGAGCGAUAUUCUAAUCUAAUCCAAAUUCAUGGGAGGAUUCAAAUUUGGCUACACUCGGAUUCACAUAUUCGGAUUGAUUUUAAAUUAAAUCCAGGUUGAAACAGAAGAUAUUGAAGUUGGGAUUGAAAUAGAAGAUAAAGCGUAAUAUAAAGUUACAUUACAAUAACAUGUUCUAUUAAAUGAAAGUGACUAAAGAUUGAAAAAAAUGCUACACUGCGUGAUCAACUCCGGCAACGAGCAUUAGCACUGCAUCCACGGUUGUAGGGGUUACUCUGAUUCUGAGCACCCGGCUUGCAGUUGUUGGAGGAAGCACCUCUCUGAGAGCAAGGCACAGUGUUUCUCUGCAGAGCUUCAUAGCUUAUGUUUCGUGAGGUGGCUAAGAUGUGUUGAAUUAUAAGUCUCUAGCUGAUUAGAAAUAAGUUGUGAUGUUAAUAUGUGUAUGCACUUAUGUUAAAAUACUAAGUGAGAAGAUAUAUAGAUGUAAAGGCCAUGAGUGCCAUGUGUGAUGAUCUUAUAGAUUAGCUAAAUGUGUGGCUGAGAUCUGUUAUUUUGAAUGUCCAUGAUCCAGCUCAGGUUUUGUAAAGCUAUAUAUCCUCUCUUGCACGUUGAGUGCAAGCUAGAGAGACAUUUAAUGAAAACAUUAUUCUUCUGAGUAAUUGCAGAAGAAAGAACCACCACCUUCUCUCUCUGUUUUCUUUUUCUCUUUCGAAUUUGCUCUCUUUAAAAUACUAACAUGGCCUCAGAGCCUAUGUUCGAUUAGAUCUGGGCGUGUUCUGUGCACUCAAACAUCACCGGUUUUGGGUUCGGUGAAGUUUGCCGGAGUUUAUUUGUGAUCUAAGAACUACGUGUUCCUGGAUUCACACAAGCUCACGAUGGCUGAAUCUGGGAGUACUGAAGUAAGGACCCCGAUCUUCUCCGGUGAGAACUACGAGUUCUGGAGAAUCAAAAUGGUUACCAUUUUCAAGUCACAUGGACUAUGGAGUCUGGUGGAAAAAGGAAUUUCAACUCCCGAUUCGAAGAAGAAGAAAGCUAAGACUGAUGAAGAUACAGAUGUUGAUACUGACGAUGAUGAGAAAAUGGCUGCAAUCUUCAUGAAAGAUGCAAAAGCUCUCGGAAUCAUUCAAGGCGCAGUCUCCGAUCAGAUCUUCCCUCGAAUCGCAAACGCAGAUUCAGCAAAAAUGGCAUGGGAUCUGUUAUAUGGCGAAUAUCACGGUGGGGAUCAGGUAAGAUCGGUGAAACUUCAAAAUCUUAGACGAGAAUUUGAAUACACUAGAAUGCGUGAUGAUGAAUCUUUGACUGUGUAUCUUACUCGUUUAAAUGAUCUGAUUAAUCAAAUGAAGACGUUUGGUGAAACUCUGUCAAAUGAGAGAUUAGUUCAGAAGGUGUUAAUCAGUCUCACUAAGAUGUAUGAUCCUAUAUGCUUAGUGAUAGAAAAUACCAAAUGUCUAGAAUCUGUUGAACUGCAAGAGGUACUAGCUAUAUUGAAGAGUCAAGAGCAGAGGUUUGAUUUGCAUUCCACCGAUGUAACUGAGAGAGCAUUUUCUUCUCUUACUGUUAAUUCAAAAUGGCAGAAUCGAGGUUAUGCUCAGUCUAGUAUUUUUAAAUCACAGAAAAAUUGGAAUAAAAAGGGUAAGAAGUGGGAUUCAAAACCAAAGUUUCAGCAAAAAUCAUUCACAAAUGUUGCACAGAAUAGUACUUCUUCACAAGUUAUGGGUCAAGAGAGUGUAAAACCUCAAUGUAAAGUGUGUUCAAAGUUUCAUUAUGGUGAAUGUAGAUACAAUGGGAAAUCGAAGUGCCAUAAUUGUGAUAGAUUUGGACAUUGGGCCAAAGAGUGUACUGUUGGAAAGUCUGUUCAAAAGGCAAACUGUGCAAAUCAAAUGGAGGUGACAGGAAAUCUAUUUUAUGCAAAUUGUGCAGUUGCUGAGACUAAGGUCAAUGGAGAUUGGUACAUAGAUAGUGGUUGCAGUAACCACAUGACAGGAAAUGUGGAUUUGCUGGUUGAUGUGAGAACCAACAUAGCUGGCAAAGUUCAAAUGCCAACUGGAGAUCUUGUGAAUGUAGCUGGAAUGGGAUCACUGGUGAUAGACACAAAUAAGGGCAGAAAAUAUGUGAGAAAGGUAAUGUAUUUGCCUGGUUUAAAAAAGAAUCUGCUAAGUGUAGGUCAAAUGGAUGAGCACGGAUAUUUUCUUGUGUUUGGUGGUGGAGUGUGCAGUGUGUAUGAUGGUCCAUCACUGGAAUGUUUAAUCAUGAAAGUGAAGAAGAAAGUGAACAUGUGUUAUCCACUGGUUUUAUUAUCUGAGAAUCAAGUAGUCUUAAAGGCUAGUGUCACUCACUCCACUGAGAUUUGGCAUAAGAGAUUUGGACACCUGCAUCUUGAUGGUCUCAAACAGUUGAGAGACAAGGAUAUGGUACACGGCUUACCUCAGCUUGAAGACUACAAUGGAGUCUGUGCAGGUUGUCAAUUUGGAAAACAACACAGAGAAGAGUUUCCAAGAAGUCAAGUACAGAGAGCAACUUCUCCACUUGAACUUAUACAUGUUGAUCUGUGUGGACCCAUGAAAAAUGAGUCAAUUGCAGGAAAUAAAUAUUUCAUGCUUUUGGUAGAUGAUAUGACCAGGAUGAUAUGAAUCUAUUUUCUGCGAUACAAAUCUGAUGCAUUCAACUGUUUUAAAAAAUUCAAAGCCAUGGUAGAACUACAAAGUGGUUUCAAGAUCAAGUAUCUGAGAAGUGAUAGAGGAGGGGACUUCAAAUCAUUCGAAUUUGACUCGUUCUGUGAAAAAGCUGGAAUUCAAAGGCAGUUUACCCUUGCAUAUACUCUACAGCAAAAUGGAGUAGUAGAAAGGAAAAACAAGACUGUGGUUGAGAUGGCUAAAUCUAUGUUGCAUGAGAAGAGUUUACCAUAUUUUCUCUGGGCAGAGGCAGUUCACACAUCUGUGUAUGUUUUAAACAGAUGUCCCACAAGGGCUUUGAAAAACAUCACACCUUUUGAAGCCUACUCGGGAAGGAAACCAGGAAUAGCUCAUCUGAGAGUAUUUGGUUCAGCAUGUUAUGUUCAUGUUCCAAGUGAGCACAGACAUAAACUUGAGCCUAAAAGUUUCAAAGGGGUGUUUGUGGGAUAUGCAACUUGUGAAAAGGGAUAUAGGGUGUUUGAUCCCAUAUCAAAGAAGUUGAUAUUAUCAAGGGAUAUUGUUUUUGAUGAAGAAGCUGUAUGGAAUUGGGAAGUGAACUCUGAGCAGCCUAUCUCUACUACUGAAAACCUUGUUUAUGAUGAAUUAAGAACAGGAAGAAAUGAAGGAAUGAUGCAGACUCCUACCUCAUCAACAGCAUGCUCACCUAGGAAUGUUCUUAGUAUUGGAGAUUCUGUCCAAUCUAAGGGACUUACAUCAGGUGAAUCUGUAAACAACUCAAACUUGAGUGAAAAGGAUACUCAAGCAUUUGAUCAUACACCAUUGAAGUGGAGAAAACUGGAUGACGUCUUAGCACAAUGUAAUCUCUGUAUUAUGGAUCCAGAGAAAUAUGAAGAUGCCAAACAAGAUGUGUCUUGGUUAAAAGCCAUGGAGGAUGAGAUGUUCAUGAUUGAAAAGAAUGGCACCUGGAUGCUUGUUGAUAGACCAACUGAGAAACCUGUCAUUGGGGUUAAAUGGGUGUACAAAACCAAAUUAAACCUUGAUGGUUCAGUGUUGAAGAAUAAAGCAAGGUUAGUUGCAAAGGGCUAUGCUCAAAAGCCUGGCUUGGACUACAAUGAGACCUAUGCACCAGUUGCUAGGUUAGAUACUAUUAGAACUUUGAUUGCCUUAGCUGCACACAAGAGCUGGAAGUUGUAUCAGUUAGAUGUGAAAUCGGCUUUUUUGAAUGGAGUUUUACAAGAAGAGGUCUAUGUUGAACAGCCCGAAGGUUUUGUUGUUAAAGGCAAGGAAGAAAAAGUGUACAAACUUCCUAAGGCUCUCUAUGGUCUAAAACAAGCUCCACGAGCUUGGUAUGGUGAAAUUGAUAACUAUUUCACACAGUGUGAUUUUGAGAAGAGCCUAAGUGAACCAACUCUAUACAUAAAGGCAAGGGGAGAAGAUGUCUUGAUUGUUUCCAUCUAUGUAGAUGACAUAGUCUACACUGGAAACUGUAAAACAAUGCUAGAAAAAUUCAAGGAAGAUAUGAAGAUGAAAUAUGAGAUGACAGAUUUGGGAUUGUUACAUCACUUUCUUGGAAUGGGGGUGAUCCAAACCGACUCUAGCAUCUUCAUUCAUCAGAAGAAGUAUGCAAGUUCUUUACUAAGCAAGUUCGGUCUGAAUGAGUGCAAAUCUGUGAUCACACCACUUGUGGCAACUGAGAAAUUAACUAAAGAUGAUGGAAGUGGAGCAGUAAGUGAAGAGUUAUACAGAAGCAUUGUGGGAAGUCUUCUAUAUCUCACUGCUACUAGGCUAGACAUCAUGUAUGCAUCUAGUUUACUUGCUAGAUUUAUACACUGUCCUACUAGCAAGCAUUUUGGAACUGCCAAACGUGUGCUCAGGUACAUCAAAGGGACUAUAGACUAUGGUUUGGAGUAUACAAAGGGCAAGAAAGCAAUGUUGAUUGGCUAUUGCGACAGUGACUGGGGUGGAUCAUCAGAUGAUAGCAAAAGUACAUCUGGAUAUGCAUUUUCUUUUGGAAGUGGAGUUUUUUCUUGGGCUUCAGUUAAACAAAGUUAUGUGACAUUAUCCACUGCAGAAGCAGAGUACAUAAGUGCAUCAGAGGCUACUACUCAAGCUAUAUGGCUGAGAUUUGUCUUGGAAGAUUUCGGAGAACUACAGACUGAAGCCACUUCUCUUCACUGUGACAACACUUCUGCCAUUGCAAUCACUAGGAAUUCUGUCUUUCAUCAAAAGACCAAACACAUAGACAGAAGGUAUCACUUCAUUAAAGAUGCACUGCAAGAAGGAAUCAUUGAUUUGAUUUAUUGUCCCACUGAAGAGCAGAUAGCAGAUAUUUUCACAAAACCUUUAGCCAAUGAUCGGUUCAACUAUCUCAGAAAUUUGCUUGGAGUGAAAUCAGCUCAAGACUUAAAGGGGAGUGUUGAAUUAUAAGUCUCUAGCUGAUUAGAAAUAAGUUGUGAAGUUAAUAUGUGUAUGCACUUAUGUUAAAAUACUAAGUGAGAAGAUAUAUAGAUGUAAAGACCAUGAGUGCCAUGUGUGAUGAUCUUAUAGAUUAGCUAAAUGUGUGGCUGAGAUCUAUUAUUUUGAAUGUCCUUGAUCCAGCUCAGGUUUUGUAAAGCUAUAUAUCCUCUCUUGCACGUUGAGUGCAAGCUAGAGAGACAUUUAAUGAAAACAUUAUUCUUCUGAGUAAUUGCAGAAGAAAGAACCACCACAUUCUCUCUCUGUUUUCUUCUUCUCUUUCGAAUUUGCUCUCUCUAAAAUACUAACAUCGCCUGCUAAUCUCCGAGUCCAUGCCAAACUCAUCAUCACGAUCAUCCAUACACUCUGCUACAGAACCCUCGCAGCGAGGUCUCACUGGAACCCAGCUCACCCCAUGAUCGCCGCCUGCAUCAACGGAGAUGAUCAGAGCGGCCACGAAGGCCAAGGAAAAGAUAAUCGCUGAGGAAUUGGCCAUAGGUUUUGGUAUGGUCUGUGUUUUUAGCUGCCAACUUGUAUUUUGUUGUACGCCUGUUUAAUUACAGAGGGAGACAGAUGAGGCGGCAAGAGAGAGAAGAUAAAGUUGGUGAAUUCUUAUGUGUAUAUUAUUGCACUCCAUUGUGUUAUUUAUAGUAGUAAAAAGUAUAAAAAAGGGAAAGUCCUUGUUCUUUAAUUAAUCCAUAGUAGUAAGAAGGGAAAAUCCUUAUCUUUCAGGUAAUCCAUCUUAGAUAAGACACAAUCUACAAGAUAUUCUGCAGUCCCAUAAGGAUUUUUUACACACAUUCCUAGUAAGUUUGGACUUUGAUAUAUUUAAAUUUGAUUAAAUGAAAAAUUGGAUGCUGAUUUCUUCAAGGAGGUGAUUGUGGAUGCAAAUUUCUCCCUUAUUGAUCUUGGACAAAAUUGCACCUACAAAACAAUUAACACCUUAGGAUCAAGGCCAAGAGCCUCACGCGCCCACGAUGAACGCCGGGGGGGGGGGAGCUUUGGCCGAAGAACCUCUGAUGCCAAAGUUAGAAUUUAGAGAGAAAAGUGUUUAGAGAGUAUUGAGAAUUUUGCAAGUGUGUUGGACCUAGGUUUUGGUGAAAAUGGGAGUCAAUACAUAGGGCAUAGGGUGUAACUUAUGGUUUAAUGUGUGAUUUAAUGGAUUAAUUAGGCAAUUAAUCCAUUGAUUGGUUAAUCAACACAUUUUUGGAAUAAAUAUUUUGGGGGUUAUGUAAUUUAUACCUUGUGGAAAAUAUAGAAUGAGGAUGGAUGAAAUAACUUUGAAUUUGUUACUUAUUUUGGGCACGUUUGAUUUGGUUGAAGGAUAAUUAACCGCUGCUCGCACGUAGGAAUGCCGUUGUAACUCAAGAGUAUUUUGUCUUCUUUUGUCCAAAAAUCCAUGUGUUGCCUUGUGAUUAUUUUUGGCUCCAUAGUGAUUACUUAAAUGACUUGCACUAAUUAGCCUUAGGGCUAGUUUGGUAUUCCUGUGCUUUGAAAAAAAAACUGCUUCUGCUGUGAAAUAAAGCGGUAGAGUGUUUGGUAAACUUUUUUGUAAAAGUGCUUUUAGCAAAAAAAUCAGUGUUAAAGUGCUUGGUAAAUUUUUAUAUAAAACUGCUAUGAUUAUGUUAAAUGACUAAAAAUGAUAUAAUGUUAAAUUUAAUAUAUAAUUUUUUAUUUUUUAAUCUCUAUAAUUGUCGAGUCAUCCAAACUCUUCCAUUUUCCAAAUCCCAUUUAUAAUUCUAGAGUCAUCCUUUUCGCCUAAUUUUUUUUUUCAUUUGACUUUCAGAUCCGAUAUGUUAGCGUUCCGUUGGUCAUCAGACAGGAUCACACUAAGCGUAGGCUGUUUCCGGAUCAGAUCUAGCCGAAGAGCUCUCCCCCUAUAACUUGAAUAUGGCAGUUUCCCACUAGCCGCUUAAAGGAGUACUCAAGGAUUACCCUAUUACCAAUCUCGAAUUGGCCUCCUACUGUCCUCGCUAAGAAAGAGUCUGCCCGCUUAAUUCAAUGAAGGAGUUGAUAUUUAUCUAUUAAAGUAAUUUAUCAAUUACGGAAUUCAAGGUCGGAUGAUAUCAGUUCUCUGUACCCAAGAAGUUCGGGGAAAGGAAAUAGAAGCAAUGCAGACUGAAUUUGACGAACUCCCCACCCAUACUAAAAAGCAAAUAAAGACCCAUGUUUAGCGUCCUCCACUCUAAGGACCACAUUAUUGAAUAUGAUAGUAGACAGAUGGCAUUAUCCUGUAUUGACAAAUGUCAUAAUCGUGUGAGAUCAUUGUUGAGAUGUUAGCUUAGUCAAUAAGCUACUAUGUUUACUAUAAAUAGGAGAUUGCACCACCAUGUAACUAAGUCUUUUGUAAUUCAUUACAAUCAAUAUACAAAGAUAUUUUCUCUCUAUCUCUCUUUUUCUCUAUUUCUUUCUUCCUUGUCGAUGGGUUUCUUGAUUUCUACUUCCGCAACUCUGUUAUCAUGGUAUCCAAAGCCAAGUUCUCAAUUCGAUCUUCAGAAUUAAUGCUGGAAUUCAAAGCGGGGGAUGGUCUUGUGAAGGGAGUUAGAAUUUUUUUUGAGGUGGUGGAGAUUUCUGUUCGUCGGUGCCGUGUCGGUGUACUUCAAUCUCAUCUUCAUGCUGAUUUCUUUGAAGAUUUGAUGGUAUCUGUUCUUAUUCCUCUAUAAUUCAUACUUUGUUGAUUUCAAUUCAAGGCACGAAGCCAUUCUUGAGCACGAAGCUGAUUGUCUUUUCCGGUGAAAUUGAUCAUGCAAAAUUGGUGUUCUCUUGAGUGUAUAUUGGACAAUUGUUGAUUGUAUAAGCAAGAAAUGUUAGGGCACAAUGCCAUACUCUUGAAAAUUGUUUCCAAUUGUUGAUAUUUGUUGAGUUCUGAGAUAAUUGAAAAGUUAGGGCACGAAGCCAGAUUGUUGAGAAAACUUUGGGGCACGAAGCCAGGUUCAUUUUGUAAAUCUUGAAGGUUAUUGUUGAAUUGGUGUGUAUUGAUUCUGUGGUUCAUGAUGGCGUCUUCGUUUAAGAUUGAUGGUUUGUUAGGCAUGUUUACCAUUCGUUUGCAAGAAGACAAUUUUGCCAAAUGGUCAUUUCAAUUCUGUUUUGUGCUUGAAGGGUAUGAUCUGUUCGAUCAUUUUGAUGGUACUAAUGUUUGUCCGCCUAAGUAUCUGAUUUCUUUGGAUGGUGGUGUUACUAAAGAACUCACACAAGCUUAUAAGGAAUGGAUUAAAACUGAUAAAGCUUUGUUGAGUUUACUCAUCGCCAUACUUGGUGACGAGGCUAUUGAAUAUGUUGUUGGUAGUAAGACUACAUUUGAAGCCUGGACUAAUCUUACUGAUAGAUAUGCUACAGUUUCUAGGGCUCGCAUUAAUCAUCUCAAGACUGAAUUCUAUACAAUCAAGAAAGGGUCCGAUUAUAUUGAGAAAUAUUUGCUUCGGCUGAAGAAUUUGAAAGAUCAAUUGCUUUCUGCAGGGGAAGUGAUUUCUGAUAAUGAUUUGAUAGUGGUUGCUCUAGCUGGUUUACCUUCUGAGUAUAAUAUCAUUCGUACUGUAAUUGUUGCCAGAGAAACACCACUUACUCUUAAAGAAUUUCGAGCACAGUUGCUCAGUGCUGAGAGGACUGCUGAAGAUUUACCAAGUUCUCUUCAUUAUCCAAUAGCUGGAAUGUACUGUCAAGGAGAGUCUUCGAAUUCUGGUGGCUAUAAUGGUUUUCAUGAUCACAAUACAAGUAAUGGGAGGCAGUUUUAUCAUGGAGAGUCUUCGAACUCAGGUGGUCAAGUUAGUUCUCAUUCUACUGAAAACUAUGGUUUUGUGGGGCAAUACAACAUCUCUAAUCCAAGGGGUCAUUCGAGUGGGAGCUUCUCUCAAGCACAUAUUCCUCAGCAAUAUAAGUCUCAUAGACCUAAUAGUAAUAAUGGUGGUUCCAAUGGUUCUCGGUAUAAUUCCAGAUCAAGAUUCAAUGGGGGUUUUAAUACCAGACACAAUGGAAAUAAUGGUUUUUCUAGUAGCAGUGGUUCAAACAGUAAAUGGGGCUCUUCAUGGAACAAUUGGAAUGGCAAUACUGGACAGAAAUCUCAUGUGAUACCCGAAUGUCAAAUUUGCAGUAAGAGAGGGCACACUGCUCCCAACUGUUAUUAUAGAAAUGAACAGCAGCCUAUGGUUAAUCAAGGUAUUCCUGAGUGUCAAAUUUGUGGCAAGAGAGGUCAUGUUGCUCUUAAUUGUUUCCAUCGAAGCAACUAUGCAUAUCAAUGAGCAAAUCCACCUGCAACAUUGACUGCUAUGACUGCUCAAUCUUCCUCUGAUUUUAAUGCAAACCAAGCCUGGAUUAUGGAUACUGGUGCUACCCACCACAUGACUGAGGACCUUCAUGAUCUGAAUGUUGUCACACCAUUUGAAGGAGAUCAACAAAUCACAGUUGGAAGUGGAGAAUGUCUUCCAGUGAAACAUACUGGUUCCAAUUCUCUUCACACUUCUUCUAAAACUUUGAAUCUUCUUACUGUGUUACAUGUUCCUAAUCUUGCAGCUAGUUUAUUAUCCAUUUAUACCUUGUGUAAGGAUAACAAAUGCUAUGUAAUCAUGGAUGAAUUUGGUUUUUGGGUGCAGGACAAGGCAAUAAGGGCAAUUCUAAUGAGAGGAAUGAGUAGUGGCGGUCUGUAUUACAUACCAAAGAGUUUGUUCUUCAAGCACAAUCAAUUGCGACAGUCUGAAUCUUUUCCAAAAGCUUAUCUUGGGAAAUUGGUGCAAGCUUCCUUAUGGCAUCAUAGACUAGGUCAUCCUAGUAAUGCAGUGUUACAUAGUAUGCUUUCUCAUUCUCAGAUUGUGUAUAGGUCUGAUAAAAAUCAACAUGUAUACAGUGAUUGUUUGAGUGGCAAGAUGUCUAGACAAAGUUUUUCUUCUAGUUCUCAUAUCUCUGUAAGACUUUUUGAAAGGGUUUGUAGUGAUGUAUGGGGACCAUCUCCGGUUGUAUCAAUUGAAGGCUAUAAAUACUAUGUGAUUUUUGUUGAUGACUUUACUAAGUUUACUUGGUUCUUUCCUUUGACUUAUAAAUCUCAAGUUGCAUCAGUCUUUGAGCAGUUUUAUGCCUUUAUUCAGAACCAUUUUAAAACCUCAGUACAAUACUUUCAAUCUGAUGGAGGAAGUGAAUACAUGAGUUCAAAUUUUCAGAAGUUUUUGAAAGCUAGAGGUAUUAUACAUUUAGUUUCUUAUCCUUAUACCCCUCAACAAAAUAGGAUGGCUGAGAGGAAACAUAGGCACAUAAUUGAGACUGCAAUCACACUGUUGAAUUCAGCUAAGUUACCUCAUAAUUUCUGGACACAUGCAUGUAUUCAUGCUAUCUUUCUCAUAAAUCGAAUGUCAUGUUCUUCUCUGGACAUGAAUUCUCCUUAUUUUAAACUCUUUGGAAGUCAUCCUGUGUUACAUUCUGUUAAAGUGUUUGGGACUGCAGUUUAUCCUUAUCUUAGACCCUAUGUAAAGAAUAAAUUGGAACCAAGAACUGAACAGUGUGUUUUUCUGGGAUAUAUGUUGGGUUACAAAGGUGUGGUCUGCUAUCACAGGUCCAGAAAGAGGUUGUUUAUCUCUAGGCAUGUUUUUUCCUUUUCACAAACCAUGCAUAGUUCAAAGCAGACAUGAUGUUUCAUCUUCUUCUACGAUCCAUCCUAUCAUUGUUCCUUCUGUAUUUUCUGUUCAAUUUGCAAAUUCAGCUAGUAUGGUAGAAUUGGGUGAUCAUCACGAUUUUGGUCUACUUAGAUCUUCUGCAGUACAUACUUCUCAUUGUGCACAUAACAAUGGCUCCUCUUCCAGAGUAACAUCUGCUAGUUCAUUUUCUUUACAGGCUUCAUCAAAUUCCACUACUCCACUCUCUUCAUCAGCAUCUUCACAUGCCCUGUUGCCUGUCCCAAGUUUGCCUCACCCUGAGGUACAUUCCCAUCCUGUUACUUAUGCUAAUGUACCAGUUAAUGAUGACAAUAUUGUUGCUUCUCCUCUAUCCUUGUCAACUCAUCCAAUGCAAACAAGAUUGAAGACGGGAACCAUUUCUCGAAAAGAUUACACUGCAUGUUCAGCUAGUACAUCUCUUGAAUCUUCUGACAAUUCAUUUGGUUCGAGUGUUUUUCCUUGUCUUGGUUUCACUGAUGUCUUUGAUAUUAAGGAACCUACAGAACCAUCAUCAUAUAAACAGGCUGUUACUUGUGAACAAUGGAGAGAAGCUAUGAAAGAGGAAUUCAAUGCUCUUCAUAAACAAGGAACAUGGGAACUUGUUCCAAUGCCUACUAACAAGAAUGUCAUUGGCAGUAAAUGGGUAUAUAAGAUCAAACGAGAUCAGAAUGGCAAGAUAUCAAGGUAUAAGGCGAGAUUAGUAGCUCAAGGUUUCAGUCAAGAACAUAGUUUGGAUUAUGAAGAAACUUUUAGUCUAGUGGUCAGACACAGUACUGUUCGGAUUGUUCUUGCUUUAGCUGCUACAAAUAAAUGGCCUUUAAGGCAAUUUGAUGUUAAAAAUGCAUUUCUCCAUGAAGAUUUGCAGGAAGAGGUUUUCAUGAAGCAUCCUCAAGGUUUUACAGAUUCAUCUCAUCCUGAUUAUGUCUGUAAAUUGAUUAAGUCCCUUUAUGGCCUUAAACAGGCACCUCGGGCAUGGAAUUCUAAAUUUACAACAUACUUGCCUUUUCUUGGUUUUGUGGUUUCCGAAUCAGAUACAAGUUUAUUUGUCAAGACCCAAGGUGAUGCAGUUGUUAUUCUUCUUCUCUAUGUUGAUGAUAUAAUCAUCAUUGGAUCUGAUUCAGUAUUGGUUCAACAAGUUAUUUCCAAUCUUAGAGAGGUAUUUGAUAUGAAGGAUAUGGGGGCUCUCACAUUUUUUCUUGGAUUACAUAUUACUUACCAAGUGAAUGGCGAUUUGUUUCUUUCUCAAUCGAAAUAUGCCAAAGACUUGAUAAAAAAGGCGGGUAUGACUACUUGUAAGCUUUCUCCUACUCCUUGUAAACCUCAUACACAACUAUUGCGAAAUGAAGGAACUCCACUCAUUGAUCCUACUAUUUUUCGAAGUUUAGUGGGUGCACUGCAGUAUCUGACUUUUACCAGGCCUGAUAUUGCGUUUGCUGUCAAUUAUGCAUGUCAAUUCAUGUCCAAUCCUACUGAUGUACAUUUUGAGUUAGUCAAACGCAUUCUGAGGUAUUUACAAGGGACUGUUGAGUGUGGUGUUACUUAUUCAUCUGCUGAUACUAUGGAUCUCACUGCAUUUAGUGAUGCUGAUUGGGCAUCGGAUAUCAAUACCAGAAGGCCCACAACAGGAUAUAUGGUGUUCUUGGGACAAAAUCCAGUGUCUUGGCAGUCUAGAAAACAAGGUAGUGUUUCAAGAAGUUCGACAGAGGCCGAAUAUAAAGCUCUAGCCAAUGCUACUGCAGAAAUAGCUUGGAUUCGAUUGAUUCUUAAAGAUUUGAAAGUGUUUCUGCCUUCUCCCCCACUUUUGCAUUGUGAUAAUGUUUCCACUAUUGCUCUGUGCUCUAAUCCUGUUUUUCAUACCAAAAUUAAACAUCUCGAUACGGACUUUCAUUUUGUUCUUGAACGGGUUCAAAAAGGAGAUUUACAAGUGGAGUACAUUUCUUCUACAGAUCAGGUUGCUGAUAUUCUUACAAAAUGACUUCAUGGACCUGUUUUCUUACAUCAUUGUCUUAAUCUCAAACUGGGUUCCCCAGUUGCGAUUGAGGAUGGGGUAUUGAAUAUGAUAAUAGACAUAUGGCAUUAUCCUGUAUUGACAAAUGUCAUAAUCGUGUGAGAUCAUUGUUGAGAUGUUAGCUUAGUCAAUAAGCUACUAUGUUUACUAUAAAUAGGAGAUUGCACCACCAUGUAACUAAGUCUUCUGUAUUCAUUACAAUCAAUAUACAAAAAUAUUUUCUCUCUAUCUCUCUUUUUCUCUAUUUCUUUCUUCUUCCUUGUCGAUGGGUUUCUUGAUUUCUACUUCCGCAACUCUGUUAUCACACAUUAUCCAGAAGUUCAUUCUCAUUUACCUCAAGAUCAUCGACAAGAUCGAUCUUCCAAUUUCUGAGACUGAGAUUUCUACCUUUUUUCCCCCUAGUUAUAUAACUUCCACUACCACUAGUUUCCCAAUUUCAUCUCCCCUACCAUCCAUGGCGUCUGCAAGCUCUCACAAACACCCAUCUCCUCUGUCAUCCACUACUUUCCCCAUCACUUUCCCACCUUCCUCUUGGAGUUGUAGAAGGAGCUUGCUAUGAAGAUCUGUUGUGUGAAAUUGUGCAUCUUGGAUUGAAAACUUUUUUAACACUGGGUUUUGGAUUUGUUUCCUGGUCUGCAAUGCGACGACGAGUUGAAAAAUACUCUGAUCAGAUUUCGAUUUCGAAAAUUAAAAUCUGGUAAAACAAGAAUAUCAACGAUGAAGAUUCGAUCUCAACCCAAUGAGAAGGAGAAACGGAGGAGCGUAUUUUUGAGAUUGUGAAAGUUUCAUUAAAAUCUACUGUUCACCCGCCUUCUUGAAAAAAUAAAAGCUGGUUUUGAGAAGCAGCAAAAAUGCAACUUCUGAUUUUUGCCACUUUUCAGCUUAUAAUGACCUGUGAUUUUUAAAAUAAGCAGAGUUACCAAACACAAAUUGUACUCCAAUUUUUUUUCAUCCCAGCUUUUAAAAUAAUUUAAGCAGUACCAAACCUUACCUUAUUCUAAUUGCAACAAAGAAAGCUGAAACUGGAAUAAUUCGUGAUUUGUUCAAACCAAGAAUACGAAAUCAACAACCUACUAGAAAAUAUGCUCGUAGAGAUUUACGGGUUGUUUCAGCAAGUAAUUUUGCUAAAAGCGCUUUUAUUAAAACAACGUUGAUAAAUCACUUUUAUAAUGAUAUAAGCAUGCCAAAAGAUUAAACUAGUUUACAACAUCAAUAUUAUAAUGAUAGUACUCUCAGUUCAUUCUUGCUCAUAGAAUUAAAGAGAGAAACCGAACUAAACAACAAUGCGGACUAGCUUGGUCAACUCUCAGGCCUUUAUUCUUGAAGAUAGCAAAAUUACUCAAAGUUCCAUAUCAUAUGUAUGCAUAAAUCUUGUGCUUGGCACUUAUUCCUUGAGAAGAUGUGCAUCAAUAUCUUUAAUGACAUUGACCAUAAAGCUGAGGUACUUCUGUGGAGGCGGAUCGUUCUCGUUGAGUUUUUCAUAUUCUAAAGUAAUUUUCACAAAACCUCCUUCACUCUUUGGAGUGACCUGGAAAAUGAUCUUGUAGCUUUUGUAAUUGUCCAGCACAUGUGAUCCUUCCAGAGCUGUAAGACUCACCCACUUGUUUACUUCAUCUAUUUCCACCUUUUCCUUGAAUGUCUCGACAUUUCCAUCUACACGUCACAUGGAAAAUUACAAUGAUACAUCUAUUCAUGGAGAGAUUUUUCAAUGCUCAGAACACUAGGUGGUACGACACAUUAUUAUACAAACGAAUGAAAAUUAUUUUCAAGUGUCUUUUCACUUAUAUAAUGAAAUAUAAUUUAUGUAUCCAUGUUCCGAGCACACUAAAAAUUCUCUCAUGUCCAUGAUCCGAUUCUUUAUAUAUUCAUCGUCAGGUAAUGCAAACCUAAUGGCGCAUGGAUGGCCUGGUCAAUAUAUUUCAGUUUUAAUUCUAGAAGAAUCUUAUACGUACAUAUACAUAUCACGUUAGCAUGUUUAUUUCAUAGCAGGUUAGUUUGUGUUAUUAAAAAAAAAAAAAAAUAAUAAUAAUAGUAAUAAUGUUACAGUAUUAACUAUAAACGUAACAUUAUUAUUAUACAACUUUUUUUAACAAACAAUAUUAUCUACAUUAAGGGAAAGAGGUGAGCUUAGCCUCACAAUGUUUGAACGAUGGAAAUAAAUUUGGACUUUUGACAAAAUUUAGAAUUUAUAAAUUAACAUGCACCAAUUCUCUUGUCUAGAUUCAUAAACAUAGAAAUUUAGAAUUUCCGCGUGAAAAAAGGGAGAAUUUGAGACCUCCAAUUCCCAAGUUUAAAUUUCAUGUAAAUAAGUCACUCAGUAUUACAGUCUUAUAGUAUUUCUCUUCACUUGAAAGUGAGAGGUUAUAGGUUCGAAUCUUGUUAAUGACGAAUUUGAUACCAAAUUAGGCUACCCAUUGUGUGGCUUUGCCGAACUCCCCCUCCCCUUAGUGUAAAAAUAUCGAUGUACUAAAAAAAAUCAUGUAAAUAGGUGUUAUUCCAAAUUUUUAUGAGUGAGAGUUUAAAGAUAACAAAUUCUAUAUUGAAUUUAUAUUAUUCUUUUAAGUUAGUCAAACAAGAAAAUUUACAAAUUCUAGAAAUAAAAUUUCAUAGUAAUUUUAAAUUUUCUCAUUCAAACAUAAUGUUAGAGUCAUGAUGUAACACCCGUCGCUUUUUAUUUAACAAAAUUAAUUAUUAGUUUAACUAGGUUAGGAGGAGAGAGGAGGGUGAUUAAUUUCAUAUUACCUAGGGUGUAUUUCCAGAGCUUGACAGAGCCAGAAGUUUCCCAGUCACCUUCAUGUACUGCAACAUCGUGUAUUUUAUCAGAGGCUGCUUUGGGGACGUCGUGGUGCUGGUUGCUGAUGACUUUGUACAACUUAUCAGCGUUGGCUUUGAUCUCUACCUCAACCUCCACAGUCAGCUUGCAAGCACCAGCUCUGUUGAAUAUAUCAGUCCACCUCAUCAUUCCAGCUCAGCAAUAGUUAGUUAGGCUGUUAUCAAAUUAGUUAGUUAAAUAGCUUAGGCUGUAAACUAGUCAUGAUGGCUAUAUAAACUGUAUUCUCAUAGUUGUAAAGAUUAAUUCAGUAUCAAUGUAACCAAUUACUGUCUCUCUCUCUUAUUCCCUUUUCUCUCUUCUUCUUCGGUACAUGCUCUUUCUGCAACUCUUCAUUUCUGUUAACAUGGUAUCAUCGCCAUGGAUGAUCUUUUGACUUCCGUUGUAGUACCUCUGAUGGGUAGCUGAUCUCUGUGUAAGGUUGAUGACGUUUUGCUGUUCUUGGGAGGCUUCGAUACUUGUCUAUGGAGUUUUCGUUGGUGAUGAAGAUCUGUGCGCUCCAGGUGUUUGAUAAUUUGUGUCAGCCAAUUGUCGGAGUUUGCGAGGAUUCUGGUAUAGGUGUGUCAUCGCCGGAGGUCGGUUCUUGGUGAUUUGUUGCUCUUCCGCUGUGGGUGAACAAGCUUGGAUGUUCGAGUGCGUUUUCUGGGUUUCAAGAUUCAAGUUCUCAGGUUUUGUUUCUGAUUACUAGUUUUCUUUCCAGCAUAUCAACUAUUGUGACUCAGUGAGAAUUUUGUUGGGAAUUUCGGAAGUGUCAAGGCCAAUAGCCGUAUACUUCAGAUUUGUGAAGAGUUCAAGGUCGAAUGUCAUAUUUGAGAAUCUUUAAGGCAAAUUGCCAUUUCUCAGUUGCUAUAAAAUUGUUGAUUGUAUUUCCCUAAGGCCGAUUGCCGGGAUUUUAUGUUGUCUAAAAGAUUGUCUGUUAAUUGGGUUCUCUGUGAUUGUAUGCUGUACUCCCUUAAGGCCGAUUGCCGGAGUAUAAAGCUGUCUGAAAGUUGUUUUCUUGAUGCAAAGUGUUUGUUGGGAUAGAGAGGCCGAUAGCCAUUUCCCUUUUAUGUUUCACUUCAGAAAGGCCGAUAGCCAGAAGUGUGUGUAGAACAUUAACUGAUUUAGAAGAAUAUGAAGGCCGAUUGCCAUUUCUUCUAAGAGAAAGAUUGUUUAGUAGGAUUUGAAGGUCGAUUGCCAUUGUUGAAAGAUUGCUGAAAGAUUGAAUCUUUGAUUCAUUAUUGGGUAUUGUUUGAUUGUUUGUUGGGUAUUGUACACUCAAGAAGGCCGAUUGCCAAGAGUGUCUUAGUUCAAGAUUCUGCAAAGUUGUUCAUAUUCUAUCUGCAAAAGUGAUGUGUGAUGAUAAUGGGAUGAGCAACCUGUUUUAGUUUUGGCAAGUUUGAAAGGAUGAUAACUAUAUGUGGUUGUACCUUAUCGCAAAAGAAAAUAGUAGCUACAGAGGUGUAGAAAUCAGUUUGAGGGGCUGAAAUUCUUUGGGCAGUUGAUGGAUGAGUAUGAAAUUGCAUCGUUCUUAAGUAAUUUUCAAUGCUUGCAGCCAUGGAGGAUUAAUUGGUGAGGAGCAGCAGAGCUAGGAGUAUAUGGACAAGAAGGACUUCCUAAGUUCUACAUUUCUCAAAGCACUCAUUCAAUCUCCAACUAGGAAACUCAGUUGAGAUUGAGGGGGGAUGUUGAAUAUAUCAGUCCACCUCAUCAUUCCAGCUCAGCAAUAGUUAGUUAGGCUGUUAUCAAAUUAGUUAGUUAAAUAGCUUAGGCUGUAAACUAGUCAUGAUGGCUAUAUAAACUGUAUUCUCAUAGUUGUAAAGAUUAAUUCAGUAUCAAUGUAACCAAUUACUGUCUCUCUCUCUUAUUCCCUUUUCUCUCUUCUUCUUCGGUACAUGCUCUUUCUGCAACUCUUCAUUUCUGUUAACAAGCUCCACUCACUGCCAUUUUCUUUUAUUUGUUAUUAGUAAUAUGUGAUUAGUCUGGGGAAAUUGUAGGAGACGUAUACUAACCUACAGGUUUCAACUUCUUAUAUAGAGUCGCAAAGUUGUAAAUUAACAUGUUAUAAACUGAUAGUUAUGGAGGCAGCGUGUGGAUAUGAUCCGAUCACUUAAUUAAAUAGUUAUAUAAUAAUAUUGUGUCUGUGGAUCUUCCACGCAGAGUUUUAUUAUUACACCUACCAAACUUAAGAGCACCCGCAAACUUGAUGAGACAUAUAUCAACACGUGAGAACAAUGAUUGAUCAACAUUACCUCCAUAGUAUUAUUAGAGUGAAUGAUUGUAUGAUAUUAAUUAAGCAUUAAGAUCUUGGGAACUUUAAUGAAAAAUUUCUGGUAUUAUUCAUUUUAAUAAAAAAUUAUAUUUUUACAUUAAAAAGUCAAUCUUAAUACUAUUCACUUUAUUCUUUAUUUUGUCCUUAUUGUUAAAACUCAAAAUUUUCAAGCCAUUUUCAUUAAUUUUCUUUAAGAUCUUUUGAUUUGGCAUGCGGAAGUGUGUGUUUGUAUAUUAUAUAGGGAUAAUACUAAGUUAGGUUCAUAUUAUCUUAACUAGUGAUAAAUUAAGGGUUCUUUCGAGUUAUUCGAAACAGUGGUUUAUAUUAUCUUGACAUACGUGCAACCAAACACAAAAAAGAGAGGCUGUAUUGGCUUCCAAAAUAAAACUAGAUGCAAACAAUAAUGUGGAGUUCCGGUUACUCUUUUGGAAUCAACCAAAGCUGAAUCAUUGAUGCCUACUUUCAGAAAGUUUUCCUUUUCUGCAUGCAGAUCUUUUCAAUGGAUGUAGCUCGUUUUGGGAGGUAACCACUUACUUCUUCGAGUUCAUUAAUUUUAGUCAAUCUAAAGUAAUUUAAUUAAGUUUAUUAACCUUACAAUUUUGAGCGUUAAUACUCAAUUUUGGAGGAAUUGCAUCACGUUUACGUAAAGGCAAUCGAAAUAAUAGAGUGGAAUUAAAUUUCAAUUACGGAAUACUCCAGUAUUUACUAAAUAUUGGAGAAUAAAAAAUUUGAUAGCACCCACUCAAUUUUUUUAAUCCAAUACUAAUUCAUACUCAAAUUUUGGAAUAAAAAAUCUAAUACUAAUUCGUACUCAUCAAAUGAAAGUAAAAUCUAAUUCUUCAUUUUUUAAGUACUUAAUUAUUGUAAUGUGAGUAAACGCAUGAAAAUCAUGAUUUAGAAUAUUUUCUAAUGCAGACUCUAAGUCUGAAAUUGAAAUAUAAAGAUAGCCCUUGAAGGGUCGAUUCUGGUUAAUCUAGGCAUGAGAAUACGAAAAAAUACACACAAAGUUAUUAAGAUAGCUUUCCUUUUUUAUAUUUUAGCGAUAGUCUAGUCUAAUCCAACAUUAGACCACAUUCAGUAAUUCAAACUAAGAGAAGGGGGAUUCAAACUUGGCUACACUCGGAUUCUCAUAUUAGGAUUGAUUCUGAAGUAAAAGAAUAUAACCAAGUUGAUCAAGAAAUUUCAAAAUUUCUAAUGGAAACUUAUUAGAAUUUUUUUGUGAAUGUGUUGAAGUUGGGAUUUUUUUGUUUUCGUAUUGAAGUUGGGAUUGAAACAGAAGAUAAAGCAUAAUAUAAAGUUUCAUUACAAUUAACAACAUGUUCUAUUAAAUGAAAGUGACUAAAUAUUGAAAAACAUGCUACGCCGCGUUGAUCAACUCCGGCAACGAGCAUUAGCACUGCAUCCACGGUUGUAGGGGUUGCUCUGAUUCUGAGCACCCGGCUUGCAGUUGUUGGAGGAAGCACCUCUCUGAGAGCAAGGAACAGUGUUUCUCUGCAGCGCUUCAUAGCUUAUGUUUCGUGAGGUGGCCAAGAUGCGCCUGCUAAUCUCCGAGUCCAUGCCAAACUCAUCAUCACGAUCAUCCAUGCACUCUGCUACAGAACCCUCGCAGCGAGGUCUCACUGGAGCCCAGCUCACCCCAUGAUCGCCGCCUGCAUCAACGGAGAUGACCAGAGCGGCCGCGAAAAUCAACGAAAAGAUAAUCGCAGAGGAAUUAGCCAUAGGUUUUGGUACGGUCUGUGUUUUUAGCUGCCAACUUGUAUUUUGUUGUACGCCUGUUUAAUUACAGAGGUAGAGAGAGGGGGCGGCAAGAAAGAGAAGAGAUAAUCGGUGAAAUUUUGAUGUGUAUAUUCUUUCACCCUAUUGUGCUAAUUAUAGUAGUAAAAAGGGAAAAUUUUUGUCUUUCAAGUAAUUCAUAGGAGUUAGGGAAAAUCCUUGUCUCUCAAGUAAUCCAUCUAAAAUAGGACAUUAUGUAAAAGAUAUUAUACAAUUCCAUAAGGAUUUACACAAUCAUAUUCCUAAUUAAAUUAAGACUGUGACAUAUUUAAAUUUGGUUAAAUAAAAAUUGGAUGUUGAUUUCUUUAAGGAGGUAAUUACUUAAUUGACAUGCUUUAAUUCAACCUUAUUCCAAUUGCAACAAAGACAGCUGAAAUUGAAAUAAUUCGUGAUUUAUUCAAAACCUAACAAGAAAACAAAAUCAACAACUACUACAAAAUAUGCUCGUAGAGAUUUCCGGGAUGUUUCUGCUCUUAAGUGUUUUUGCUAAAAGCUCUUUUAUCAGUACAAGGUUGAGACUUUAGUUAAAAAACUAAGUUGUUCUCGAAAAAAUAUAAGCAUGCCAAUAGAUUGAACUUGUUUACAACAUCAGCAUUAUAAUAAUAUCACACUCAAUUCAUUCUUGCUCAUAGAAUUAAAGACAAACCAAAUCAGAAACCGAAAUAAGCAACAGUGCUAACUAGCUUGCUCAGCUCUCAGGUCUUUAUUCUUGAAGAUAGUAAUAUUACUCAAUGUUCCAUAUCGUAUGUAUGCAUAAAUCUUGUGCUUGGCGCUUAUUCCUUGAUAAGAUGUGCAUCAACAUCUUUAAUGACAUUGACCAGAAAGCUGAGGUACUUCUGUGGAGGCGGAUCGUUCUCGUUGAGUUUUUUAUAUUCUAAAGUAAUUUUCACAGAACCUCCUUCACUAUUUGGAGUGACCUGGAAAAUGAUCUUGUAGCUUUUGUAAUUGUCCAGCACAUGUGAUCCUUCCAACCCUGUAAGACUCACCCGCUUGUUUGCUUCAUCUAUUUCCACCUUUUCCUUGUAAGUCUCGACAUUUCCAUCUACACGUCACAUGGAAGAGUAUAAUUAUACAGCUAUCCAUGGUCCGAUCCUUUAAAUAUUCAUCGUGUGGUAAUGUAAACCCUAUGCAUGGAGGUCUUGUCAUUUUUAAUUCUAAAAGUACAUAUAUAUGAGGUAACGCAAACCCCUAGCUUGCUAGGUUUCAAGUUAGCAUGCCUAAUUAUUUUGCAGCAGGUUAGUCUGUGGUAUUAAAAAAAAAAUGUUAGUCAUAAGUAUAACCUUAACAAUGUUUGGUUGUAAUUUGCUUGCUCCUUCAUGCAAUCUCACAGUCUCACUACCACCUCCACAAGUUUGCGGAGUAAGCAUCUUCAUUCGCCCCAAAAGGGCUUCGUUUCACUAUCUUUUACACAGCGGAGGCUGUAUAAAGCUACGACAGAACAAAAUUCGGCACCCGGGAGAGGGACGAUCUCCAGAGAUUCUUUAACAUUUUUUGUAUUUCUUUUUUUGUUGAAUCAUUUCUUGUAAUUUAAACAUUUAGCGUCAUCUUGUAAUUUAAAUAUUACCUAUGGUGUAUUUCCAGAGUUUGACAGAGCCAGAAGUUUCCCAGUCACCUUCAUGUACCGCAACAUCGUGUAUUUUAUCAGAGGCUGCUUUGGGGAAGUCAUAGUGCUGGUUGCUGAUGAAUUUGUACAGCUUAUCAGCGUUGGCUUUGAUCUCUACCUCAGCCUCCAUAGUCUCCAGCUUGCAAGUACCAGCUCCACUCACAGCCAUUUUAUUUUAUUUGUUCUUUAUAAUAUGUGAAUAACGAUAGUGUAAGUCUGGGGAAUUGUAGGAGACGUAUACAAACCUAUAGGUUUCCACUUCUUAUAUAUAAAGCCAUGUUAUAGUUACGGAGGCAGUAUGUGGAUAUUAUCCGAUCACUUAAACAGUUAAAUGAUAACAAUGUGAGAGUGGAUCUUCCACGUAAAAUUUUAUCACCACUACACACCUACCAGAAUAAAACUUUUUUCUUUUUUUUUUUAAUUAAAAGAAGAAAUGUCAAUUUCAUUCCGCAUUAUUAUCAUGGAACAAGACAUUAUUUUGAAUACAUUGAAGAAGAAAAAAAAAUAUAUAUAAUAAGUUAGAGGGGACAUGAAGCCUAGCCCUAACAAGAAGUAGAAAACUAUUUGAAACAACAAUCAAUUAAGACAACUCCUAAGAGAAACAAGAAUUUGGAAACACCGAAAGAUUAUGAGCAAAAGUCAUAACUGCACAUGACGGAUAAGAAUCACACAAAUAAUGAAAACUAACAUGAUCAACAUAAUAGUUUGCUAAACAAUUUGUUACAUGAUUUCCUUCCCGAUUAACGUGAGAAAACUGAACAUGCAUGGAAGAGAGAAUGGUAUAGUAAUUUGUCAAAUCAACCGAUAAACUAUGGUGCAUUGCCAAACAAGAAUUACACUCAUUUCAAAGAGAAUGCUGCUAACCCCUUUCGAAAGCAAUAUAAAUAACAUGAAUAAUAGCUUUAAGUUUCACUUCCAAAGCAGUAACAAUGCCAAAAAAAUCUUGUAUUAAAGCAUCAAAGAGACCCAAGUGAUCACGAAAAAUACCACAAAAACCAGCAAACUUGAUGAGACAUUUCAACACGUAUAUAUAUAAGAGGAUCAAUGAUUGAUCAACUUUACCUCCAUAGCAUUAUUGGAGUGAAUGAUUGUACGAUAUUGAGGCGUUUGUUUGGAUUUGGCACGAGGAAAUGUGUGUAUAUAUUGUAUAUAUAGUGAUAAAACUAAUUUAGGUUUAUAUUACCUUAACUAGUGAUAAAAUUAAGGGUUCUUUAGAGCUAAUAGAAAUCAAUGGUUUAUAUUAUGUUGACAUAACCUAGAGAGAGAAAAAAAAGAGGUUGUAUUGUCAUCAAAAUAAAAUUAUGACACAAACAAAUAAUGUGGAGUUCAUGUUACUUAUUUGGAAUCAAUCAAAGCUGAAUCAUUGAUGCCUAAUUUCAGAAAAGUUUUUCUUUUCUGGAUGCAGCAUCUUUUCACAGGAUUUUUUUUUCGGUUGUUGUAUUGUGAAGGAACUUCUUGGAUAGUUUUUUUUCCCUUUUACACUAGCUUAGUGUCUUCCUGCCAAAAUAAUGACACAGAAAUUUUCAUCAAAAGGGUUGGCGAUGUCGGGCAGCAAAUGUAGUUUCCCGUGAAAUUGCAAAACUUGCUCACAAUCUGAUGAUUUUGUCUCUUGGGUUGGCUCUCCCUUCUCCUAACUGCUGAAGACUGAUGAAGCAGAAAUUUAAUCAUCAAUGAAUUUCCUUGACUAAUCCAUUAUCUUUCCGUUGCCCGUUCUCUUUGAUUUGUUCAUAAUCCGAUUAUUGUUCAUUCCAAUUCCAAGCGCGUAAACGUGCCCUCAUAGUUAUGGACUUGUUCGCAUCGUUUAAUUUUCCUUGAAUACCUGACUUUGUCGCCUAUGGUUUCACAAGAAAAUAAUCUCUUUGUUAAACCAGAAAAUUUAACGGUUCAUUAAUUAGCAACUAUUUCAUUUUUUAACAAUAUUUGGCUACUCAAAGGAUGAGUAAGAGUUCCUACUCAAACCUAUUUGUUGCCGAUCCAUAGAACUUCAUGUUUAUAAUAGAGCAGUUCAUAUUAGAAAUCACUUUAUAAAAAUUGUCUCUACAAAAAAUCAAUUAGACUAAGGUCGUUUAGUAGUCGAACUGUGAAAAAACAAAGGAAAGAAAUUGGUGAAAACAUUACAAACCAUUUAUGUAUUUACUAGAAUAAAUUGACUAAAUGACCUUAAUUUUAAUUCAAUUUUUGCAGAAAUGAUCUCCACAGUGUGAUUCAUAAUAUGAACAGUUCUGUUCAUAAGCACAAACUUCAGUGAUUCGAACAUGAAAAAUUUUGAGUGGGAGUUCUUACUCAUCUUUGAGUAGCCAAGCAUUGUUCUUCAUUUUUUUUUAUGUCAGUAAUAGUCUGACAAAGAACAAUAAUAAGUAAACUGUGAAAAAAAAAAUAUUUUACAAAUGGAAAAACAAACAAAAUGAAAAAGAAAAUAAAUUAAUAUUUUAAGUUGUUUUCACUUUGAAAAUUUUGUUUUAUUCAUUCCCUCUUUAUCUAAUUCUUAGCCUUCAUGUAUUGAAUUAUGCAUUGUAUUGUAGAAUCCAAAAAAAAAAAAAAAAAAAAACUUUUUUGGAAUCCAUAUGUGUAUAAGCAUGAAAUUAUAGCCCACCCAUAUGAAAAUUUUGACUCCGCGGUUGCAUGUAAGGAUAAACAUGCCAAUAGAUUAAACUUAUUCACACUAUAACAUAAAAAUGCUAUUACACUCAAUUAUAGAAGUUGCUCAAAAGACUAAAGACAGUCCAAGUCGGAACUAAACAACAAGGCUAUAGCUUGCUCUUCUUCCAGCCUUUAUUCUUGAAGAUAUAAGAUUAUCUCCCCUCUUAAUCUCUCUUUCCAUUCCUCCUCUCCUAUUUAAAUGUUUACCGCGUCAACAUCUUGUUUUAAAUUUAUUAUAUAGAGAAAAAGACAAAAAGAAAAGUGUAAGAUGAGGAGGGAGAAUGAAAUGGUAUUGGAAGGUAGAGAAUCCUACUCCAAGUGUUCGUUAGGGGAGAGGGGGACCCUGAGAGCAGAAGACUCUUCAUCUUCAGGUUUGAGAGUAAACGCUUUACUGUUGAAGAUAUAUAGUGAUUGACACAUCAUCAUAAGUGCUACAUCAGCUAUUGGAGUUAGUUAGUUUUUUAAGAAUCAGUUACACAAGUGGCUUAGCUGAUAAGCUACAUGUGCAGACUAUAUAAAGGAAUCAGGGGUCUUUUGUAUCUCUCUUCAUCCUUAUGAAAUAACAAAACUUUUACUCAUUUCUUUCUCUAGUUCUCUCUCUAUUCCUUUUGAUCUUUCUCUCUCUAUUCCUUUGAUAUUGCUUGCAUACAUUCAUCUGUUAGUUGUUAGAUGAAUGUUAUCAUGGUAUCUUCGCCGAGGGUUCGAUCUCGUGGUGUGUAUUUCCGCUGUGUUGUGCCAAAAGAUUGUCUUGAUUGCUGUGCUGUGCUUUAGUGGGUUAAUGAGCUUUUGGCGUUUGGGAAGUCAGACUUCGAGUUUAUCAGGUGUUAUUUUUCUUUUUGCACUCCAAGUGUGUGUGUAAUUGUCGCAAUGAUGAAUCUUUUGUGAAAGACUAAAAGUUGAAGGCCGAUAGCCAUUUCUUGAUGUUUGGAAUAUGAUAUUGAAUGUCAAUAGCCAUUUCUUGAUGUUUGGAGUAUGAUAUUGAAGGCCGAUAGCCAUUUUUCUGAUUGAAUAAUUGUUGAAGCGUUUUCUGUCAAAGCAUAAAGGCCGAUAGCCAUUGCUUUUGUUUGAGUGUUUGUUGGGUUUUUUCACAAGAACAAGGCCGAUAGCCAGUAAUGUGUGUUCUUGGAGUUAUUAUACUUCUUGAAGAUUGUUUGAGUACUUGAUUUCUUGAUUCAGUUUCUAUCAACAAUAUGGCGUUUAGUUCUAUCAAAAUUGAAAGUCUUUUGGGCAUGAUCACUGUUAAGUUGAAAGAAGAUAAUUUUGUCAAAUGGGAUUAUCAGUUUCAAUAGGUGCUUAAGGGGUAUGAUUACUUUGAUUUCUUUAGUGGGGAGUCUCAGUGUCCUCCAAAGUUUGUAAUUAAUACUGAGACUGGGGUCACUAAAGAAAUUACUACUGCAUAUAAAGACUGGGUUAAAACAGAUGUCUCUCUAUUGAGUUUGUUGAUUGCUACACUUUCGGAUGAAGCUAUAGACUAUGUCAUUGGGUGUAAAACUUCUCAAGAAGCUUGGAAAUCUUUUCAGGAACGAUAUGCAUCUGUAUCUGUUGUCCGGGUUAAUCAACUCAAGACUGAGUUUCAUACUGUACAUAAAGGUGCAGAUUAUGUUGACAAGUAUUUGCUUCGAUUGAAGGUUAUCAAGGAUCAACUGGUUGCUGCAAGGGAGAGAAUCACUGAGAAUGAUUUGGUCAUUGCUGCUUUGUCUGGUUUACCUCCAGAGUUUGAAAUGAUCAGGACAGUAAUCUUAGCAAGAGACACUCUGAUUUCAAUGAAAGAUUUUCGAGCUCAACUAAUUGGGGCUGAAGGCAGUAUUGAGUCUCGACUGACAACUUUAUCAAGUUCUAUGGCUGCCAUGUAUGUUCAGGGCAAUGGCUCGAAUACACAGGGAUCUCAGGGAAAUACUCCAAGUUAUGAACAAUGGGAGAGUUCAAAUGCACAAAGGUCUCAAGGGAGGAAUAAUUACAAUAGUGGUAAUAACAACAGGAGGUAUAAUGGGAAUAAUUUCAACAAUCGAAAAUUCUCUGGUGGUUAUAAUGGUGGGAAUAAUAAUUACAGGCCAUAUUCUACUUUUGGGAAUAAUGGGAAAGGUGUUCAAAAUGGAGGUUCUCAAAGUUAUUUUUCUGGUAAUGGAAGCAAACAAGGAAACACUUGGAAUGGUGAUACAAAUUACAGAAAUGCUAUAUCUCCUGAAUGUCAAAUCUGCUAUAGAAGAGGUCAUACAGCACCAAAUUGUUACUUUGGAGCUGAUAACAAUCAAUCAUCUGGAGGGAUCUUGGUAUGUCAGAUAUGUGGGAAAAUAGGUCAUCGGGAUUUGGAAUGCUUUCAUAGAAAUAACUUCUCAUAUCAAGGCAGUGCACCACCCACAUCUCUUGUUAGGAUGGCUGCUCAAGGCUCAAAUGUUGCAACUGAAGACUCAAAUAUCCAUGGUUUUUCAGCUGCUGAUACAUAGGUAGUUGACACAAGUGCAACUCAACCACAUGACAUCACAUGUCGAAGUUUUAAAUCAUAUCACUCCUUAUAAUGGUGAUGCCACGAUCACUGUUGGUAAUGGAGAAGGUUUGGUGGUUAAAAAUAUUGGUUCUUCUGUUCUUAACACUCAACAAAAGUCACUCAUUUUGCAAAAUGUGCUACAUGUUCCACACAUUACAAUGAAUUUGUUGUCUGUUAAGAAAUUAUGCAGAGAUAAUAAUUGCUGGUUUGUAUGUGAUGAUCUGAUCUUCUUGAUACAGGACAAAGCAACUCGAAGGAUUGUGUACCAAGGCCAGAGUGAUGAUGGGGAGCUCUUCAAGAUACCAAUAACAGUGCUGUCGAGAUCCAGAGUACCAAGUAUUGAAAGAUGUGCUGCUUUUGUUAGAAAGAAGCUAAAGACUGCAGUUUGGCAUAAAAGGUUGGGUCAUCCAUUUGAAGAAGUGCUUACUGCAAUGUUGAAUAAGUCUAAAGUAUUAGCUAGUAUAGAUUUGUCUCCAUCUAUAUGUACUGCUUGUAUUCAAGGCAAAAUGACUAAGUUGCCUUUCUCUGUAAGUCCCGAUAGGUCAAAAGUUGUAUUUGAAAGGAUACAUUCAAAUAUAUGGGGUCAUUCACCGCAUAGGUCAAUAGAGGGUUAUAGGUAUUACAUAAGCUUUGUAGAUGACUGCUCUCAAUUUGUAUGGAUUUUUCAGAUGGUUAAUAAAUCCGAUGCUUUUCCAAUCUUUACCAAGUUUCUUACAUUUCUUGAGAAUCAGUUUAAUGCUUUUGUUAAAGUUCUUCAAUCAGAUGGUGGAGGUGAGUAUAUGAGUAAUGUGUUUAGACAGUUGUUGGAGAUAAAAGGAAUUAUACACCAAGUUUCAUGUCAUCAUACACCACAACAAAAUGGUCUUGCUGAACGAAAACAUAGACAUUUGGUUGAGAUUGCUAUUAGUUUGCUAUCAGAUGCUCAAUUACCUUCAGCAUUCUGGUAUCAUGCUUGUUUUCAUGCUGCAUUCUUAAUCAAUAGGAUGCCAUCUAGAACUUUGAAGAUGUAGUCUCCCUAUCAAGUUGUGUUUGGUUGUGUUCCUGAAGUGCAGCAUCUUAAAGUCUUUGGUACUGCAGUUUAUCCUCUAUUGAGACCAUUUAAUAAAAAUAAAUUGGAGCCAUGGUUAGCUCAAUGUGUAUUUCUUGGUUUUGCUCAUGGAUAUAAAGGAGUUAUUUGUAAUGAUAUCAAGACUAGAAAGUUCAUUCUGUCAAGGCAUGUAGUACAUGAUGAAGAUGUAUAUUCGUUUAAACAAGUUUUGCCAUCUAAGGAUUCUACACCUACAAAUAGGUGUUCUCAGACACUUGUUUUGAUUCAGUUACAAGUUCCAAGUGAAAAAGUCCUGCCUCAUACACACAUACAACAUGAUUCACAAGCAGCUAGUUCUAUACAUAUAUCAGCAAGUGAUACUGGUUCACAUCACAGUAUUCCUGUAAAUGGUGACAGUAUAAAUAUGGUUGGUGAAUUGAAUGUUUCUAGUUCGGACAAUACACAGGUGAUUCAACCUAGUGAUCAGGAUACAAAUUCGACUGAUACCACUACUCUACAUGCAUCUCCAAGCUCUUCCCAUCAUCACUCUGGUACACAAUCCUUGUUGCAUGUCCACUCCGAGUCACAACUUGAGGUAAUCCUUCCUGAUUUAUCUCCAUUUGAUCUCAUUUUACAUACUGCACCAUCGACUUACUCAAUGGUCACUAGAUUGAAGAGUGGAACAAUUGAGAGACAAAAUUAUGCUGCUUUAAUAGCACAAUGUCCUGAGCUUUGUUCUCUCCAAAUCACUAAUGAAGAACCUUUCACGGGUGGCUAUUCCUUUCUUUCUGAGAUCACUGAUGCUUCAGAACCGAAGACAUUUCGGAAAGCGGCUACUAAUCCACAGUGGCAAAAGGCAAUGCAGGAGGAAUAUGAUUCACUUCGAGCACAAGGAACUUGGCUAUUGGUUCCUGCACCUGAAGAUAGAACAAUUGUAGGAAGCAGAUGGGUGAAGUGAAGAAAAACCCCGAUGGCAGUGUCUCUGAUGUGAAAAUUACUUGACACACAAAUUAAACCCUAUUGAUGACAAUUGUAGCAAAGAUGUUAGUAGGGAUCGUUCUAAACCGGGAAUUAACUAGGGCUGCUAAUCUACUCAAAUUAAACUCUAAAACACUAAACUAGACUUAAAAACACAAGAAUAGACUCUAUAGACUCUAAACUGACCUAAGACACUCAAAUCUGCAAAACUAAGUGAAAUUGACUCAAUUCUAAACCUAACAAGUGAAUUGGACGAAAUUAAAACUUACUUUGACUCAAAAGAUUAAAAGAAAACAGAUUGUAACUUAACUAACUUAGAAAACACUUAAAAGACUCAAAACAGCACAAUACUAACAAUUAGACUCAAAACAGAUUCUAGAGAUGAAAUUGGACGAAUUUAAGACUAAACUAAGACCCAAACAAUGGUUAUGGACUAAACCUAACCUAUAUUGACUCAAAACACUCUAAAGAACCUAAUUAGGACAGAUUCUGACCUAAUAACAUAAAACAGAAAAGGGUGUUUGAUUUCUGACGAAAUUGAAUUAAAACUAAACAAAUUGCAAAUCAAAGUAAACUAAAACGAAAUUAAGAUGAAUUCAAGGGUGAAAAGCUAGUUAGAGGAUCCUUCUCCACACAUGAACAUAUGCAACAUAAAUCGAUUUCCAGUAUUGUUUCUUUAAACCAUGAACGACAAUGCCCCAAAUUAAUCGUGAAUGCACAAAUUAACUCUCAGAUUUCCCUAAAUUCAUUGAAUUGGAUGAAUGCAUGCAACAACCCAAAUUAUUCUUCUCAAGUUCCCUAUAUGAACAUCAUGAUAGAGAUACAUUCAAAGAUCAUUAAAUUCCAUGGAAAUCAUAAGCAUUGACAAGGCAAUUAUAACUAUGAACUGCAUGAUACUUUUGCCAAGAAUCUACUUAACACGAUUGUGACUAACAAUCUCCACUACUUGUAAUUAUAAGUUUCUAACGAUUAGGUGAAAGUCCCUUAUAAUUUAGCAUCAGAUUCAAGCAUGCAAACUAAGUAGGCCUCCUUAAUCAACACACAAGAAUAAGUUAUCAAUCAAAUAGAUAAGUAAAUCGCAUUCAUGUUUUACGAAACAAUAACUGAAAGGAAUCAAUUCAUAUUAACAUAUGUCCAUGGCUUCAAAUUCACCACUAACUAAUAAGAGUUUAGUUCCACAUGUUCAUAACAAUUGAAACGCAAAUUAAAAUAAACAUCGAAACUGAAACGAGGGAAGAAAAAACUAUGAAAACUCCCAAGGAUGCAGAUGGCUUGCGCACAAGGCCCUCCUUCAUCAAUGGAAUGCACGACAAGGUUCUCCUUCUUCUCCAAAAGGUGCGGCAGAGAUGUAUAUGGAUGUAGGAUGGUGUUUUGUGAUGUAGAAUGGUGAUUAGGGUUGCGGCAAGGUGUUUCUGAAUGGUGAAGGGUGGUGACAAAUUUAGGCCUUAAAAACACAUAUAUAUAGGCAUGGCAAAGCUAGGGUUUUCACAAAAUUUGAUGGGAAAAGGUUAGGGUUUUGGAGAUAAAAGGCUUGGCCCAUUCAAAGGAGAAAAGAAUUAGGGUUUUAUGCAGAUUCCUAGGCUUCUAGAACACUAGGUGCGGCACAACCCUAGGGUGGAUGGACUAGGGUUUAAAUUUAGCAGAAAAUAAAGGAUUAGGGCCCUAGGGUGCGGCAUGGGCUUAGAACAAAGCUGAAAAAGGAUUAGGAAACUUCAAAUUCAAGAGUAGAAACUUUCAAGAAUGGAAACCUCCAAGAAUAGCAACUUCCAACUUUAGAAACUUUGGUUUCCAAUUCUGAACUCUUUGCUCUUCAUGUUCAUUUCUUCAUUUCUUCCCUCCUUUGAUCUUCAAUUUCGUUCAUCCCUUUGGCUCCAAGCAUGUGAUAUCCAUUUUAUGCUCAAAACUGCUUCAAAAGGCUCCAAAUUGCACUUUCUCGCCAACUUUGUCAUUUGGACCUAAAAACACACGAAAAUAGCUUAAAACACUAUAAUAACCACAAACUAACUAUAAAAGUGCAAGAAAACAAGCUAACUAAGUUGCAUAAAUAUGCUCCUAUCAGUCUCCCAGUAUAAAGCAAGGCUUGUAGCUCAAGGGUUCUCCCAAGAACAUGGUAUUGACUACUUGGACACAUUUAGUCCUGUUGUUCGACAUACUACUGUAAGGAUUAUUCUUUCUUUAGCUGCCAUGAAUCAUUGGACUCUUCGACAAUUAGAUAUCAAGAAUGUUUUUCUACAUGGAGAUUUACAAGAAGAAGUUUAUAUGCAGCAACCACAAGGGUUUAUUGAUCCAUCAUAUCCUUCUCAUGUUUGCAAAUUGGUCAAGUCAUUAUAUGGCUUGAAACAGGCUCCACGCGCGUGGAAUUCAAAGUUUACAAGUUAUUUGACAGUUAUGGAGUUUCAUGCCUCAGCUUCUGAUACAAGUUUGUUUGUCAAGAAGGAUGACUCUGAUAUCAUCAUCUUAUAACUUUAUGUUGAUGAUAUCAUCUUAACUGGUUCUAAUCCUUUGAAGAUCCAAAAAGUGAUUCAAGAAUUAUCUGAGGUAUUCGAGUUGAAGGAUAUGGGACAGCUUACAUAUUUUUUGGGUUUACAAGUUCAAUAUAAAGCGGAUGGCAGUGUUUUUGUUAAUCAGUCUAAGUAUAUCAAAGAUCUUGUCCAUAAAGCAGAUAUGGAAUCGUGUAAACCAGCAACCACUCCGUGUAAACCUCAUCAUCAAAUGUUACACUCUGAGGGACAAUUGUUGACAUAUCCAACUUCCUAUAGAAGCAUUGUGGGAUCUUUACAAUAUCUGACCUUUACUAGGCCUGAUAUUGCCUUUGCUGUAAACACAGUAUGUCAGUUUAUGUCCUCACCAACUGAUGUUCAUUUUGGCGUUGUUAAACGCAUCAUUCGUUAUCUUCAAGGAACCAUGAAUAUUGGUAUUACUUUUUCUGCAAACACAGUUUCAAAGCUUACUGUGUUUUCUGAUUCUGAUUGGGCUGCAGACUUGAAUACUUGUCGGUCUAUCACUGGUUAUGUUGUGUACUUAGGCAAUAAUCCAAUUUCUUGGCAAUCGAAGAAACAAAACUCGGUAUCCAGGAGUUCUACUGAGGCUGAAUAUAAAGCCUUAGCACAUACUGCUGCAGACAUAGCUUGGAUUCGCAAUAUAUUGAAGGAUUUGGAUGUACUUUUGGAUGCUCCACCAACAAUUCACUGUGACAAUAUGUCCGCUAUUGCCUUAAGUGCCAAUCCGGUGUUUCAUUCAAGAAUCAAACACCUUGAUACAGACUACCAUUUUGUACGCGAACGAGUGCAGCAAGGCGAUCUGGAGGUGUUGUAUAUCCCAACUGAGGAGCAAACUACCGAUGUUCUUACCAAAGGUCUUCACAGUCCUUCACUUGUCAAACAUUUUUACAAUCUCAAGCUGGAAAAUCCCGGUUGAGAUUGCGGGGGGAUGUUGAAGAUAUAUAGUGAUUGACACAUCAUCAUAAGUGCCACAUCAGCUAUUGGAGUUAGUUAGUUUGUUAAGAAUCAGUUACACAGGUGGCUUAGCUGAUAAGCUACAUGUGCAGACUAUAUAAAGGAAUCAGGGGUCUUUUGUAUCUCUCUUCAUCCUUAAUGAAAUAACAAAACUUUUACUCAUUUCUUUCUCUAGUUCUCUCUCUAUUCCUUUCGAUCUUUCUCUCUGUAUUUCUUUGAUAUUGCUUGCAUACAUUCAUCUGUUAAUUCUUAGAUGAAUGUUAUCAUUUACAUCCUACACCAUGCUAAUAAUAUCCACCAAUUCUCUAUUUUAUUUAAAAAUAAAUAAAAAAUAUAUAUGAGGUAACGCAAGCUCUAGCUAGGUUUCAAGUCUACCAUGUUUAUUUUGUAGCAAGCAAGUGGAAUUAAUUAAGAAAAAUUUCAGUUUGGGUUAGGAGGAUAGAGGAGGGUGAUUAAUAUUACCUUUGGUGUAUUUCCAGACUUCACAGAGCCCGAAGUUUCCCAGUCCCCUUCAUUUACUGCAACAUGGUGGUACAGUAUCAGAGGCUCGGGAAUGUACACGUGGUGCUGGUUGCUAAUGACUUUGUACAAACGAUUUAUCAGCGUUCGCUUUGAACCCCCCAGUCUCCAGCUUGUAAUCACCAGCUCCACUCACAGCCAUUUUUUAUAAAGGAAAUUAAUGAAAAUGAUUCGAAAAUUUUGAAUUUUAACUAUAAUAAUAAAUAAAUGGUAAAGUAAAUAGUACCAUGAUUGAUUUUUAGUGUAAAUAUAUUAUUUUUCCUUAAAAUAAACAAUAUCAGAAGUUUUUCGUUCAAAUUCUCUUUUUUUUAAUUAGUAAUUAAUAUUAAAGUUCAUCUAAGAUUAUUUUUUAAAGGAGAUAUAUAUUAAAAGUAUCAAAUAGAAAAACAAGACAGCAUCAUUUAAAAAAAGGAAAACUAAUGAAAAUUGCUUGAAAACUUUGAGUUUUAACGAUAAAGACAAAAUAAAAAGUAAAGUAAAUAGUACCAGGUUUGACUUUUUAAUGUAAAAAUGUGGUUUUUCGUUAAAGUGAACAAUAUCGCUGGUUUUUCGUUAAAACUCCCUUCAAAAAAAGGGAAAGGGAUCAUUUUCGGAUUUGUUCUACCUAAUCAUCCUCAUCAAAUAAUCCGAGCUUUUAAAAUUUGAUCUAACGGCUAAAGUUAUUAUAACUUUUAGAAUUAGCCCGUAUUUUUAACCGUUUAAUCAAAUUUUAAUGAUCUGAAUUAUUUGAUGAUGAGAAUUAGAUAAAAAAGAUUGAAUGAUCGCUUUUCCAAAAAAGGAAAAAGAAAAACAAGACAGCAAGUUUCUUUUAACAGAUGAAUUUUAUUAGAGGUGGAACUGGUGUCCAACAUCCCAGGUGUUUUCUGAUAGCAUAACCCAAUAACGUCAAAUCCAUUAAUUUGAUUAUUUAAUAAAUGGCUCCCACAAUAGGAUUUGGAUCCUCUCCGAGGCAAUUGGUCGGAUCCUUCUGAUCAAUGUUUGUGGACUGUUAGAUUUUUAUUCAACGACUAUAAAUAAGGGGACAUUCUAAAGUUAUAAUAAUUGUAGUCGUUGGAUAAAAAUUCAACGGUCCAUAUACAUCGAUCUGGAGGAUCCCGACUCGAAGAGGAUCCAAAUCCCCCACAAUACACCAAUCACGUACCCCACCCAACCAAUUUACACAAUUUUUAACAGUAGGUCCCACAAUAUAUAAGAAAAAAGAAAUUUGACUCAUCAUUUGAAAAAAUAAAAAAAAAUUAACAUUUAACUUCAAAUACUCAUUUUAGUCAUUAAAUAAAAUUUAACAAUUUAUAAAUGAGUAAUGUUAGAGAAGCUAAUUUUUUAGACUAAAUUUUAUAAAUUAUAUGUAUUUGUUAACGAUUAAAUUAUUAUUUAAGUGUUGCUUAAUGUUUAUAUAGAGCCACAACCCACAAAGUCCUAGACAAAUAGCAUGUUUUAGUUAUGGAGGCAGUUGUGGUGGAUAUGAUCUGAUCACUUGAAGAAAAUGACGAGUCUGCGGAUCCUUGUGCAUCUUCAUCUUUGACAUGGGAGGUUUUAUGACUAGACCUACCAAAUUUAAUCACAACAGCGAACUUGAUAAUGAGACAUCAAUAAUUCAACGAUUCAGAAAACUUCAAUUAAAUUGGGACCCAUAAAUAAAUAUGCUAUUACUUCUUUUGUAAUCAAAGCUGGAUCAUUGAUGCCUAAUUCAGAAAGAGAAGUGUUAUUGGCACUUCAAAAGUCUCAUUGUACACUCUUUACAAGUGUAUUUUUCUUUCUUAAUAUAGAAAAUUUGGAGUGUAGAAUAAGAUUUUUGAAAUGCUACUAACAAUUCCCUUAAAAAAAAAAAAGGUUUUUAUGUUUUGCAUGCAACAUUUGGACACAGGAAUAUUCUUUGGGAUUCUAAUUGCGCAUACGUAUUAUCUUUCAAAUAUAUAAAAUUUGAAGUGCAAUUAAAUUUUUAGAAUGUAAAUAAAAGGGGAAACUUGAUAUAACUUCAAUUUUUUGAGCCAAUAGUAAGAAUAGUCCAAUUUAUUAAAAUAAGUCCAAUUCUUUAAAUUUAAUUAUUUUAUUAUCAAUAAUUAUCUCUUAAAAGAAAAAACUUAUUGUAAAAAUCAAAUUUCUUCCUAAUUAUCUCUUUGAUUAUUUCUUUUUAUUUAUUUAUUUGUUAUUUCUUGUUCUUCCUCCUGCUUUAACCCAUUUAUAGAUUUUUUUAAAUUUUUAUAAUCAACCUAUAUCAUAGGUUAAUUGUAUUUAUCUACCUAUAUGACAUAUUCUCUUUCAUAGUCAACAUGUCACAUAUUAAUGUGUCUUGCUUGUAGGUAUAUUAUAUUUUUUUCUACUUUUUAGUUAGGUUUCAUAUCUCACUUAUAGGUAUAAUAUACAUUCAUAUAUUUGCUACUUGAGUUAGGGUUUACUGUUUUGCAGAUAGAUUUAUGUUAGUAUAUUAAUUUUUUUUUGUUUAUAAGAUAUUAGUUAGAUAUUUUGGAGUUGAAAAAUGCAUAAUAUUAAAAUAUUUUAAUUGAUUUUUAAUAUUUUUAGAAAAUAUAAAAGGAGUAUAAAAGAAAUAAAAACAUAUAAUUAGAUAACUGGAGUCACUUCUAAAAACACUCUAUGUUUUUUGACCUGGAUCUAAAAGCCCCUAAAUAAAAUUACCUUCUUUUAUUGGUUUUUUUUUAAGGCUCGCAAAAAUGGUUGUCUUUGUUGUUUGGCGAAGGAACUUCAUGGAUAUCAUCAUAUUGUGGUCUUCUUUUUCACUUGUAUUGCUAAAAAAUAACUAAUUACAAAUCAAUUUUCAUCAAAAGGGUUGUUAAAUAAGAUAUUAAUUAAUGCUAUUUUUUUUCUUGAUACUGUUUGGGUCUCUCAACCUCGAUCUAUUAUUUUGCAUUUUAUUUCUUCCAUGAUCAUAUGUGUCUCCAUUGUUUAACAACAACUAAAAAUACUAUUGUUUCUUUAAAAAAAGUACUAUGUAUUUGACUAAGGCGAUUUUAUAUGACGAUGAGCAACAAAGUGGAGAUGGUGCACUACACCUUUUAUUUUGCAUACCAUAGUUCAUACAUUACAAUCUCACAUAUGAUAUCCCUUCACGUACAUUUGUUACAAGGCAACUUACAAAGCAAAGCAUUUUAAUUACUUGUAAUCAAGCAAAAGGCACGCAUUAUUAACACAAAUAUUAUAUACUAACGAUGGACGUCACACUGUUUCACCAUUGCAUUCUUUUCCUUUCCUUAAUUUAUCAUGCCUUGAUAAAGUGAGCAUCAAGAUCCUUGACGAUGUUAACCAUCAAACCGACGUAUUUGUCCGGACUGCAACAUCCUCAGUCAGUUUCUCAUAUUCAGUCGACAAUUUUGCAAUGUUGUCUUCAUUCUUUUGAGUGAAUUGAUAGACUGGCUUGAAGCUCUUGUAAUACUGGAAGACAUCUCCUUUCAGUCCAUUCAGUGUUAUGGAUUUGUUCUCGUUGUUUGACUACACUUUUUCCUUGAAUACUCGAACUUCGUCCCCUAUGUAUUCACAAGAAAGUGGUCUCUAUAUUGACCAAGGAACAAUAUAAAGGGAGCGUUUGAUAAAUAAUUUGUUUUAAGUUUUCACAAAAAUGAAAAUUGAAGUUAUUUUUGUCAGUUUUCUAAAUUUAUAUUAGUAAUUUUUAUUUUUUGAAGACUGAAAUAACAUGAGAUGGUUGAAUUAUUGCGGCACACCUCGAUUCUUUACCAACAUAUUUUGUUCUAAUUAUCCAUUAUAUCAAUAUAUAUUUUUCACGUAUGGGUUAAAAGUUGUUCGCUUGUGAAUCAGGGUUUAGUUAUUGCGAUCCUUCUAGUAUUGCUGGAUUAUGAUUAACAUAUAAUUGUGUUCUGAUCUUAGAGAAAAAAGGUACAUACCAUGUUAAAUACAUGAAGGUAUUUAUAUAUAAAUAUAGAGCUCGUUUGGAUGUGCUUUUAAAAUGGUUAAAAACACUUUUAGAGAAAGAAAAAAAUUUGUUCCAAAAGCACUUAAAUUGCUUUCUGCAAGAAGCAACAGUUAUGUGCUUUUCCAGGAAGCACUUUAAAUGCUUUUCCAGAAUUAACUUACAUUUUUACCAAGGAUUGGUUUUAAAAACAUUUUCACAAAAAAUGUUUUCAAUCAUUUUAAAAACAUAUCUAAACAAACACAUAUAUUAUGCACGUAUACUGAAAUUCCAACUUUUGAUAGAUCGAGCCAUGAGUUUCCUCCUUCAUGCACGUGAACUCCCUGGAUACUUCCAGAAUAAAUUUUUGGGACGUGUGGCGAGCCUGGCUAUUGAAGAUAUUGUAGAACUUCUCAGCAGGUGCCUUAAUUUCAAUCUCUGUUCGUGCAGAGUCAUGUUUAUGAUCAGUUGGGAUGGUGCUCAACAAUGCGUCGCCAAGGCCUGUUCUAAAGAAAACUUAAGGUCACCCCUCUACUGCUACAGUUAAAUUAUGCAAUAUUAAUUUAUGCUAUAACUUUGAAAAAGUAGUGCUUCGAACGAUCGCAUGAAAAACAUUCGUUUAUUAAAAAAAAGGUAAAUCGUCAAAAUGGUCCUUGAGAUUUGUAUAACUUAUCACUUUGAUCUCUAAGAUUCCAAAUCGAUAAAAGUAGUCCCUGAGAUUGUCUACCAUCCAUCAUUUUGGUCAUUCGGUUAAAAAAUCCGUUAAGUGUCCCGGAGCUCUUAGCCGGAGGUUUGGACAAUUUUCAAAACUUCGUAACUCAAUCGUUUCUUAACCAAAUUUGACCCAUAAUAUAUCAAAAUGAAGAUAGGAAAGUGUAGAAUAAGAUUAUACCUAUUUCAAAGCCCAAUGGUUGCCGAAGAUUGUCAGAAAAUAGCCUCAAAGUUGACUGGUUCGAGUGAAAACUUGAAAACUCGCUGGAAACUGAGUAAACUUUAAACGUUCAUAACUUCUUCAAUACUCAACGAAAUCAAGUGAUUCAAAAACAAAAAUCAUACUUCUCGAUGAGAUGAAGAGAAUGAUACCUUUUUAGAUGGCUAAAUCGUCGUGGUUUGGCCGGAAAGCAGCUCGAAAGUGGCUAACUCGAGACCAAGAUAGCCACUUUCAAGCCGUUUUCCGGCCAAACCACGGCGAUUUAGUAGUUAAAAAAGGUACCAUUCUCUUUGUCUCAUCGAGAAGUAUGAUUUUCAUUUUUGAAUCACUUGAUUUUGUUGAGUAUUGAAGAAGUUAUAAAGGUUUUGAAGUUUACCCAGUUUCCGGUGAGUUUUCAAGUUUUCACUCUGACCAAUCAACUUUGAGGCUAUUUUCUGGCAAUCUCUGGCAACCAUUGGGCUUCGAAAUAGGUAUAAUCUUAUUCUACACUUUCCUAUCUUCAUUUUGAUAUAUUAUGGGUCGAAUUUGAUUAAGAAACGAUUGAGUUACGAAGCUUUGACAAUUGCCCAAACUUCCGGCCAACAGCUCCGGAACACUUAACAGAGUUUUUAAUGGAAUGACCAAAAUGAUGGAUGGUGGACAAUCGCAGGGACCACUUUUAUCGAUUUGGAAUCUCAGGGACCAAAGUGAUGAGUUAUGCAAAUCUCAUGGACUAUUUUGACGAUUUAUCCUUAAAAAAAAUUCAGAUAAAGAAAAUGAGAAAUUAAUUUCUCAUCCCUCUUUUUUCUAUUACAUUGAUUAAAAUCUUAUUUUUGAUCAAGGUCCUAACUUUCAAUGAACGUCAUUAUUUCUGUUAUAAAUUAUUUAUAUAUCAACAUAAUUAAAUUUUAUUUUUGAAAUAUAUUCAAUUAGUAUUAGAAACAUUACAUUUGGUACAUUUAUAUUUAUCAUUAAACUUUGUAUCAUAUAUUUCUAUUUUUAGUUUGUACCAUUUUUAAUUGGCAACCCUUUUUUAAUUUGUAUCAAUUUUCUUUUUAAUUUUAAUGUGUACCGAUAUAUUAAUUUCAUUUUGUGCCCAUAAUUUUUUUUAAAUUUUUUUAUACUCAUAAUUCAUUUAUAAUGUACCCAUAUUUCAUUAAAACUCUUUUUUUUUCUUUAUAAAUGUACCACUUUGUUAUAUGUAAGAUGUACCAAAUUGUUUUUUUUGUAAAUGUACCAUUUUUAUGUAAAAUGUUCCCAUAUUUAAUGUAAAAUCUAUUUAUUUUUUUAUUAAGAAUGUGUACAUAUUUAUAAUAAAACGUUCCCCUUUUCAAUUUUUUUGAACACUAUGGGUACAUUUGUUUGACAUUUAUUAUUUCAAAGGUAUAUUGUUACCUAUUUUUAUCUAUUUAUUCAAUCAAAAUUUUUGAGUAUUUUUUUUAUUGUAAUCGUUUUUAAUUUAUAUGCUAUAUAAUAUGGGAUUUUAAAUCUCAUAACAUGUCAAGUAAUUAAUAUCAAACAAUGAAAAUACAUAUUAAUAGCCAUAAUGAGGUGUACCUUUAAAGUCAAGGGACUUUGAUAAAAAAUUGAAUACUAUUAAAGGUUUAGUCAAAUAAUGUUAUUGACUAGGGACUGAAUCCAAAGUCUCUCUAAAAAAUAUAUAUAUAUAUAUAAGACAAACGUACGUAAUCACUUUCGGUUCGAUUAAGAACAUGAUUUGGAUCAAUAAUAUUAGGGUGCUAAUAUUGAUAUCAUUAGAUUUCAAUUACUAAUCACUGGUUUUUUUGCAAUAUUAUACUUUUACUCAACUACCACAUUUUUUCCCUUCUGGAUGUAUGAAAAUUUAGGUAUUGCGUUCGUUCUUUUUUGAGAAGUCAUCGCCAACUCCCUUGCCCUACUAUUUUUAUCAAGGAAAAACUCCCCAUGUUUAAAAGCUGUAUAAUUAACCAGGAUGAAUGCUGGACAACUGUCGAAAGCAAAACUCAAAGUUCAUUGUAUAAUUAUAACAGUGAGACUACAGCCUGACGAAGAACAUGAUUGUCAAAAGUUAUAUAAAAAAAAUGAUAUCAGAGUAAAUCUCCAAUGAAUCGGAAAGUGAGUCUUUAAAAUAUAGAGUCUUAAGUGGAUUAGUGUAGAAUAUCUUUUGUACUAAAAAAAAAGUUAUGUAUAUAAUGUUGAGAAUGAAUCCCACAUUGAUAGGAGGAGUGAUAAGGAUUUUUAUCACCUGCAAAUAUAAGGAUAAAAACACUUAAAAAUACUUGCAAAAGUACAAGGUUGUCGUAGUAUAGCAGUUCAAGCAAGGUCAUUUUUCACAGGAAUUGAAUGCAUAGUUUAUGUUUAUACUAAUUCUUAGCUAAUUAUUUAGAACAAAGAUUGGAAAAGGUUGAUUUUGAAUUUAAAAAUAAUAAAAACGAAUUUAAUUAAAAACAAUUAAAGGAAUUUACUAGAGAACAAUUUAAAGAAAGUCAAUUUGUAAAGAUUAGGGUUCCGCCGUUCCCUUAACAAUCCUACGCAAUUUUACCAAUUACUUAUGAAUUUCCACACACAUGCUUUGAAGGUUAGGUUUUCCUAAUGCAUAUUUUUCUCGUGAUGUUCAAGCGAAAACAUAAAUCUAACAUGCAACCCUUUUGUAAUGUUCAGAUCAAAUAUAAACAUGCAAGACUCAUUAAGCUUUGUGAAAACCCUUUGAAAAACCAUGGAACCCUUAAGAGCGUGAUGUUCGCCUUAAGUGAACUUACAAUUACUAAUCAUAAGAAGCCCUCCUCAAUUUCAGGGUGAUGUUCUGUCACAUCCCGGCAUCGUGCUAGGUAGAUAUGAGAAUAUACAUAUAAGGAUCACUCCCCUGGGCGAUGUGGGAUCUUACAAUCCACCCCCCUUAGGGGCCUGACGUCCUCGUCGGCACACCACAACCAGGGUUAGGCUCUGAUACCAAAUAGUCACAUCCCGACCUGGGCCCCCAUCACAUCCCGGGCUCGACUCCACCGUAGCACGAUAUUGUCCGCUUUGGGCCCCGACCACGCCCUCACGAUUUUGUUUCUGGGAACUCACACGAGAACUUCCCAGUGGGUCACCCAUCUUGAGAAUGCUCUCGCGCGAACUCGCUUAACUUCGGAGUUCUUAUGGAACCCGAAGCCAGUGAGCUCCCAAAAGGCCUCGUGCUAGGUAGAGAUGAGAAUAUACAUAUAAGGAUCACUCUCCUGGGCGAUGUGCGAUCUUACAUGUUCCAACCGAAAUUGCAUCAAAUUACUUGUCUAAAAAUCCUAAUGGUCGCAAAUUACUAAGACAAUUAGAUAGCUUUAAUCGCAAUGAUUAAUAAUUCAAAGCAAGCAUGCAUCCAUUCAUAAGGAAAUUAAUAAAAUCACAUAUUCAUGCUAAGGCUCAUGGCUUCGCCCUAGCAAACAGAAAUUAGUUACGAACUAUAAAAACUAAAGAAAAUAUAUUAACUAGAAAAAGGAUUGAAAACACCUUGUAGGUAAAAAGUCUGAAAUUCUCCAAAAUAAUGUGUGCCUUCUCCCCCUAACCUUAAUGGCUAAAAAGCCUUAUUUAUACUACUCCAAAUUAAAACCCUCAUAGAAAAGGUUUUCUAAAAACUAGGAAAUAAAAUAACAAAAGGAUAACUAAGAAUUGCAUUCCUAUUAUGACUAUGAAAUCUGCCCAUAAAAAAGAUAGCCAUGUUUCUGGAUCUUCAGGGUUCCAAAACAGACCCAAAAUGGCUAGAAUUAAAGAUUAGGACCUCCUCUUCAAGUUAGAAGAAGAACCCAAGUCCAAAAUCCAUCAUCUUCCAACCCAAAAGUCACAAAUAAGCUCUGCAGCCCAAUCUGCCAGCACUGCACGCUGGGCAUAAAUUAAUUCACCACGAUCUGAUGCUUUGAGAUAAAAUUAUGAAAUUCUGAUACAAUCUUCUUGACAGACUCACGAACCCACUCCAAUUGGAAUCACUAAAAAAUUCCACCGUUUGAGUACUUUAUGAUCAAAACAAGUUCGCAUGUCCUACAAUAAAAACAUAGAGCAAAGCCUCAAAAUCUCACUAAAAUAAUAACCAAAAUAUACCAAGAAUAGGGAAUAAUAUAUAGUAUAAAAUUGACUCAUUAGGACAUUGCAUGAACUUAUAAGUAAGUUGGGCUACUUUCUAUAUUGCCAAUUGGUUUUAUGGUGUAACCUUAACUUUCUUCAUACCCAUGUGUGAAGCCAAAAGACCACGCACGCUCCAUGUCACCCAUUUGUGUUGUUCACGUAUUAGACUUGAAAAUUCGCCACACGUGAGGGCGCGUAUUAAGAAUGAAUCUCACAUUAAUGGGAGGAUAAAUCUUGCAUGCACCUAUAAGUAGGUUGAAAAACAAUAUUGGACAAAUAUUGUAGAGUACACCACAUUUUAUUUUAUAGAUGCGAUCGACAACCAUAAUCUAUUACAUCACAAUGUCAUAUAUGACAUCCUUCGUACAUCUUUUACAAUACACACAAACCUAAUUAAGAAAAGCAUUUUAUUUAAGUAGGUACGCAUUGAUGAACAUAUGCAUGCAUGAUUACAUAUAAUUGAACCCUUUUUAACAAGACCAGCAAAAGCUCUUUCCAACCGUUGCAUAUGACGUAUGGUUUUUAUUCAUUAAUUAAUUAAUUUAUGCUCCCAGAAGGUGAGCGUCAAGAUCCUGGACGAGUUUAACCAUCAAACCGACAUAUCUAUCUGGAGCUUUAACAUUCUCAUGCAGUUUCUCGUAUUCGAUCCACAGGUUGGCAAUGCAGGUGCCUUCAUCUUUUUGAGUGAAUUUAUAGACACCCUUGAAGCUCUUAUAAUACUUGAACACUUCUCCUUCCAAUCCUUUCAGAGUUGCGGCUUGUUCCCAUCGUCUAGCUCCACCUGUUCCUUGAAUAUCCCGACAUGAUCCCCUAUAUAUAUGCAUGCAUGCAUUCAUGGUUAAUUUCAUAACAACAAAAUAUAUAAACUUUCUCACCCUCUCUUAUUAGGAUCUUGUUUCCACUGUAGCAAAAAGGGGGCAAUAUGACUUAUUUAGGAAACAUGUAUUUACUGUAUAUGACUCUCAUUGUCUAGAACAAAAAUUGAAGGAAGCAUUGAAAUAUAUAUAAGAGGUCAUAUAUGGUAAAUACAUGAUUUCUACGAUUGUUCUAUCUCGACCUUGUUUUUGCUACAAUAAAUCAGAAUUUCUGCGAAAAAGCUGUAAACAUUGAAACUCGUGCUAUGAACGUAUGAUGAUUUGAGCGCAUCUGUUAAGGUAUACAUACAUAUAAAGUGAAUAAUUAAACAGGAAAAUUGAAUUAAGUAGCGGUACCUAGUUCAUAUUUCCAAAUCUUAACAGAGCCGUGUGUUUCCCAAUCUCCUUCAUGCACAUCAACUCCUUUGAUAUGGGUAUUAGAGAUGUUUGGGAUGAGGUGGGCGCUCUUGAACAUGUUGUACAACUUGUCAGCUGGUGCCUUAAUUUCUAUUUCAGUCCCAAUUUUACCAUGCAAAACCAUGUUUAUGAGCAGUUUUGAUGGGUGCUACUCAGAAAUUAUAAGAGAAGAAUGUUAAAGGAUAUGUAUAAUUUGGGCUCCUACCCUCCUUAAAUAGAAGCGACUAGAGUUAAAUUGCGAGAUAAAACUUAAUAUAUCCGGAACACGAUACAGUACGCCAUAUAUAUAUAAUAUGUAAUAUAAAUAUGGAGGGAAAGUUUUUUUUUUUUUUUUUUUUUUUUUUUGCAAGUGUUUCUCUACUUGUGUAGACGUAUGUACCCGUGUUCUAGAUAUUAAAAAUUCUCCCGUAAUAUUUUAAUAGUGGGUAAUCCAAUUUAAAAACCAAAUCAUGCAACACGUGAUAAAGAUUAAGUCAUAUAUUUUUUAAAUCAUACUUCUCGGAUAAUUGGAAUCCUAUGAAGUAAUGAUCACAAGUUCACAAUAUGCAUGGAUAGAUGAAGGGUUUGCUCAUGAUUAAUGUUAGGGAGACCAAAUUUCUAAAUCAAAAUUUGUAAACAAAAUAAUGUGGAGGUAAAUGAUUGAAUUAUUAUUUAAGUGUUAAUUAAUAUGCUUGUUUCUUAUUAAUAACAUAUCAUUUGAUUUGCAUUCACGCAUGCGAUAAAGAUUAGAUUAGUACGAUCACACUAAAAAUUUAUAUGUAAAUGUUUUAAAAUAAAAUGUAAUUUAUCUGCAAAAUGUUUUUUUUUUAAAAGGUACGAUAUUCUUUAAUAACAAAUUUAUACGUACAUCAAUGAGGAUAGGGUGUAAACAAAUGGCCUCGAUAAAAACCUUGCCGGGGUUUUUAACCCGAUCGAAGAGAGAUUUUUCAAUGUGACCGUCACACAAGGAGGUACACCACGUGUCUCUAUGUAAAUGGUUAGAUAUGUGUGUUAAAAGAUUAAUAACUUAAAAAUUAAAAUUUUCCACCACUUACAUAAAAAUACGUGGUGUACCAUCCGUGUUCCUGUCACAACUAAAAAUUUUCCCCGGUUGAAGGGAAAAAGAGUGUCCCACACCAACAUAAUUAAUUAAGAAUUGCUAUCCUAAAAAAGAAGAUCAAGAAUUACAUUAGGAAGUUCCUCAGACCAAACCACACAUUGUUACCAUAACUCAAGCUCAUACGUGCUAGCCUGUGUGCCACCUUGUUCGUCUCCUUUUGACUAAAUUCAACCUUCCACUUGGACAAUGAAUGAAUAAUUGCGUGUGUCGUUUAGAAUGUUUCCAAAGUGUGAGGUGUCAAUACUUCCUUCUGCAAAAUGUUUUAGAAUAAAAAGUUUUAUAUCUUGUAGGAUCACAUCUAUUUAUUUAUUAUCAUUAUUAUAUUUUUGGAAAGAUCGAUACGUAUGGGCCAUGGCGUCUGGUUCUUUUGUUAAAAAGCCAUCAAAUGGGGAGGCAUGGAUGAGGUAUUAGGUAUCCACAAAUGUCAGUUCACAAAAUAUUAUACUAAAAGUAAUUGAAAAGAAUCAAACAAAUAUUAAUUCUUUUCCCAAGAUAAUCCACUAAAAUGAGGGUCCACAACAUAGUUUUUCGGGAACUUUAACGAAAAACACCCGGUACUGUUCACUUUAACGAAAAACCACAUUUUUACACUAAAAAAUCAAUCCUGGUACUAUUCACUUUACCCUUUAUUUUGUCCUUAUCAUUAAAGCUCAAAGUUUUCAAGCCCUUUUCAUUAAUUUUCCUUAGUUUUUUCCACUAGAGUUUAUUGAUCCUUGAAGACUAUCAUUGACGAUUGAUCAUCCAACAGGUGCAUUAUUUAUUUUUUAACAAACGGUAAUAGUUACUAUUUCUUGAAUUGGAUAGGGGUAUCGAUACUAUUUCUUAAAUAAAACAUUAAUACUAUUAUUAUUCUUAAACUGAAUACUGGCACUAUUACUAUUUUUUAAACUGAACAUUCAUUAUUUCUUAAACCGAGCGCUGGUACUAUAACUAUUUCUUAAACUGAACAUUCAGUAUUUCUUAAACUGGACAUUCACUAUUUCGUAAACUGAACACAAAUAUUAUUACUAUUUCUUAAACUGAAUAUUCAUUAUUUUGUAUACUGAACACGGAUAUUAUCAUUAUUUCUUAAACGUAACACUAAUAUUAUUACUAUUUCUUAAGCUGAAUACUGACUAUUUCUUAAAUUGAACAAUAACUAUUUUUAUAAUUGAAUACAAGCACUGUCCCUAUUUCUUAAACCAAAAAUAGUGAAUUAGGGUUUAGUUAUUACGAUAUAUUACUGGAUUAUGAUUAACAUAUAAUUGUGUUCUGGCCUUAGAGAAAAAAGGUACACACCAUGUUAAAUACAUGUAGGCAUUUAUAUAUAAAUAUAUAUUACAUACGUAUAUAAUUCCAACUUUUGAUAGAUCAAGCCAUGAGUUUCCCAGUCUCCUUCUUGCACCUGAACUCCCUGGAUACUGCCAGAACAAAUUUUUGGGACGUGUGGCGAGCCUGGCUCUUGAAGAUGUUGUAGAACUUCUCAGCAGGUGCCUUAAUUUCGAUCUCAGUCUCAACCUUACCGUGCAGAGUCGUGUUUAUGAUCAGUUGGGAUGGCACUCAACAAUGCGUACAAGGCCUGUUCUAAAGAAACUUAAGGGCAGCCCUUUUCUGCUACAGUUAAAUUAUACAAUAUUAAUUUGAGGUAUUCAUCAAUUUACCUCCUAACUUAUAAGAAUUGGUCAAUUUUCCUUAUCAACUUUCAUAAUUAAUCAAUUUGCACCAUACUAUUAAUUUUUUAAAAUUUUUCAUCCUUUCUUCUGUUAAGUAUGUCAAGUGUUAUCCGCAUGACUGCCUUUAAAGGGUAAAAAGGUCAUUUUACCUACACCUUCCGUCUUCUUUCUCUUCUCCGAACUUUCUUUUCUUCUUCUUUUUCACCAAGCCGAGCCCGUACUGUUCCACCGUGCUCCACAGGCACGAUUUUCCCGGCGAACACCAAAAGAAACAGUGGGAGGGAUCUGAGCUCGUAGAUCCGCGUUCACUACAUCCCCUUCUUGCACUCCUCGCAAACCCUACCCUCCGAUUCUAAUGGGACACCUCCCCCGUCGCCACUGAGUUCCUGAAGAAGAACCGCGCAUACGACUUGGCCACCACCGCCGCCACUCCAACCACUCCCAGAGCCACAGGCGCGUGCUCCCCCGAAGACCCGCACCUGAAGUUGGCGCCCCCAAUUAUGAUCGAGUACUUGGACUUUCUCUUUCCCGGAUCCACGAAGCGCGUGGAGUAGGAGGCGGGGAGGUUGCAUAGCGUGUAAGACCCUAGCUUGGCGAUGUGGGGAGAAGAUGAGAUGGAUUUGAUCAAAGACUUGCCGAAGAAUCUGGGGAGAAGAUGCGGGGACUUUCUCUCCCGUAUUACUUAUCCUAUCAUUUUCCUUGUACGGGCUGCCAAACGAGGCCUUAGUAUGCUAUUGCCUUGUAUUUGAAAUUAGACAAUCGUUUUAUUUAAAAAAAAACAAACUUACUAAGUUCACACUUAAACAUAUUUAAACAAACUUACUAAGGUCAACACACUUGCAGAUAACACAAUUAAAACUAAACAUACCAACAAACAUGGAUCACACUUACAAGGCCAAACAAAGCAUAUAUAUAUAUAUAUGUAUGUAUGUAUGUAUAAUGUAUGUAUGUAUAUAUAUGUAUAUUAUAUUUAUGAACAGUAUUGCCCUUGCUCUUGUCUUUGCCCAACUGGUAGUAGAGUUGCACAGAGACAAAGUUGUUGGUAUAUGGUCCAGCCCAUGAUCAAUGUUCUAGAUUAUUCUAGUAAGCAAGAGAUGAGGCUGAAGCUUGCUAGACAAUUCUAGAAUGUUAUUAAGUUGAUGGAAGAAGCUAGAGAGUACUAGCUUCCUUGGUUGCAAAUGGAAAGAUCUAGAAGCUACAAGUAUAUGGCUAGUCUAGAUUUUUCUAUACUAGAGGUUUGAAGAAGGAACUAGAAACUAGUAGAAUGCCAAACCCUCACCUAUAAAUAUGGGUGUGAUGUAACCAAUUGAGAACCAAGAGUGAGUAGCAAAGGAUCAAGUCCAAAGCUAGAGUUCCACUCCAAGAGUGAGAGUGAGAGUGUUCCACUACACAUUGUGUGAGUGAAGUUUAGAGUGAUAGAAAGUGUGUGUUAUACUUUCUUGUAUCCAUCAAGCCUUGUCUUUGGCUUGGUAAGACUACUCUUGUUGUAUUCAUCUUUUUCAUAUAGUGAAGAUUGAUCCUUGUUUGGUGGACGUAGGCAUAAAUUGCCGAACCACAUAAACUUUUCUUGGCGUCCAUUUUCUACUUUACCUUGUGCAUUCUCUAUCUUGUAGUACCGACAUUCCUAACAAGUGGUAUCAGAGCCCGGUUGGCUCGUACUACGAGAUGGAAGGAAGUGGCACUAUGAUCAAACUCACCAACUCCAAUUGGGUAACAUGGAAGCCAAGGAUGGAGGACAUUCUCUAUUGCAAGGAUUUGCAUGAGCCAAUUGAAGGAGAUGCCGCUAAGCCCGAGAGCAUGUCCGAUGCCGAGUGGAAGAAGAUGAAUCGCAAGGCUAUUGGCACAAUUAGACAAUGGGUGGACGAUAGUGUUUUUCACCAUGUGUCUAAUGAAACCAAUGCUCGCGAGUUUUGGACAAAGCUUGAGUCCUUGUUCGAGAAGAAAACUCCAGCUAAGAAAGCCUUCUUGAUCAAAGAGCUCAUCAAUGUGAAGUACAAGGAUGGUUUAAGUGUAGCAGAACACUUGAACAAUUUCCAGAAUAUCAUCAACCAGUUGGCUACUAUGAAAAUGAUGAUCGAGGACGAGCUACAAGCGCUCUUGUUACUUGGAUCCUUGCCAGACAGUUGGGAGACCUUUGUGGUGAGUAUAAGUAACUCUGCUUCUAAUGGUGUUCUUACUCUUGAUAAUGUUAAAAAUAGCAUGCUCAAUGAAGAAACAAGGAGAAAGACUUCUGGCACAGAUAGCAGCCAAGUAUUUGUCACAGAGAACCGCGGAAGAAGCAAGAGUAGAGGGCCUAGAGGUCAUGGCAGGAGUCCUAGCCGAUCCAAGUCAAAGUUCAGGGGUGCAUGCCACCACUGUGGCAAAGAAGGCCAUAUGAAGAAAAAUUGUCGAGUUUGGAAGAGAGAGCAAAGGGAAGGAAACAAUCAGAAGAAAGAUGAUACUGGCAAUACCACCGCUGUCAUCUGUGGUGAUGUACCAGAAAUAUUGUCUGUUGGUGAAUGUCUGCAUAUGGGCAACUCUGACAGAGACAUUGAAUGGAUCUUUGAUAAUGGAGCUUCCUUCCAUGCUACGUCCAAACGGGAGUUCUUCAGUACAUACAAAGAAGGUGACUUUGGCAUAGUGAAGAUGGGGAAUGAAAGCUAUUCCAAAAUUCUUGGAAUUGGUGAUAUCUGCUUAAGAACUAAUCUCGGCUGCCAAUUGAUGUUGAAAGAUGUGAGACAUAUUCCUGAUAUACGUCUCAAUCUGAUAUCCAUCGGUACCCUUGAUCGACAAGGAUAUUAUCACCAUAUUGGCGAAGGAAAAUUGAAGCUUACUAAAGGCUUAAUGGUGGUAGCAAAAGCACGACUUUGUUGUACGUUGUACCGGUCAAAUGCACAGGUUUUUGAAAGGUGAGUUGAAUGCUGUGGAGGACUCAUCUCUAGACUUAUGGCAUAAGAGGCUGGGCCACAUAAGCGAGAAAGGCCUACAAGUUUUGGCAAAGAAGUCUCACAUUCCCUUUACCGAAGGUACGUCGUUAAACUCUUGUGAGCAUUGUUUAUUCGGAAAACAAAGAAGAGUUAGUUUUUCUGUUCCAUCUACAAAGAAAGGAAACUUGUUAGAUCUUGUUUAUUCAGAUGUGUGUGGUCCCAUGGAAGUCGAGUCACUUGGAAGAAAUAAAUAUUUUGUUACUUAUAUUGAUGAUGAUGCUUCACGAAGGGUGUGGGUGUAUUUGUUGAAAUCCAAAGACCAGGUGUUUCAGACAUUCCAGGAGUUCUAUGCCAUGGUGGAGAGGGAAACUGGGAAACCUCUCAAGUGCCUUCGUAGCGACAACGGCGGCGAGUACACAUCUCACCAGUUUAGAGAGUAUUGUGUAAAACAUGGCAUACGUCAUGAGAAGACAGUUCCUGGAACUCCACAACAUAACGGUGUUGCUGAAAGAAUGAACCGAACCAUCAUGGAGAAAGUCAGGUGUAUGUUGAGGACUGCAAAGUUAUCUAAGCAGUUCUGGGGUGAAGCUGUAAGGACAGCCUGCUAUUUGAUCAACCGAUCUCCAUCAGUACCAUUAGGUCUUGAUGUUCCAGAGAGAGUAUGGACUGGUAAUGAUGUGUCUUACUCUCAUCUGAAGGUGUUUGGUUGCAAAGCUUUUGUGCAUGUGCCCAAAGAGCAGAGAUCGAAGUUAGACUACAAAGCUACACCGUGCAUCUUUCUUGGUUAUGGCGGUGAAGAUUUUGGUUACAGAUUAUGGGACCCAUACCAGAAGAAGUUUAUCCGAAGUAGAGACGUGGUCUUUUAUGAAGAACAAACAAUUGGGGAUUCGGAUAAAGAGGCACAACCAGAUGGCGCAGUCAGAGGAGUUGAUCCAUUAGCUUCAGAUGAAGAAAGUCACGAUGACAUCCCUGAAGCAACUGCCAAUGAAGUGCCUGCAGAAUCAGAUAAUGCUAAUCAAGAGGAGCCUGAUCAAGAUGUGCCAAACCAUGAGAUUGCUCAUCAGGGGAGCCUAGUCAAGAAGAGCAUAUUCAAGGAGAACCCAAUCAGGGGGAGCCUCCAGCCCUACAAGAGAAUGAAGAUCAGGUCAGAAGAUCCAUCAGAAGUCGAAGACCGUCUACCAAGUAUUCUUCAUCAGAGUAUAUCAUGUUGACUAAUUAUGGAGAGCCCGAAACAUAUGAGGAGGCCAGAGCUCAUAACGACAGUGACAAAUGGAUGAAGGCAAUGGAGUCGGAGAUGGAUUCCUUAUCAAAGAAUGAUACCUAUGAGCUGGUGGAGCUUCCAAAGGGCAGGAAAGCAUUGAAAAACAAGUGGGUGUUCAAAUUGAAAAGAGACGACAACAUGACAAGGUACAAGGCUCGUUUGGUUGUCAAAGGUUUUGGUCAAAAGAAAGGAGUUGACUUUGAUGAGAUUUUCUCACCGGUGGUGAAGAUGACUUCCAUUCGAGUUAUCCUUGGUAUGGCAGCAAGCAUGGAUCUUGAGCUCGAGCAGUUAGAUGUUAAAACUGCAUUUCUCCACGGCAAUUUAGAAGAGGAGAUAUACAUGGAGCAACCCAAAGGCUUUGAAGUCAAAGGUAAAGAAAAUUUGGUGUGCAAGCUCAAGAAAAGUUUAUAUGGUCUUAAGCAGGCUCCGAGACAGUGGAAUAAGAAGUUCAACUCACUCAUGGUGAGUAAUGGGUACAAGAGAACUCAUGCUGACUCUUGUGUCUAUAUCAAACAAUUUUCUGGAGGUAAAUUCAUCAUCUUAUUGCUUUAUGUUGAUGACAUGUUGAUUGUCGGACAAGAUACCUCUAUGAUUAAAAAGCUCAAAGAAGAGUUAUCUAAGUCCUUUGACAUGAAGGACUUAGGGCCAGCCAAGCAGAUUUUGGGCAUGGAUAUAAUUCGUGACAGAAAAUCCAAAAAGUUGUGGCUGUCACAAGAAAAGUAUGUUGAACGGGUGCUUGAAAGGUUCAACAUGAAAGCAGCCAAAUCGGUAAGCUCACCUUUAGCCAAUCAUAUCAAGUUGAGCAAAGAGUCAUGUCCAAAAACAUAUUGAAGAAAAGGAGAAAAUGGCAGUUGUUCCCUACUCUUCAGCAGUAGGAAGUAUCAUGUAUGCAAUGGUGUGCACACGGCCAGAUAUUGCUCAUGCAGUAGGUGUGGUGAGCAGGUUUCUCUCUAAUCCAGGGAAGGACCACUGGGAAGCUGUUAAGUGGAUUCUCAGAUAUUUGAAAGGGACUUCUAAGAUGUGCUUGUGCUUUGGCGGUUCCAAACCAAUCUUGGAAGGAUUUACAGAUGCUGACAUGGGAGGUGACCUGGAUGGUAGAAAAUCUACGUCUGGGUACUUGUUUACUUUUACAGGGGGAGCCGUGUCUUGGCAAUCCAAGUUACAAAAGUGCAUUGCUUUGUCCACAACCGAGGCUGAAUACAUAGCCGCUACAGAAGCAUGCAAGGAGUUGUUGUGGCUGAAGCGGUUUCUCCAAGAGUUGGGUUUGAAGCAAAGUGAUUAUGGCGUUUAUUGUGAUAGUCAGAGUGCUCUGGACUUGAGCAAGAACACUACAUAUCAUUCACGCACUAAGCACAUUGAUAUUCGUUAUCAUUGGAUUAGAGACGCUAUCGAGAACAAGUUGCUGCAGCUGAAGAAGAUUCAUACCGAUAAUAAUUCUUCAGACAUGUUGACAAAGGUAGUCACAAAAUCAAAGUUGGAAUUCUGCAUUAAGGCUGCUGGGAUGAACUCCAGGUAACUUGGAGUCAUGAUCGGAAUUCCUCCCUCAUGGACUGGAGGGGGAGAUUGUUGGUAUAUGGUCCAGCCCAUGAUCAAUGUUCUAGAUUAUUCUAGUAAGCAAGAGAUGAGGCUGAAGCUUGCUAGACAAUUCUAGAAUGUUAUUAAGUUGAUGGAAGAAGCUAGAGAGUACUAGCUUCCUUGGUUGCAAAUGGAAAGAUCUAGAAGCUACAAGUAUAUGGCUAGUCUAGAUUUUUCUAUACUAGAGGUUUGAAGAAGGAACUAGAAACUAGUAGAAUGCCAAACCCUCACCUAUAAAUAUGGGUGUGAUGUAACCAAUUGAGAACCAAGAGUGAGUAGCAAAGGAUCAAGUCCAAAGCUAGAGUUCCACUCCAAGAGUGAGAGUGAGAGUGUUCCACUACACAUUGUGUGAGUGAAGUUUAGAGUGAUAGAAAGUGUGUGUUAUACUUUCUUGUAUCCAUCAAGCCUUGUCUUUGGCUUGGUAAGACUACUCUUGUUGUAUUCAUCUUUUUCAUAUAGUGAAGAUUGAUCCUUGUUUGGUGGACGUAGGCAUAAAUUGCCGAACCACAUAAAUUCUUGGCGUCCAUUUUCUACUUUACCUUGUGCAUUCUCUAUCUUGUAGUACCGACAUUCCUAACAAAAGUAUUGUUCAUAGUAAAAAGUACGGGCAAGCCAACUGCCUUGUUCUUACACUUGCGUUCUCCAAACGGGUGAAACUGCUAUUAUGAUCGGUCUGAAGUAGACGCGCUUAUUCUUGCGUGAGGAAAUUAUCAGUCUCCUUAACAAGAUAACAGCUAACUGGAGCUGAAGUUGGGGAUCCGGAACCCAUCAUGUAGCUUUUCAUAUUGUAGAACCAAAUUCACCACGCUGCCCUCAUCAUGAACGCCUAAUUUUGGAGUAACUUGUAAAGUGAUCUUAAAGCUCUUGUAUCGAUCUAGAGGGUUUCCUUCAAGCACUGUGAAAGUCACCGAAUGAUUUACAUCGUCUAUGGCUUCAGUUAACUCCUUGGAAAAAGUUGGUUUCCCAUCUGCUAACAUUUCAUCACAAAUCAAUUACUUGCUUCAUCCACAAAAAAACAUGUCGACAUAUAUAGUAAGAGAACAAUCUUUCAGCCACACUUACCUUCAAUAUAAUCCCACAAGAAGACACAACCCACUUUACCCCAUUCACCUUCAAGUAAUUUAUGACUCGGAACUUUGUCGGGGCUGAUGUUGCAUAUUUCGUACGGUGUUCGUGCAAAGAAUUCAUGGAACCUGUUUGCUUCAGACUUGAUUUCAACACUCGUCUCCACCUUGCUAGAAUUUGACAUUUUCCACAAGUACCAGAGUUGAAGGAAAAACGACUUUGGUGGUUCCCAACGUGAAAAUGGCGGGGUUUAGUGCAGCAACAAAGAAAAUGGCGGUGGCUGCUGCAAAUGGAUGUGGUGAUUCCCUCUCCCGCAGAAAAGAAGAUAAGUUUUUCUUACAAUAUUCUAAUUAUUCUCCAUGAUGAUGUCUGCCAUCUGCAAUAAAAAAAUAAUAAAAAGAAAAAAGACAGCCACUGAUGAUUGGUGAAGUGACGAGAUAAUCAUCAACUAGCUCAGCUCCACCCUCAGCACAACUGUGACGAAACCCACUUUUCUGAGAAAAUCACGAGAAAAGCAGAAAGCAAAAGAUAAAGCAAAAGGAAGACACAUGGGGACACUGCAAAAGUAAGGAAUAAACAUCCCACCAGAAUGAUGUAAUUUAUUUUUAUUAUCUUUCGGAGACAUCUGUAUAAACCCCAUCAGAGGGUAAUUAAAAAAAAAAAGCCCAAAAUAAUGGGCUGCAAACCCAAAAUAAGGGGCUACAAUGUCAUGGGCGAAGGCCCAUAUGCCCAAAAGACCCAUACCCUCUAUUACCACCAACCAGGUGAUCAAAAGUACGCCCAGUACUCCACAAUUAUUCGACAACCUGCCGCUAUUACCACCAACCAGGUGAUGAAAUGUACAACCCGUACUCUAAAAUCAUUUGGCAACUAGUCAUUCAUGCCACCAACCAGGUGAUGAAAUGUACAACCCGUACUCUCCUUCAUGCCACCAACCAGGUGAUCAAAAGUAUGCCCAGUACUUCAUAUUAUACAUGAACAUUACUCAUGUCAAUCAUACACAAACAUUCAUGAGUAUCACUCAUAUCAAUCAUACAUAUACAUUCAUGAGUAUCACUCAUGUCAACAUUCAUGAGCAUCACUCAUGUCAACAUCCAUGAGCAUCACUCAUAUCAAUCAAACAUUCAUGAGCAUCACUCAUGUCAAACAGCUUCAAAAGCUUCAUUUACAAAAGCUCUAGCUUCAAAAGCUUCAUUUACAGAGCUUCAGCUUCAAAGCUUCACUUAUAAAGCUUCAGUGCAGGGUAUACAAAUACCGCCUCCGAACAACCGCCACUUCGGCCCAUACAUGGAUUCAAUUUGAAGUCUCCAGCUAACAGACUCUAUUGACCGAAAAGACUUGGGGGACUACAUUAUAUACCAUAUAUUGGGCCUCAACUGGGCCUCAUAAAAAAUACUUGGGGGACUUAGCCCAUUAUCUAUGUACUGAGGAGCGAACCCUUAUUCUAUAAAAGGGACUUCCUCACUUUCAUUAGAGAGCAUCGCCGCCAGCUGAGCAACCGCCUCGCCGCGAGCAUCACUCCUAACCCAUCACUUAUGUAUUGAGGAGUGGGCCCUUAUUCUAUAAAAGGGACUCCAUCACCAUCAUUAGAGAGCAUCAACUCUAGCCCAUUAUCUAUGUACUGAGGAGCGAGCCCUUAUUCUAUAAAAGGGACUCCAUCACUUUCAUUAGAGAGCAUCGCAGCCAGCUGAGCAACCGCCUCGCCGCGAGCAUCACUCCUAACCCAUCACUUAUGUAUUGAGGAGCGGGCUCUUAUUCUAUAAAAGAGACUCCCUUACCAUCAUUAGAGAGCAUCAACUCUAGCCCAUCAUUCAUGUAUUGAAGAGCGAGCCCUUAUUCUAUAAAAAUGACUCUCUCACCUUCAACGCCACAAGCCGAGCCAACCAAGGCAACAUAAGCCACGAGCCGAGCAGCCUCGCAGCAUGUGCUACUUCUAGUUGAGCAUCAUCUCAGAUUGAGCACCGCCUCAUAUCGAACAUCAGUUCAAGACAACGUCUAGUUACUUCGGCCCACACAUGGACUGAAUUUCAAGUCUCCAGCCAAAAGACUCUCUUGACUGAAGACUUGGGAGACUACUGUUUAUACCAUAUUUAGGGCCUCGUAUUUAGAUCUUGUACAAAUACUCAGGGGACUUAAAUGUAAUUAUGUGAUAAAAGAAGGGGCAAAUAUGUAAUAAGUGAGGAGUCCUUAUUCUAUAAAAGGACCCCUCACCCUCACAAUUAGAGGAGGCCAAUUCCUAGGCCCUCUCACCCCCUCUCAACGCUCUCACUAUCAGUGCUCCCUCUCCCUCAGAUAAAUACAUAAUCAAAGUGGACGUAGCCCAAACCUUGGGGUGAACCACGAUACAUCUUGUGUCAUUUACAUUACUUGCAGAUUCACGGUCGGAUUUACGUUGUUCCAAAACCUCCGGUUUUGUGCAUCAACAGCCCUUACAUUUAUAUAGAAGAAAAGAGGGAAACAAAAACUUUACAAGAACCUAACAAUUUGCCCAUGCCAUCAGACAUGGAUGUAUUUAUUCACUAAAAAAAAUGCGUUAGUUGUAUUAUUUUACUAGAACCGAACAAUUUGCCCAGUAGACAUGGAUGGUGGAAUAUCUUGAUCAAUAUUAUUCCUCGUUUGCUCUCGUCGUUUCUAAGAAAACAAUGUUUUGUGGUUUUAUUAAAUAGCUGGAGACAAAAUGUUUCGAUCUUGUUCGUUUCUCUGUUUGUAUGCUUUUAUACAUGUUAUUUCUAAACAAUUUGUUUGUUUUAUGGUGGGCAUCUUUAAAAGUAAGAUACCCAUUUGUUUUUAAAGAAAUGUUAUUGUCACCUAAAAAUUUAAGUGUGUAUUUAUAAUUAUUUAUAUUUAAAAAAAAAUAUUCUUACAAUGAAUGUACAAUUAGAUUUUUGUAGUGUAAAUUUUCUGUCUUCAAUUUCGACUACUCGAAAUAUAUGAUCCGAUUGACCCCCAAACAUUGAGGUUUAAAUAUUUAUGGCUGGGGAAGACGAAUUCACCCAAACCUCGAACUCCUUUUCUUAGGAAAUAAAUUGAAAGUUAUAAUCUAAGGCCAAAUUCAAACCGAAACAACAACAUUCUAUUCUAUAAUUUCUCCUAGUCCUGAUCGGUUAGGGAUUCUAGUUAGUUCGUUUACAAACUACGUUGGCUAAUAUAUUUCAGUUACAACUUCAUAUAUAAAUGCAUUCUUCGUCGAAUUAACAAAUAAUCAGUUUGUAUCUAUAUAUAUAAAGUGAGAGCCCUAGUUUGGUGAAGCAUUUGAUAAACCAAAAAUGCCCUCACUUCAUACACUAUACCAACGUUAAUUGUCCAAUAAAAUUAGGGUCAAAAUUGUAAUAUAAUACAACGAAAUUCUACUGUGCGAAUAAUACAUGCACUCAUCUGAACAAUGACAAUUUUCAACCACUAGAUAAAAAUAUACACACUUAAAAUUCAUUGUGACCCUUAGAUCAAUCCUCCCACAAAUACUGCAUCACAUUCUAUCUUUCCACCAAAACCAAAAUAACAAAUAAAUUGAUAAAAACUGACAAACACUCCCUCCAAAUUAGAGUAGAACUGUCAAACACGUUGUCGCACAAAACAGAACACCGGUUGCAGCAGUUGCAAAGAUCGGAGAUAGAACCACCAAUCUACCACACGUUCUAGAGGGGAUAGCGAUCAUUCCAACCCCAAAUGCACAGAAAAGAGGAAGAACUCAUUUUCGUCUUCUGCACAAACCUCUCAUCCACGUGUUUUUCCAGAGUUUCUUCUGCAUCCACACUCAAUUUACACAAAUUCAGGUGAUUUUUUUUUCAUAAUUUCUACCCUCCAAUUAAGUAAUAUUACCCACAUGAAUCUGCUUUUCCGCUUGUUUUGUUUAUUAUUCUAUAUAAUUUAAUAAGGAAAUUCGAAUCAUUGAUGGCGUAGGAUGGGAUUGCUGGGCGUUCAAAAUUGCUCAGUGAUUAGUACUUAAUCGACCACACUGCUUAUAUUAUUUAAACUUAAUUGUUGUCAUAUGGGUUUUUCUGGAUUCCAUUUCUCUUAUUUAUGUGAUUUGAGUCAGUGGUAGUCAGGUGCAUGCAAUGAGAGACAUUUGAGGCUAUAGCUGGGAAUUUGGUUUCUAUAAAAUUACUUCUGCAAUUGGUCAGAAUUUAUAGGAGUUACUAAAAUUACCCCAUUACCAGUUUUUGUUUUACUAUAGUUGGUAAUGAUUUGUAAGCAGAUUGUACAUUGAGGUAAUGUGUGAAUUGAAUUCUGAUGGUUAAACUAAUACGACAAACUGGUAAAAAACCAUCACUGAAAAAAGAUAAAGCAUCACAACUGUAGAGUUUUGCCUAAUGAAGAAUUAGAACCGCGACGUGGGAUUCAACCACCCUCCACGUUCUGCAAACUACAAACCAGAUUGACAAAGACUCUUCCUCUACAGAAAACGAGGGGAGGGAGAAAUAGAGAUACAUAUUGACAAAGACUCUUCCUCUACAUCGACUGAUUCUUAUCGCAGGUAACUUUCAAACUUGAUUCUCAAUUUUCUAUGUAUUCCUUCCAGCGUUUGUUCAAACUUUCAAACUUGACUCUACUCGCCGUGAUCAACAACUGCAGCUUCUUGAAACAGCCUUUCACUCGUCAUAAACGACAAGUGUGGCUUCUUUACCAGUAUGUUUAUUAGUCUCUUUUCUAAUCAAAUUCAUUGCCAUUAAUUAACUGUUUCUCAUCGAUCAUUCAUUUCUGAUCAUAUUUUCAAUUUCCGUUCUAUUCCCAUUUAUACAUCUUUUUCAAUUGUGUAUGAAUUAUUUGCUUUGAUGAAGCAGAAUUAGAUUUGCGUUCAUAUUCAAUUCUAAUUAAUUGACGAUGUCCUUUGAGAGCGAGCCCAAACUAUCUAGCGAUUCGAUAUAAUCGGAGAAAGAUUUUCCAGGGUGAACCAUAUCCUUUACCUGACUAUUGAGCCGUAAAGUUUCCGGUUUCUUAAGGUUUCGGAUAUCCACUCAAUCUAUUGGGACCUGUCUGGAAAUCCCCACAGCCAUGUGACUUGCGAUUCUUCUUCUUAAUAAACGACUUAGUUUUUGCAUUUUUUGUUCGAAUUCAAAGUUUUUUUUAUACAAAUUUGAAGCUUUUCUUCAAGCUUAUUCAUUAUAUAGAUUCCAAAAUUUUUAAAUCCUCUCAAAGUAGUAGGGAUUUGGAAAUGAACUCUGCUAGAGAAGGUGGCUUGCGUUGAAAUUACCAUAAUAACAGUGUUGGGUUGGGAAUUUUUUACUGGUUUUUUAUUUAAUAUGUUUUGAAUCUUAUCUUGCAACCUGUUGUUUUUCUUCAUGGGGUUCAGGAGGAGGAACUUCACCAAGUAUUCAAAGUAAUCAAAGAUUCUUCAAUCCCGAGUUUUACCGAUCAUUCUGUUUGAUCAGGUUGCUACUUCACCCUUUAUGAUAAGUUAUUAGAUGCAUUUCAGUGUGUCCUGCAUUUGAUAACUGAGUUAUUUCGUUAUUGCUAGAAAGGUAAAUUUUACGCUAGAUUGCAAUGCAAGGUAUGUAACUCGAUAGUUUGAUGAGUUUGAAUUAUUUUUUUUAUUAGGGCUGUUGCUACUUAUUUAAUUAUGCUUGGCAAUUAGCCUGCUUGAUCGGGGGUAUGAUCGUUGUGAAUGCCGUAUGAUUGCAAUGGCAAAAUUUUAUUGAUUCAAGUGUGAAAUAGAUAAACAAAUAAGAAAAAACCAUGUUCAUGCGUAAACCAUGUCAUUGUCAUUGAAAAAACUAUAGGUAACCCUCUAAAAAUUAAUAGAUGAAGUCAAUGGAAUUGAGAGCUAUGUAAUCCAAGUCCCAGUUGCAUAUGUUAUUGGUGCAUUCAAGAGCUAGCUAAUUGAGGAAGAAAUUCAGAGGUUGAUGUAAGUUGUCUGCAAAGCAUCAUAACCUAGGGUUGAAGCACUUAGCUUUUCUCUACCCUCUUCCAUAUAAUUAGGAUUACAAGUUGUUUUAGAUAUUCAGUUAAUUUUGAAGCCAUUGGCAAUGUUUCAGUUGCAGAGUUUGAUUUAUCAAUUAUCUGCUAAAUGCAUGGAAUUUCAUCUUUUUUACUUUCAAUUUUGGGUCAAAUGUUGGGAAAUUUUUACUGGUUUUUUUAUAUAAUAUGGUUUAAAUCUUAUCUUGCAGCCUGUAGUUUUUCUUCAUGGGGUUCAGGUGGAGGAACUUCACCAAGUAUUCAAAGUAAUUAAAGAUUCUUCAAUCCCGAGUUUUACCGAUCAUUCAAUUUGAUCAGGUUGCUACUUCAUCCUUUAUGAUAAGUUAUUAGAUGCAUUUUAGUUUGUGAAACUAGGAAGGGCAUUCUUUUUGCUUAGUUGUAAGAUACUUGAGAAGCCGAAUAUUACACUUAAUCAAAGAACCGAAAUGGCAAUGUGCUAUUUCACUUUGUUUCUUUGAUGACUCAAAAUUGUAAUAUGAUUGAACUGAAUGAUUACCUGUUUUCAUCUGCAUCUCCAGAUUCAUUUCUUUCAUUUUUAGAAUCAUCAACUCCAUGAUUACCUGUUUUCUUUCAUAUAUGUUUUUCUUUUACUAAUUUAUGUUUUAACUUUUCGUUCUCUUUCAAUUUUCGUAAAUCUGAGUUUUAGAAAACACAUACAAUUCAUGUUACUAACAAAACUUUUGAUGCUUUUACACACUCAUUGGGAUUGUGUAAUGGUACAAGAUUAUUGUGUCGUGGUAAUUACCAAAAUCUUAUUGAUGCUGAAAUUCUAACUGGACAAUUUGUCGGAUCCAAAGUUUUCUUACCAAGAAUCCCUCUCAAAAGUACUAAUACUGCUGGGCUUCCAUUUAAACUUACAAGAAAGUAGUUUCCAGUGAAACUAAGUUUCUCUAUCACUAUAAACAAAUCUCAAGGUCAGACAAUACCACAUGUAGGCAUUUACCUUCCAGAUCACAUCUUCAGUCAUGAACAAUGAUAUGUGGCUUUAUCGAGGGGGGUCUCAAAGUCAACCACAACCGUGUUAGUAAAAAAUGGCUCCAUAAUCAGCCAACAAGGUGUAUUUACACGGAAUGUAGUAUACAAAGAAGUCUUGCUUCAUUCCAGCUAAUUAUGGUGAUUUCUAAUAGGUAACAAUUUUAUUAUCGAUAACCUUUCAGUAUGCAUUUCUCACUUAUCAAUUAACUCUUUUUAUUUGAUUUUUAAUUUUCUCACUAUCAUUUGUAGAUUGGCAAUGAAAAUUUGAAGCAUCAAUCAUGAACAAAUGGGUGGAAAUUGCAGCAUUGAUAUCAAAAUGAAAACUUUUUUUUCAAAAGAAACGGUGACAUAUAGACUCUAUGGGUAUUGUGAAUAAUGUACAUAUUGUUAUGCAAGAUUUAUAUUUUGACAUUUAAGUUGUUUUGUAUUUUUCUACGAGUAAUGUUUUCAUCUACUCUUUUUUUUACAUCUACUUACUAUUGUCCAUGGACUUUAGGUAGGAACUUGCGUCUAAAAUCCCAUGUUGUUUGACAAGUGCAUGAAUAACAUUUAAAUCAUUACUUUACGCAAAGUAAAAACGAAAAACAUGAUAACUUUUUAGGAUAUGCAUGAUAAAAAAAGAGUUCCUCUUUGCACAAUACAUUUAAAAUAUAUCUUGACAAUUACGAUGGGAAAAACUAACACAAUACACAUUUAGGGGCGCGUAGCACCCGUGAUGUAAAAAUGCCUCUCGCACGCACAUUAGUGGGUGCGGAGAGGCUAGUAAUUAAUUAAGAACAAGAGGACUCGAAACAGAAGCAGCAAAACAUGACCAUGACCAACAACGACAACGUUUUGGAGCCGCCCAUCAAUUUCUCGAUGGUGGAUGAGGGCGUAUUCCGAUCAGGCUUCCCGCAGCCGUCAAACUUCCCAUUCCUCCAAUCCCUUCAACUCCGUUCCAUUAUCUAUCUCUGCCCCGAGCCCUACCCGGAGGAGAGUUUGGAGUUUCUUCGGUCGCAAGGCAUUCGGCUCUUCCAGUUCGGAAUCGAGGGCAAGAAGGAGCGGUCUACGUCUCCGCUGAUUCCAGCAGAGACCAUCUCCGAGGCACUGAAAGUUUUGGUUGAAAUUGAGAAUCAUCCGGUGUUGAUCCACUGCAAACGCGGCAAGCAUCGGACUGGUUGUCUGGUGGGUUGCCUGAGGAAAUUUCAGAAUUGGUGUUUGUCUUCGGCGUUAGAGGAGUACCAGCGGUUUGCCGGCGAAAAAUCUAGGGGGACGGAUUUGAGAUUUAUCGAGACGUUUGACGUAUUGGGCCUCAGGGGGGAUGCCUUCACGGCAUUGUCCGCCAUUAUUAUUAAGUUUAUGCUUCCGGAAAGAGGCGGUUGUUGUACAAACAAGAGUUGCAAACCCAUAAACCCUAGGUGAUGUUUUAGUUUUUACGUGUUGAAAUUUUAUGCCCUUUUAGUUGUACCAUAAUGAAAAUUCAUUCAUUCGCUUAGUGACGGGUCCCACGUAUGGGAGUGAUUUUUUUGUUGUUGUUGAUUUAGCAUAAUCACGAAAUUUAGACAUGCUUAUAAAUUUAGUCCUCAAUUUAGGAGUAGGAAAUUUUUAAGAAUAUAUGGACAUGCAUGUUUACUUAAAAAAUUAGAAUGAAAAAUUAUGAAUGGAGAAAGUCAAAAAUACAAUGAAAGAAAUUCAUAUAAAAUUAACUACCCCUGAUAAAUUUGAUACCUGGAAUGAGAAUAAAAAGUCAUGAAUUGAGAAGUUGGAAAUAAGAUAGAAUAAAUCCGUACGAAAUCAACUACUCCCUGAUAAAUUUGAUUCUUGGCAUGAGAAGUCAUGAAUUGAUACGAAGUCUAAUUCUAAUUCUUUUGACAUAUUUUUUUCUAUUUUUAUUUUAUUUUUUAGUUGUUAAAUUAUCAAUGUAAAGUAGAACUCAAAUACUUUUUGACUCCACAUAACCACAUAAAAAUCAAGAAUUGAAACAGAGUAAUUCUAAUACUAAUUCGUACUCUAUCCUAGUGCAAAAAGUUAGAAUUGUAAAAAUUUAGAGCUGAUCUUGGUGAAAUAUAGAACGUCAUAGGACCAUGAUUCUGGAACUCCUUUCCCUCCUUCGACUGUGGUCGGCCUGGGUCAGAUUUCUUCGUUCAGGGAUUUACCUGUUCUGAAUAGUCUGCCCUUGAUGGGUCAACUCUAGUUAGUUAAUCCAAGCAUAGGAAGAUGAGACAAAAUACACACAAAGUUGUUAGGAUAUCUUUUCUUUUUAUAUUUGAGCGAUAUUCUAGUCUAAUCCAAAUUCAUGGAAGGAGGAUUCAAAUUUGGCUACAAUCGGAUUCACAUAUUAGGAUUGAUUUUAAAUUAAAUCCAGGUUGAUAAAAAUAUUUCAAAAUUUUUAAUGGAAACUUUUUUGUGAAGGUAUUGAAGUUGGGAUUGAAACAGAAGAUAGAGCGUAAUAUAAAGUUACAAUAACAUGUUCUAUUAAAUGAAAGUGACUAAAUAUUGAAAAAAAUGCUACACUGCGUGAUCAACUCCGGCAACGAGCAUUAGCACUGCAUCCACGGUUGUAGGGAUUACUCUGAUUCUGAGCACCCGGCUUGCAGUUGUUGGAGGAAGCACCUCUCUGAGAGCAAGGCACAGUGUUUCUCUGCAGAGCUUCAUAGCUUAUGUUUCGUGAGGUGGCCAAGAUGCGCCUGCUAAUCUCCGAGUCCAUGCCAAAUUCAUCAUCACGAUCAUCCAUACACUCUGCUACAGAACCCUCGCGGCGAGGUCUCACUGGAACCCAGCUCACCCCAUGAUCGCCGCCUGCAUCAACGGAGAUGAUCAGAGCGGCCACGAAGGCCAAGGAAAAGAUAAUCGCUGAGGAAUUGGCCAUAGGUUUUGGUAUGGUCUGUGUUUUUAGCUGCCAACUUGUAUUUUGUUGUACGCCUGUUUAAUUACUGAGGGAGACAGAUGGGGCGGCAAGAGAGAGAAGAGUUGGUGAAUUCUGAUGUAUAUAUUAUUGCACUCUAUUGUGUUAUUUAUAGUAGUAAAAAGUAUAAAAAAGGGAAAGUCCUAAGGGAAAAUCCUUAUCUUUCAGGCAAUCCAUCUUAAAUAACACACAAUCUACAAGAUAUUCUGCAGUCCCAUAAGGAUUUUUUACACAAAAAUUCCUAGUAAGUUUGGACUUUGAUACAUUUAAAUUUGAUUAAAUGGAAAAUUGGAUGCUGAUUUCUUCAAGGAGGUGAUUGUGGAUGCAAAUUUCUUCCUCCUUGAUCUUGGACAAAAUUGGACCUACAAAACAAUUAACACCUUAGGGUCAAGGCCAAGAGCCUCACGUGUCCACGAUGAACGCGGGGGGGGGGGCUUUGGCCGUUUGGCCGAAGAACCUCUGAUGCCAAAGUUAGAAUUUAGAGAGAAAAGUGUUUAGAGAGUAUUGGGAAUUUUGCGUGUUGGACCUAGGUUUUGGUGAAAAUGGGAGCCAAUACAUAGGGCAUAGGGUGUAACUUAUGGUUUAAUGUGUGAUUUAAUGGAUUAAUUAGGCAAUUAAUCGAUUAAUUGGUUAAUCAACACAUUUUUGGCAUAAAUAUUUUGGGGGUUAUGUAAUUUAUACCUUGUGGAAAAUAUAGGAUGAGGAUGGAUGAAAUAACUUUGAAUUUGUUACUUAUUUUGGGCAUGCUUGAUUUGGUUGAAGGAUGAUUGCCCGCUACUCGCGCGUAGGAAUCCCGUUGUACCUCAAGGGUAUUUUUGUCUUCUUUUGUCCAAAAAUCCACGUGUCGCCUUGUGAUUAUUUUUGGCUCCAUAGUGAUUACUUAAAUGACUUGCACUAAUUAGCCUUAGGGCUAGUUUGGUAUUACUGUGCUUUGAAAAAAACUGCUUCUGCUGUGCUGCGAAAAUAAACAACUGUGAAAUAAAGCGGUAGAGUGUUUGGUAAACUUUUUUGUAAAAAUGCUUUUAGCAAAAAAAUCAGUGUUAAAGUGUUUGGUAAAUUUUUAUAUAAAACUGCUGUGAUUAGGUUAAAUGACUAAAAAUGAUAUAAUGUUAAAUUUAAUAUAUAAUUUUUUAUUUUUUAAUCUCUAUAAUUGUUGAGUCAUCCAAACUCUUCCAUUUUCCAAAUCCCAUUUAUAAUUCUAGAGUCAUCCUUUUCGCCUAAUUUUUUUUUUCAUCUGACGUUCAGAUCCGAUACGUUAGCGUUCCGUUGGUUAUCAGACAGGAUCAAACUAAGCGUAGGCUGUUUCCGGAUCAGAUCUAGUCGAAGAGCUCUCCCCUAUCGUACUUAACUUGAAUAAGGCAGUUUCCCACUAGCCGCUUAAAGGAGUACUCAAGGAUUACCCUAUUACCGAUCUCGAACUGGCCUCCUACUGUCCUCGCUAAGAAAGAGUCUGCCCGCUUAAUUCAAUGAAGUAGUUGAUAUUUAUCUAUUAAAGUAAUUUAUCAAUUACGGCAUUCAAGGUCGGAUGAUAACAGUUCUCUUUACCCAAGAAGCUCGGGGAAAGGAAACAGAAGCCAUGCAGACUGAAAUUGACGAACUCCCCACCCACACUAAAAAGCAAAUAAAGACCCAUGUUUAGCGUCCUCCACUCUAAGGACCACAUCAUCCAGAAGUUCAAUCUCAUUUACCUCAAGAUCAUCGACAAGAUCGAUCUUCCAAUUUCUGAGACUGAUAUUUCUACCAUUUUUUCCCCUAGUUAUAUAACUUCCACUACCACUAGUUUCCCAGUUUCAUCUCCCCUACCAUCCAUGGCGUCUGCAAGCUCUCACAAACACCCAUCUCUUCUGUCAUCCAUUACUUUCCCCAUCACUUUCCCACCUUCCUCUUGGAGUUGCAGAAGGAGCUUGCUAUGAAGAUCUGUUGUGUGAAAUUGUGCAUCUUGGAUCGAGCACUUUUUUGACAACUGGGUUUUGGAUUUGUUUCCUGGUCUACAAUGCCACGAUGAGUUGAAAAAUACUCUGAUCAGAUUUCGAUUUCGAAAAUUGAAAUCCGACAAAACAAAAAUAUCAAUGAUGAAGAUUCAAUCUCAACCCAGCGAGAAGGAGAAACGGAGGAGAGUAUUUUUGAGAUUGUGAAAGUUUCAUUAAAAUAUACUGUUCACCCGCCUCCUUGAAAAAAUAAGUUGGUUUUGAGAAAUAACAAAAUGUAGCUUCUGUUUUUUGCCACUUUUCAGCUUUUAAUGAUCUGUGACUUUUAAAAUAAGCAGUGUUACCAAGCACAAAUUGUACUCCAAUUUUUUUUCAUCCCAGCUUUUAAAAUAAUUUAAGCAGUACCAAACCUUACCUUAUUCUAAUUGCAACAAAGAAAGCUGAAAUUGGAAUAAUUCGUGAUUUGUUCAAACCAAGAAUACAAAAGCAACAACCUACUAGAAAAUAUGCUCGUAGAGAUUUACGGGUUGUUUCUGCAAGUAAUUUUGCUAAAAGCGCUUUUAUUAGAACAACAUUGAGAAAUCAAUUUUAUAAUGAUAUGAGCAUGCCAAGAGAUUAAACUAGUUUACAACAUCAAUAUUAUAAUGAUAGUACUCUCAGUUCAUUCUUGCUCAUAGAAUUAAAGAGAGAAACCGAACUAAACAACAAUGCGGACUAGCUUGGUCAACUCUCAGGCCUUUAUUCUUGAAGAUAGCAAAAUUACUCAAAGUUCCAUAUCAUAUGUAUGCAUAAAUCUUGUGCUUGGCACUUAUUCCUUGAGAAGAUGUGCAUCAAUAUCUUUAAUGACAUUGACCAUAAAGCUGAGGUACUUCUGUGGAGGCGGAUCGUUCUCGUUGAGUUUUUCAUAUUCUAAAGUAAUUUUCACAAAACCUCCUUCACUCUUUGGAGUGACCUGGAAAAUGAUCUUGUAGCUUUUGUAAUUGUCCAGCACAUGUGAUCCUUCCAGAGCUGUAAGACUCACCCACUUGUUUACUUCAUCUAUUUCCACCUUUUCCUUGAAUGUCUCGACAUUUCCAUCUACACGUCACAUGGAAAAUUACAAUGAUACAUCUAUUCAUGGAGAGAUUUUUCAAUGCUCAGAACACUGGGUGGUACAACACAUGUUAUUAUACAAACGAAUGAAAAUUAUUUUCAAAUGUCUCUUCACUUAUAUAAUGAAAUAUAAUUUAUAUAUCCAUGUUCUGAGCACACUAAAAAUUCUCUCCUGUCCAUGAUCCGAUUCUUUAUAUAUUCAUCGUCAGGUAAUGCAAACCUAAUGGCGCAUGGAUGGCCUGGUCAAUAUAUUUCAGUUUUAAUUCUAGAAGAAUCUUAUACGUACAUAUACAUAUCACGUUAGCAUGUUUAUUUCAUAGCAGGUUAGUUUGUGUUAUUCAAUAAUAAUAAUAAUAAUAAUAAUAAUGUUACAGUAUUAACUAUAAACGUAACAUUAUUAUUAUACAACUUUUUUUAACAAACAAUAUUAUCUACAUUAAGGGAAAGAGGUGAGCUUAGCCUCACAAUGUUUGAAUGAUGGAAAUAAAUUUGGACUUUUGACAAAAUUUAGAAUUUAUAAAUUAACAUGCACCAAUUCUCUUGUCUAGAUUCAUAAACAUAGAAAUUUAGAAUUUCCGCGUGAAAAAAAGGGAGAAUUUGAGACCUCCAAUUCCCAAGUUUAAAUUUCAUGUAAAUAAGUCACUCAGUACUACGGUCUUGUAGUAUUUCUCUUCACUUGAAAGUGAGAGGUUAUAAGUUCGAAUCUUGUUGAUGACGAAUUUGAUACCAAAUUAGGCUACCCAUUGUGUGGCUUUGCCGAACUCCUUAGUGUAAAAAUAUCGAUGUACUAAAAAAAAUCAUGUAAAUAGGUGUUAUUCCAAAUUUUUAUGAGUGAGAGUUUAAAGAUAACAAAAUCUAUAUUGAAUUUAUAUUAUUCUUUUAAGUUAGUCAAACAAGAAAAUUUACAAAUUCUAGAAAUAAAAUUUCUUAGUAAUUUUAAAUUUUCUCAUCCAAACAGAAUGUUAGAGUCAUGAUGUAACACCCGUCGCUUUUUAUUUAACAAAAUUAAUUAUUAGUUUAACUAGGUUAGGAGGAGAGAGGAGGGUGAUUAAUUUCAUAUUACCUAGGGUGUAUUUCCAGAGCUUGACAGAGCCAGAAGUUUCCCAGUCACCUUCAUGUACUGCAACAUCGUGUAUUUUAUCAGAGGCUGCUUUGGGGACGUCGUGGUGCUGGUUGCUGAUGACUUUGUACAACUUAUCAGCGUUGGCUUUGAUCUCUACCUCAGCCUCCACAGUCAGCUUGCAAGCACCAGCUCCACUCACUGCCAUUUUCUUUUAUUUGUUAUUAGUAAUAUGUGAUUAGUCUGGGGAAAUUGUAGGAGACGUAUACUAACCUACAGGUUUCAACUUCUUAUAUAGAGUCGCAAAGUUGUAAAUUAACAUGUUAUAAACUGAUAGUUAUGGAGGCAGCGUGUGGAUAUGAUCCGAUCACUUAAUUAAAUAGUUAUAUAAUAAUAUUGUGUCUGUGGAUCUUCCAGGCAGAGUUUUAUUAAUUAUUACAUCUAGGGGUGGAAUUUUUUCCCGAAAAUCCCGAACCGUCCCGAUCCCGUCCCGAAAUUUGACUGAAAAAUUCCCGAACCGAAUUUUCCGAAACAUUCGGUACCCGAAACCGAACCCGUCCCGAAAGUUUUGGGUUGGGAUUUGGCCACAGCUUUGAAAGCUUUCGGUAAUCCCGAACCGAACCGAUUAUUAUAUAUAUUUAUUUUUAAUUUUUAAUUAGAAAUUACUUGAACCGUUGGAUUUGUUAAAAUCUAAUCCAACCGUCCAUUAGUUAGGUCAUUUUAUUAGGUUGUGAUCAGAUCUCUCGGACUCACUCACUCUCGGUCUCUCCGCUCCACUCUCGCUCACUCUCUGCGCUCCGCUGUCACUCACUCUCUCCGCUCUCUCUUGCUCACAGUCUCAGUCUCCCUCACACGCACUCUCACAAACAGUCUCGCCGCCCGUGCUCCCGCCGCUCUACUCCUCCGUCGAAUCCACGCUGCUCCUCAUCCUCCACAACUCACGCAAACACAGGAAGGAACCAAUUGAGUCCCAAAAUCCAGGAUAGGGUUUUUAAUUUUCACUGGGGUUUUGUCCUUUCUCUCUCUUUAACUCUUCAGACAGCAUUUCACAGAAACCCAAUUAAACAUAUGAAAAUAUACAAGCAACAACCUGUAAAAUUUAACAUAAAUAAACAAUGGUAAACUACAAUUAACAUAAAAAUUGCUCACAGAGAGAGAGAGAGAGAGUUCUUACAUGAGGUGCUGCAAUUGCUUGAGAGAGUUCUUACAUGUGGCUUUGUAGCUAGUGUGGAUUGUGACCUACUUAUUUGUGUGUUUAGAUACGCAAGCUAAGUAUAGCUGAUUGGUUUCGUAUCUGUUUGAGAUUUUUAUUUUAUUUUAUUUUGCUGUCAUAAUGUGCAGGACAAUCCCAAUUUCGAGGGUGAAACAUGUAGGAUCACUACUAGAAAUUUCCACUUUGCCGACAAAAAUAGUUUGUAGGCAAAAGUCAAAAUUCGUCGGCAAAGAGCCUUUCCCAACGAAAAAUUUUGUCGGCAAUUUUGUCGCUAAAAGCAUGUCGCGCAAGAUCUUUCUCGACAAAUCUUGAUAUUUCGUCGGCUCAUUUUUAAGGCGACAAAUCUCAGCCGUCAAACUGUGCCCAUCACCAAAACAACAUUGCGACAAAAUAUUUUGUCAGCAUAGGUUGUUUCUUCGCGAUGAAAUUAUUUGUCGGCUUAGUGAUCUUGUCGCGACAAAAUAUUUGUCGGCUGAGUAAUCUUGUUGCGACAAAACAUUUUGACGGCUAAGUAAUCUUGUCGUGACAAAAUGGUUUUUCGGCUAUGUAGUCCUAUGACAACAAAUUGGUUUGUCAGCUCAAAUGACUUGUGUAGACAAAAUAAUUAGUUGGUUGAAUCUUUUGUGAACAAAAACAUUUGUCGGCUAAUUAAUUUUGUGCCGACAAAACAUGUCAAGUCCAAUAUUUUCUAAUUUUUAAUAAUAUUUUUAACCAUCACAAACAAGCAAGCUUAAGAGAUCGAGAAGGGGCGUGAAUGAAGAAUUAAUGUAGGAACAACACAAAAUUCAUGUAAUAUAAACUAAUGUAAGGUUCACAAUUCGGUGUAGCUACAAAAUACAAAAAUAUCUAUGUUUUCAUUUCGAGAUUACUAUAAUAUAGAUAAAAUAUCCUUAAGUAUCACCAUUCUCACUAUAGUCCUCAUCAAGUUGAUAUGCAGCAUCAUGAAAUCGGGAAACGAUAAGGAUCAUCAUGAAACACUCCAGUAUCAAACAACUGUAGAAGAAAAACAAAUUAAAAAACUUGAUUAGCAAACGUUAAGGGUGCUAAAUAUCAUUGACAUUAAGGAACGCAAGGCCACACUAGUGGUAUUUCUAAACAAAUAACUUAUGAAACCAUAAAUGUGUAAACAACAAGAUAAAGAUAUCUACUAAUCAAGUUAACUUACCAACGCCAUGCAGCAUCACAACCUAGCAAAAUUACAUGUUUAAUAGAUACCAGGUAAUAACCAAGUUAACAUCAACUACUUAUAUGUCAUUCAUCAUUGUAAACAACAAGAUAAACAUUAUAAACAGCAAGGCAACAUGAUUAUCACUCUGUAAACAAGGCAGCAUGAUAAGUAGAUCAUAUAAAUCCUUGAAAGGUAUAUAAUUUAUAUAAACAUAACAAUACCAAUCACCUAUCUAAGUAGGUUAUAACUCUAGAACAUAAGCAUAUGCACCUGGAAACAUAAAUAAACUAUACUAAAGCAUCCUAAUUCAUCAUUGUUUAUAAUCUUUAUCAGUGUAAACAAGAAGAUAUAGACAUCUACUAAUCAAGUUAAUCCUCAAAUAUCAAAAUUACCUGGUGUGAAUGAUCCUCACAUUGGUCUCCAUGCCGUGCUGAUACCAGUUGUAAGCUAUCUAGCCCAGAAUUCCACUGAGCCAUAGACAACCUGCAAGUGUUAUAGAAAGGAAAAACAAAUAUGUCAAACCUAGACCACAAUAUCGAAAAAUUACAGUGGAAAUCUGGAAUUAAAGUCAAAGGACAUUGUUUUCACCAAUAUUAUACAAAUGGAUUGCCAAAUCAACCAAAAAUUGGAAACCUAGAUCAUAAAACUCGAACCCAAAUGAAAUAGUUCAAUUAAGAACAUGUUUUUCAUCCAUAUAUGCGAUUCAAUCAAAGCAAAUACAAUUAUUUCAUUUUCCAAUAAAAACAUGGAAAACGAAUACAAAAACAAACAAACAAGUUAGCAAAUUAAUGUGGUAAGGAAAAUGCAUAUACAAAAUCAUGAUAAAACCUGCAAUCAUGAUAAAAAAAUAUAAUAUUACAAAGAUAGAAAAAAAUUCCAGCCUUGAAUAUUUAUAACACAAAGAGAAUGAAAACUUCAUUUUAUAUCCAAUUCUACUCUCUCACUGACUGAUUAAUUAUGUGUGUUCCCCAUUUCCCAUAUACCAUUCCAUUCCAUUAGUUUUAAUAGGAAAGAUCAUCCAAAUCAUCUAAAACAAUGAAAACUUCAUUUUAUAUCCAUGAACAAAAGCUCCAAACUCUGAAAAACAAAACCAAUUUUAAUUCAUUCCAGAGCAACUGAAUAAAACAGAACUAAACACAACUGAGAAGAAAAACUGUUUAAGCCAAUCACACAGACUAUAUUAAAUCUUUACAAACCAACCGAAUGAUGCAGAAAUGCUUAAUAACAAAAUAGUUAAGCAACAAAUCAUGUAAAAUAAUCAUAAGUCAACUCAACAAAACCAAACAAAACACCGACACCACUGAAUAAACCCUGCCCAUUGGAAAAAAAUAAUACCUAACAAAGAACCCAACCACUGCAAGUGUAAAUUCAAAAGACAUAAGCGUUCAAACACUGCAAAAAUAAGUGGAAGAAAAACACAAAGUCACCAAAGACAAAAGCUUCCUAAAACGAAAAAUCAAACCAGAUGGAACAACCAUAGACAAAUGAUCACAAAAUAGAAGAAAACAUUUGAAAGAAAGAGCUAACAGACCUUUAUUCGAAAGGGCUUGCAACGCUGUUCACAAAACCCCCAAACUCUGGAGACCAAUAUUUUCUGCAACACAAAAGCCAAUCAGAUUAGGGAACCACACCGAAAUCACUAAAAAAAUAACCAAACAAUGAAUGAAAAACGCUAAAAGUUCAAUUUCACACCGAUCAAGCAAUAAUGUAUAGGAAAACCCUAAACCCGAAAGACCCAAAUUUCCCAAAACGAAAAAUCGAAUUAGAUCGAACAGCCACACCAAAAUAAGCAGAAAAAAAGAAGAAAACAUUCGAAACAAAAAACUUACAGACCUUAAUCACAUAUGCUCUGCAAGACUAUUCCCAAAAACCCUAAAAUUCACACACCAACUUUUGCUGAAACCAAAAACCCAAUCGGAUUAAACAAACACGCUAAAAACAAAGAAAAAAUUAGGAAACAACCAAUAUAACACAAACACUCUAAUUUUACAGGCAUCAAUCUGCAAAUUUUCUUCCCAAUCAAAGAAAACACACACACACACACACAAAAAAAAAAAAAAAAAAGAGAAACGACCUCAAACAGCGCAAUGAAUCAGAAAAAGAAACUCUUCAGACAACAGAGGAUCGAUGCAGAGAGAUAAGCAGAGACACGAAAGAUCAAGGCAGGCGGAAGAACACAUAAACAAAGAGGAAGAAAAAAGGGAAAGCUACGGAAGAAAAUAAGCGAUCCCUCGCUUCCGCACCAAAAACGACGGAGACCACGUGGUAGAUGCAGCAAUUGAAAUUAAACAGACCAAGCAGGGGCAAUUGCGUCACAACACUGUUACUUUCACUGUUCAUCAACAGUGUUCCACCCGUUUGGGUUUUAGUAUAUAUAGAAUUUAUACUUUCAUUAAGUAUAACAUAAGAAUCUGUGGUAUCCACAAGUGUAAAUAUUUUAAAUUGAAGAUCGAGCUCAUUCAUUGUAUUCAUAUAGGAUCAAGGAGUGUAGCUGUACAAAAUCAUCAAAAUCGAAGUUAAAAUAACCGUUAAAUCAUGAUUUUUCGUUUAUAACCGUCAGAACGUUUUGUCUCCUUACAUGAUCUCUGAAGGUUUUUUUUUUGCAAUUUUUGGCGUAUACGAUCUCGAAACAUAUAUAAACAAGUUUGACGGUUGGAUCGUUGAAACUAGUUUCGUAUAAUGCGUAUCCUAUGAAAAUGAUAGAUUCACUAACACUUAGAGUUUAUUUAUACUUUCAUUAAGUAUAACAUAAGAAUUUGUGGUAUCCACAAGUGUAAAUAUUUUAAAUUGAAGAUCGAGCUCAUUCAUUGUAUUGAUAUAGGAUCAAGGAGUGUAGCUGUAAAAAAUCAUCAAAAUUGGAGUUAAAAUAACCGUUAAAUCGUGAUUUUUCGUUUAUAGCCAUCAAAAAAUUUUGUCUCCUUACAUGAUCUCUGAAUGUUUGUUUUUUGCAAUUUUUGGCGUAUGCGAUCUCGAAACAUAUAUAAACAAGUUUGACGGUUGGAUCGUUGAAAUUAGUUUCGUAGAAUGUGUAUCCCAUGAAAAUGAUAGAUUCACUAACACUUAGAGUUUAUUUAUACUUUCAUUAAGUAUAACAUAAGAAUUUGUGGUAUCCACAAGUGUAAAUAUUUUAAAUUGAAGAUCGAGCUCAUUCAUUGUAUUCAUAUAGGAUCAAGGAGUGUAGUUGUAAAAAAUCAUCAAAAUUGGAGUUAAAAUAACCAUUAAAUCGUGAUUUUUCGUUUAUAGCCGUCAAAAAGUUUUGUCUCCUUACAUGAUCUCUGAAUGUUUGUUUUUUGCAAUUUUUGGCAUAUGCGAUCUCGAAACAUAUAUAAACAAGUUUGACGGUUAGAUCGUUGAAAUUAGUUUCGUAGAAUGUGUAUCCCAUGAAAAUGAUAGAUUCACUAACACUUAGAGUUUAUUUAUACUUUCAUUAAGUAUAACAUAAGAAUUUGUGGUAUCCACAAGUGUAAAUAUUUUAAAUUGAAGAUCGAGCUCAUUCAUUGUAUUCAUAUAGGAUCAAGGAGUGUAGCUGUAAAAAAUCAUCAAAAUUGGAGUUAAAAUAACCGUUAAAUCGUGAUUUUUCGUUUAUAGCCGUCAAAAGGUUUUGUCUCCUUACAUGAUCUCUGAAUAUUUGUUUUUUGUAAUUUUUGGUGUAUGCGAUCUCGAAACAUAUAUAAACAAGUUUGACGGUUGGAUUGUUGAAAUUAGUUUCGUAGAAUGUGUAUCCCAUGAAAAUGAUAAAUUCACUAACACUUAGUUUAUUUAUACUUUCAUUAAGUAUAACAUAAGAAUUUGUGGUAUCCACAAGUGUAAAUAUUUUAAAUUGAAGAUCGAGCUCAUUCAUUGUAAAUAUUUUAAACUGAAGCCCUUUUGUGACGCCAGCAUUAGUGUCGCUAUUCCAAUCCGACAUUACAUUGUUUUAUGUCAGAUUUUUUUCUAAAUUUCCGAUAGAAAUUGGGUUUCUUGUCGGUUUUUGCUUCGCCACUGAUAAGGUAUAUUGCAGUAGUGGGUGUUGGUACCAAGUAACAGAUUCAUGAUAAAUCGUUCAUUUAUUUGAUUCACAUACAUUAUCUCUGAGCGGGAAGAUCCCCGCCAAAAUAUUACAUGAUAUUUUAAAUGAUUUUUCGUUAGUUUUCAUUUUUUAUUAAAGUGUAACAAGGUAUGUUUAUAUCUUUCGCCAAAAAAGUAACCAAAAAUUGUUAGAGAAGGGAGACAGAUAAUAGGGGCGUGGAUGAUAAUCAGUUAAGAGUGCAAGAAUCGUAAACCUAGGGAUAGAAAUCGUCAAAAUUGUUUCUGAGCGGGAAAGACCCCGCCAAAUUGUUAGAAGAUAAAUAAGAAUUCUUAUCAAACUGAAAUCGGAUGGCGUGAGCGAAGAAUGUGGGAGGGAAGUCAUGAGCAAUUGGGAUUAGCAUGCAAUUGGGAGGGAGAUCAUGAGGCGACAAAAUAGGAAUAGCAUGCAAUGGGAGGGAGAUCAGGCAAUUGGGGGAUGUGAACCGACAAUUGAGGGAUGUGAACUGACAAUUGGAAUAAUAGAAAUAUUAUGGGAGGGAGAUCAUGAGGCGGCAAAAUAGGAUUAGACAAAAUAUGGGAGGGAGAUCAUGCAAUUGGCAGAUGUGAACCGACAAAUUAGGUUUGGAUUGCCACGGGAAAUUUAUAAGUUUGUUCUUAUAAUCAUAUGUUAUGUUUUUAGAAAACUUGGCAUGCUUGUCGAAUUAGAAUGGAUGAUUACAUACAACUGUAUUCAAAUUUACAAUUGUAAUUGCUAAUAAUUGAUCAUAGCCUAAACCAAGUUAUAUGUUGCUAGAAAGUAGUUUGGAGUUAGAAUUGAUAGGAAGAACUUUUUCAAACACUCACAUAUUAUGAAAUCAAAUUGUCAAUAUAGAUUAUUGAUGGCAUAAAACUACAAUCCAGAAAUAUGAAAUGCUAGAUAUCUCUUUAUCUAUGCUCCCGUUCAUAUAGAGAAACAAGAGAGAAUGACAGCAUAAAUAGUUGCCAAGAGCUUUGAUUGUGUUCCCCGGAAAAAAAUGGAUAGGUGCACUGGUGAAAACCUCUCACGUAGAGUUAUUAAUACCUUACCAAUGACAUACUUUAUUGCCUCUCUAAUCAAUUUGCCGAUGAAAUACUUUGUUGCCUCACAUCAUCGGCUAAUAUUUCAAUAUAGUGGGAAAAGUUCCCGCCAAAGUUUACCCGUCAAAACAAAAUUUGUCAGGGUAUCGAAUUUACGCCUACAAAAUGAUCGUCGGCUAACGUUUCAAUUUUCUCGGCUAAGAUUGGCAUUGUAAAUUGGUUCUAGUGUGAGUAUUCAGCCGACAAAUUAAAAAUUUCGUCGAGAAAGGACUCUUGUGCCGACAAAAUUUUGCUUUGUCGGUUUAAUUUGUCGGCAAAAUUAUAAUUUCUAGUAGUGGAUAUGCAUGAAUGCAAUAAUCGACAGGGGUGUUCUCGAUUGCUGCCAGCAUUGGUAUGUGCUUUAGUGUGGUUUUGUGUGUGUGAGAGAGAGAGAGAGAGAGAGGAAUUUUAUUUUAUGACAUGGGUUCAUCUUGGGGUUUUCAGGUUCUGUUUCUCAUGCAUUGACAAUUGGGCUACCAUUACAAACCUCUGCCCGCUUUGCCAGAAUGAAUUUCAAAUGAUCACAUGUGUUUCGGAGAGUGAUGCAAAUAAACAGUUAUCGCUUUAGUAUUAUUUCUGUUAUGAUUGCUAUGGAUUAUAGAAUGGUAUUAAUGUACAACCAGUUUAAAGCACAGUUGUUACUUUGAUUUCUUAACUAUCUGUUUUCAAUAGUUUUCUUUUUGUUGCAAACAGAAUUUUUAUUUUGAAGUUUUCUCAAAAUAACGAUUUGAUGCUGGUUUGAAGUGGCACUAAAUCAUAAGAGUUUGAUUUGUAUGUGAAGGUAUACGAUACUAUUGGGAGCAUCAAAGCGGACGAGGACUCAACUUAUAGGUACUUUCAUAAUUAUGGAUAAUGUGUUUAAGUCUAUUGGUGAGGGUUCUUUGUUCACAUUUAUGCGGCACAUGUUCCCAAUUUGGAAGCUUGGUUUGUAAAACUUAACUUAUUUCAUUUUGGUUGCAUGCACUUUUAAUUAAAUAGUUUGGUAGACAAAUACAAUUGUGAACUUAAGCUUAACUUGUUAGUUGCUUCCUUUGUAUGAAAAUUGAAACAUGUGGUAUUGUGAUAUUCAUAUUGUGGUGAAAUUGAAACAGGUGGGCUGGGCAGUGGCUGUGUAACCUUAAUUUUUUUUUUUUUUGGGGGCAGUGGCUGGCUGCAAUCUUAAAAGCCCAACAUUUUGGGCUUCAAGGCCCAAUCCCGAAGUAUCCCGAAAAUCCCGAAACACUUUCGGGAAUCCCGAAUUUCGGGAAAUGCACAUAUUCGGUUCGGUUUCGGGAUAUAAAAGCCCAUCCUGAAAUGUUUUGGUUUGGGAUUCGGGAAAGGAGUUUCGGUUCGGGAUCCCGACCCGAACCACCCCUAAUUACACCUACCAAACUUAAGAGCACGCGCAAACUUGAUGAGACAUAUAUCAACACGUGAGAACAAUGAUUGAUCAACAUUACCUCCAUAGUAUUAUUAGAGUGAAUGAUUGUAUGAUAUUAAUUUACUAGAGUGAAUGAUUGUAUGAUAUUAAUUAUGCGUUAAGAUCUUGGGAAUUUUAAUGAAAAAUUACUGGUAUUAUUCAUUUUAAUAAAAAAUUACAUUUUUACAUUAAAAAGUCAAUCUUAGUACUAUUCACUUUAUUCUUUAUUUUGUCCUUAUUGUUAAAACUCAAAGUUUUCAAGUCAUUUUCAUUAAUUUUCCUUAAGAUCUUUUGAUUUGGCAUGCGGAAGUGUGUGUGUUUGUAUAUUAUAUAGGGAUAAUACUAAGUUAGGUUCAUAUUAUCUUAACUAGUGAUAAAUUAAGGGUUCUUUCGAGUUAUUCGAAACAGUGGUUUAUAUUAUCUUGACUUACGUGCAACCUAAACACAAAAAAGAGAGGCUGUACUGGCUUCCAAAAUAAAACUAGAUGCAAACAAUAAUGUGGAGUUCCGGUUACUCUUUUGGAAUCAACCAAAGCUGAAUCAUUGAUGCCUAAUUUCAGAAAGUUUUCCUUUUCUGCAUGCAGAUCUUUUCAAUGGAUGUAGCUCAGUUUUGGGAGGUAACCACUUACUUCAUCGAGUUCAUUAAUUUUAAUCAAUCUAAAGUAAUUUAACUAAGUUUAUUAACCUUACAAUGUUGAGCGUUAAUACCCAAUUUUGGAGGAAUUGCAUCACGUUUAUGUAAAGGUAAUCGAAAUAAUAGAGCGGAAUUAAAUUCCAAUUACGGAAUACUCCAGUAUUUACCAAAUAUUGGAGAAUAAAAAAUUUGAUAGCACCCACUCAAUUUUUUAAUCCAAUACUAAUUCAUAUUCAAAUUUUGGAAUAAAAAAUCUAAUACUAAUUCGUACUCAUCAAAUGAAAGUAAAAUCUAAUUCUUCAUUUUUUAAGUAAUUAUUGUAAUGUGAGUAAACGCAUGAAAAUCAUGAUUUAGAAUAUUUUCUAAUGCAGACUCUAAGUCUGAAAUUGAAAUAUAAAGAUAGCCGUUGACGGGUCGAUUCUGGUUAAUCUAGGCAUGAGAAUACGAAAAAAAUACACACAAAGUUAUUAAGAUAGCUUUCCUUUUUUAUAUUUUAGCGAUAGUCUAGUCUAAUCCAACAUUAGACCACAUUCAGUGAUUCAAACUAAGAGAAGGGGGAUUCAAACUUGGCUACACUCGGAUUCUCAUAUGAGGAUUGAUUCUGAAGUAAAAGAAUAUAACCAAGUUGAUCAAGAAAUUUCAAAAUUUCUAAUGGAAACUUAUUAGAAAUUUUUUGUGAAGGUGUUGAAGUUGGGAUUUUUUUGUUUGUUUUCGUAUUGAAGUUGGGAUUGAAACAGAAGAUAAAGCAUAAUAUAAAGUUUCAUUACAAUUAACAACAUGUUCUAUUAAAUGAAAGUGACUAAAUAUUGAAAAACAUGCUACGCCGCGUUGAUCAACUCCGGCAACGAGCAUUGGCACUGCAUCCGUGGUUGUAGGGGUUGCUCUGAUUCUGAGCACCCGGCUUGCAGUUGUUGGAGGAAGCACCUCUCUGAGAGCAAGGAACAGUGUUUCUCUGCAGCGCUUCAUAGCUUAUGUUUCGUGAGGUGGCCAAGAUGCGUCUGCUAAUCUCCGAGUCCAUGCCAAACUCAUCAUCACGAUCAUCCAUGCACUCUGCUACAGAACCCUCGCAGCGAGGUCUCACUGGAACCCAGCUCACCCCAUGAUCGCCGCCUGCAUCAACGGAGAUGACCAGAGCGGCCACGAAAAUCAACGAAAAGAUAAUCGCAGAGGAAUUAGCCAUAGGUUUUGGUACGGUCUGUGUUUUUAGCUGCCAACUUGUAUUUUGUUGUACGCCUGUUAAUUACAGAGGGAGAGAGAGGGGGCGGCAAGAAAGAGAGAGAUAAUCGGUGAAAUUUUGAUGUGUAUAUUAUUUCACCCUAUUGUGCUAUUUAUAGUAGUAAAAAGGGAAAAUUUUUGUCUUUCAAGUAAUUCAUAGGAGUUAGGGAAAAUCCUUGUCUUUCAAGUAAUCCAUCUAAAAUAGGACACUACGUAAAAGAUAUUAUACAAUUCCAUAAGGAUUUACACAAUCACAUUCCUAAUUAAAUUAAGACUCUGACAUUUUUAAGUUUGGUUAAAUAAAAAUUGGAUGUUGAUUUCUUCAAGGAGAUAAUUACUUAAUUGACAUGCUUUAAUUCAACCUUAUUCCAAUUGCAACAAAGAAAGCUGAAAUUGGAAUAAUUCGUGAUUUAUUCAAAACCUACCAAGAAAACAAAAUCAACAACUACUACAAAAUAUGCUCGUAGAGAUUUCCGGGAUGUUUCUGCUCUUAAGUGUUUUUGCUAAAAGCUCUUUUAUCAGCACAAGGUUGAGACUUUAAUUAAAAAACUAAGUUUUUCUCGAAAAAAUAUAAGCAUGCCAAUAGAUUGAACUUGUUUACAACAUCAGCAUUAUAAUAAUAUUGUUGGAAAAUAUUAGGUUUACUUUAAUGUUUGGUUUUCUGGGCUUAGCCCGUUAGUAUUAGGGUUUCGUUUUCUUGCUUAUUAGGGUUAUGUUAGUUCUCUAUAUAUAUGGUGUUUUGUAGCUUGUAUGAUUAACAAGUUAGUCACAAUGUAGUCUCUAGGGUUUUUGUAGCCGUCUCGGCAUUCUAUGUUUGAUAUCAAUAAUAUUUCUAGUUUUGUAAUCCGUUUGUUUGUUCAUUGUGGUAUGUGCACUCUGAUAUUCAACUUGGUAUCAGAGCGGGUUUGAUUCCUCGGAAUUUAAUCUGUUUUGGAUGGAUAUCAAUUUGUUCAUCUGUUUGUCCACUGCGUAUCAGUUCGUCAUGGUAUGUUUUGUUGGUUUGUCUGUCUAGUAGUAGUUAGGGUUUUGUUAUAUGUUUAAAAAAAAAAAAAAAUUGAAUCAGUUUGCUGCGUCAUGUCAUCGUCCUCUGCUAAACUUGGAAUCGCCGCCACGAACCCCACAUCACCAGCGUGCUCCUACCAUCAGGACAUCACCGCGCCAACCCGCCAUGCCUGCACCCAGUGCCACCAUGUCCCGCCUACAACCCCGUUGUCUUACCACCACCUGCUGUAAACCCACAUCGCUCGCCUGCUUGCGCGCCGUGCAGACGGGAUUUGAUAAAGCCACACCAACUUGCUGCAAAUACAUGCAGUUGAUCCGUACCCAUGAGCCUGCUUGAAUCUCCGCACCCGACCCGCUUGUCGCCUGCACCCACUGCUUGCUUGCCGUUCCCAUUGUUCGUUGACCAGAACUCGCGCUUGGUUUACGCGUUCUGGAGAAAACCAUUGGAAAAAAGGAAGCAGAAUAAAAAGUAAGAAAAAGAAAAAAAAAGUGAUGUUUGAGGAAAAGGAAAAAAGAAAAAAAAGAAAAAGAAAUGCAAAAGUAUUAGAAGUUGGGCUUGCCGUUGGUCUUGUUGAUUGUUUUGGAGAAUGACUAUGGUCGUCUGCUAUUGUACCCACAACGAUUGUUCGAGUGCUUGGAUUGUUGAUUACUCGAGUGAUUAUUGUUGAGGUUUUCGUCUGCUUGUUUGUUGCCGUUGGGCUAUUGGAAUCUCGUCCGUUUAGUGACAAGGUCCAUGCUCAAACGAAAUAUGUCUGCCCUCUGCCAUGUGAAUCUAUAUCCACCUGCCUGUCUGUCUGUCCGCGUUGCGGAGCCUGCCUGCCUGUCUGUCUGUCCGCGUUGCGGAGCCUGCCUGUCUGUCCGCGUUGCGGAGCCUGUCUGCCUGUCUGCCUGUCUGUCUGUCCCCCUAACGGAGCCAGUCCACAUCUGCUUGUUUGCAAACCCAUGUCGUAUACCGCCAUGAGUUUGACUGGGGGUGUUGGAAAAUAUUAGGCACACUCAAUUCAUUCUUGCUCAUAGAAUUAAAGACAAACCAAAUCGGAAACCGAAAUAAGCAACAGUGCUAACUAGCUUGCUCAGCUCUCAGGCCUUUAUUCUUGAAGAUAGUUAUAUUACUCAAUGUUCCAUAUCGUAUGUAUGCAUAAAUCUUGUGCUUGGCGCUUAUUCCUUGAUAAGAUGUGCAUCAACAUCUUUAAUGACAUUGAAUAGAAAGCUGAGGUACUUCUGUGGAGGCGGAUCGUUCUCGUUGAGUUUUUUAUAUUCUAAAGUAAUUUUCACAGAACCUCCUUCACUAUUUGGAGUGACCUGGAAAAUGAUCUUGUAGCUUUUGUAAUUGUCCAGCACAUGUGAUCCUUCCAAACCUGUAAGACUCACCCGCUUGUUUGCUUCAUCUAUUUCCACCUUUUCCUUGUAA
This 100053-nucleotide long non-coding RNA is filed under the name Malus domestica (apple). RNAcentral's name for it is "long non-coding RNA (MDOM_LNC016009)". The record is from RNAcentral. Lineage: Eukaryota; Viridiplantae; Streptophyta; Magnoliopsida; Rosales; Rosaceae.